Molecule: long non-coding RNA, 112939 nt
Filed under: Coffea arabica (coffee)
Lineage: Eukaryota; Viridiplantae; Streptophyta; Magnoliopsida; Gentianales; Rubiaceae
Description: long non-coding RNA (CARA_LNC001764)
Rfam family: Plant small nucleolar RNA R71 (bases 46056-46162)
Source: RNAcentral
ACCUAACCUUGUCAAGAAUCGUGAAUUUGAUGUUCUCUUCCAAGUCGUCUGUCAGUCUGGAACAAAAAUCUCCAGCAACAUAUCUAGCUAGAUCGUUAAUAAGGUCAUGCAUCACAAAACGUGAACUAUUGGAACUUGACUGCUGGAAGAAGGACCUCAUUAGUAGCUCCUUAAAAUAAUUGUCCCCUAUGUCCUCCAUAAGAUCACUUGCUUUUGAUUCCUCGAGAAAACCCUCUGCCAUCCAGAGCAAUACAAGCUCAUAUUUGUCAAACUCAUAGUCCUUGGGAAAUAUGGAGCAGUAAGCAAAGCACGGUUUUAGAUGGGCAGGAAGAUGAUAAUAGCUUAAUCUUAGUGCUGGAAGAAUAUCACUUUGAUCCUCUUUUAUUUCCCACAUCUCACUGUUCAGUAUAUCCGUCCAUUCAUCUGGGGUCGAUCUAGCACGCAACAGCCCUCCAAGAGUCUUCACGGCCAAGGGCAAGUUCUUGCACUUCCUUACAAUACUCCUACCAGUGCCUUCUAGAUUGGGGUGCCUGUCAAAAUUUGUCCUUCCUAGUGCAUGUCUUGCCAGUAACCAUAAGCUUUCAUCAUCUGUCAACUCCUUCAGACUAUAUCCAGCAGUGGAAGACAUUACUGAUGCCACUCUAUGAUGCCGAGUGGUGACAAUUAUCUUGCUCCCAGAUGAACCAACUAGAAAUGGGCGGCGCAGGAUGUCCCAGUCCUCGUAUUUUUCAUUCCAAACAUCAUCUAAAACAAUUAGAAACCUCUUCCUGGUCAAGGCCUCACUCAGUUUCACUUGAACCAUAUUCAGAUCCUCAUAAUCACAGCCACCUGCUGUGAUUGCUCUGAGGAUUGUCUUUGUUACCCCAAAAAUGUCAAAAUCAUCUGAAACACAAGCCCAAGCCUUGGAAUCGAAAAAUUCGUUGACUCUGUCAUCAUUGUACACCAUUUGAGCAAGAGUUGUUUUACCAACCCCUCCCAUGCCAACAAUUGGUAUCACAGCCACUUGAUCAUCGCUCGAUUCAUUUGAAAGGAGCAAUUUCAGCAGCUCUUCUUUGUCAUUCUCCCGACCAUAAACAUGAGACUCCACUAGGGAAGUUGAUGGCAAUCUAUCCCUAGUUUUGUUCGGCCUCUUUGCUACAGUCUCUACCAAAUGGAGGAUUUUGAUUUGUUCUUUCGUGCUCUCCAAUCUUCUAGUUAUUUCAUCCACCUUGGGAGCCAUUUUUCCGUUGAACUUAUAAUCUUUAACAGAAAAAUUUGUACAACAGGAAGGGAUUUUAACCUUUCUUACCUUGCUAGUAGAGCCUUGAGCUUCCAUCAACUUUCUUCGACAAGCUUCUGUGGAGAAUUCGUCUAUCACAUCAUCCAUAUCAUAUGCCAAAUCCUGAAGAUCAUCUAGCCACUGCUUCACAGCGAUCCUCAUAUUCUGCUUGUCCUCAGCAUCAUCAAGCACUGCCUGAAUCAGGGAUAGCACUUGGCUCCAUCGUUUCAGCUGAGUAUCUAAGCCUUCUGAGCGUGCAAAUUUCUUCAAAUCGACAGAAGCAAGCUUGUCAAAUAUCACCUUGAUGAUUGCACCAAGAAAGACUUCUAUCAGUGCCAUUUUUCACUCCUCUUUUUUUCCUCUCCGGAUUAUAUUGUGUAGGUAAGCAACGAGCAAAAAGUCUGAAAACUUGAAAGGGGAGAUAAGAUUGAAAGAUGGGAAACUAGUCUGGCUGUGUUUGGACUAAUAAUAUUUCGUUUUUUUAAUUGCGGAACAGUAAAAUCAAAAUGAUCAUUGACUUGUAUUGACCGAAUAAUUCAUCCCAAGUUUUCAAUCCCAAAACAGUAAAAUGCCAAUACAUUAUUCAGACCGUUGUACUGUAUCAAAACAAACCGACAAAUAAGUGUGCCUAGUCUUUCUCUAUCUUCUUCUUUGCUCCCCCUCUUCAUCACCCCCAACCUCACUUACAUAGCAUUAUCUCAGACGUGGGUUUUGUAGUUGUUCUGCCAGGGAGCUAUCAUCUAUCACAUUCUUUACGGGAAAAGUGAUCAGCGCCAAAAUAUUUCAACUGGCAAGAAAAAAGUUUCCAAAGCACGCUUCUUCAUUUCUUAUGUAGUACCAGUAGACUUAUUUUUCUUUUCUGUAGCACUAUAUUAUAUCAUCAAUCAUUAAAGUAACCCACAUAGAGAAGUUGCUUUUGUGUGGAAUUUGACCGAAUUGAGGGAGGUACUUUUGAGCUAGAAUGAUUGGUGCUCUUAGGGUAGUUGUUGUACUUCAUUUACAACGUAGUGUACAUUUACAAAUGCUCAUGUAUUUAUGCAUGAGUUGAUGAACACGAAUAAAAUUUGAAGUACCACAAAAUUGUAUAAGAGUAAACUAUAUUAUGUAAAAAGUAUAAUAUCUAGACAAUUGCAACAAAAUUCAAUUGUACCUGGUCUAAUUUUGACCAUUUUCCUUAGUUGUUUAACGUUAAUUAGUGUAAUUUGGUUGUAUGUCGUGACACAAAUUCAAUUAAAUAACUAAAACAUCAAACCACAUAAGUAGCUGGUAUUUGUUGUUUCCAUAAUUCUAAUUUUUUUAAAAACAAUUGUUCAAAAUAUCGUUCACAUUUUGUAUAAUACAUUUUUUCGUCCUUUACUUUCAAAACAUUAACUUUAUGUACCUCAUAAAUUCAAGUUAGCAAAAUUUAGUCUCAACCAAAGUUUUUGACUACUUUUUAGUCUGAAAUCACUACUUGACCAAUAUACAAUCAUUUUUUAUGUACAAAAAAAAAUUAGAUUUCACUUUUUAUUGAUAAUAUAUAUAUUAUGUCAAAUCUCUUUUUUUUUUUUUGAAAAAGUGAAUACAUUUUAGAUCAAAUCCUACUUUUUAAAGAAAAAAUGAAUAUAAAUCUGGUCAUUUGUUUAACUAUAAACGGGAUUUAACAGUUUUGCCCAUAAAAAAAUAAACCCAAAUCUCUUAAUUAUAUUCUCUCUUCUCAAACCAUCCAACCCAUCCCUCUUCCUUCUUUCUCCCCUCUCUCCAACCAUAUGUGGGUUAUGUGAAAAAUGAAAAAAUUCAUUUGGCGAGAUGUGAGAAACAUUUUGAACAGUUUUCUCCUUGUUAUUUUAUAUGUCAAACGGCAAUAUCCUACCAUUACUCUAAUAUUAUAUGGAAGCGUAUGGUUCCAAUGGGACCAUUUGAGCUGUUGAAAAUUCAGAGGAGACUAUCACCUCUGACGUCUGAACUAGACGGGUGCAAUUGCACCAGUUAGAAGAAGUUUCCUAGAAAUCAUAACUUCAAGAGCAGGUGAGGGUUUCAAAUCUCCCACCUAUACAAAAGGGAUAUAUUUAUCAAGUUUGUGAUAUAUUUAUAAAGAAAGAAAUUUAGAAACAUUGUGAAAGUCCCAUCUGAAUUAGCAAAAUUAAUAUUCUCUCCAUCUCAUUUUAUUAGUUAUAGUUUCUCCUUUUGCUAAUUCCAAAAUAUUUUUUUCAUCAAUUUGGACAAAAAUAUUUCUUAACGUCUUAAAAUUUUUUGAAGCACCUAUAUUGAUUAUUAAACAGGAAAGGUGAUUAAGUACAUCAACGGGUCCUUGAUCAGACUUGCAUUUUCUUUAAUUGAAUGCAUUUGUCUAUUCCUUUUACCAAUGAAUUAUAAAAUAAGAUAGAUGAGAUAAAAAGAUAAAGCUUCUAACCAAAACCCUUCUUCUUGGACCCAAAAAAAAGGAUAAUUAUUCUUCUCAGAGAAAUAUCAAAUUAGAUAAUUAUUCUUCUCAAAAAAAUCAAAGUGUAUAGGAAGUUGACUUGACUUGACUAAGAGCUUAAAUCUUAAUCCUAUAAGGUAAGCAAGGGUCACAGAAUUAUCAAUGGAAAUUAGCGUGUUAAUUUGUUUGAGUACAUCUUGUGUGUGUGUGGGGGGGGGGGGGGGAGGGGGGUUCUUCUGAGACUAGUUGAACAAACGAAGAAACAGCCUUAAGAAAUGGGAAAAUUAGUAGUAACUUCUGUGAUAAUGUAUAUAACUCUUGAAUGAUUAUGUGAAUAAAUAUAAAAUAUUACAAGGAGAUAAGGAAGAUAUCCGUACAACUUAUAGGAGUGUUAAGUGUAUAUUGUGAUUUCAUCACAUGCAUUUUUAGAGUACAUCUAAUUCAAUCGCGUUAAUUAAUGAUUUUUUCGUCUAAUUUUUUUACUUUAUAUGAAACUAUAAGAGAGUUAUGUAAAUAUUUUGAAACCUUAGAAAAAACAUGUCAUAAUAUGCAAAAUCAGAAUGAAGUUAUAAAUAAUUUAUGCAAAGAAAAUUGAAGUUACCUGCAGAGAUAGAGUUGGGGAGGGGGGGUGUGGGGUGGGGGGGUGUGCGGUUUGGCCGGGCAAGGAUUGGCCGAUUGGGACUGCAGAGAUUAUCCAAUGGGUUCUUUGAGGGGCUGCUGUGUUAGAAGACUCAUUUGUAUGCAUAAGGCUCCGAAAAACCCAAAAUUAUGUAUUCCUCGAGUUAAAUCUACGUCCUUUCAUUUUAAAUCCAUAUUUUGUACAUGGCAUAUAUUGUCAAUGUUCAGAGGUGUGGUCAAUUAUUGGAAGUUGACUUGACUUUGCUGAGAGCCAAAGCCUAUAAGUCAAGCAAGGGUCAUACAUUAACGCGUUAAUUUGUUUUGGUACAUCCGAGUGGGCUUCUUCUGUAGAUUUUGCACAUAACCCCCUGUAAAAUUAUGUAGAUAAAUGUCAAAAGUACAAAAGAGUAAAAUAUAUAUUUCAUUAAAUCAUAUGCGAGUUAAACAGAUAUUAUGAUUUUAUCCACACAUAUUUUCAAAGCAAGUCCAAUUCAAUCGCCUUAAUCGUAGCAUUUUCGUUCAUUUUUUACUUUAUCUAAAACUACAUAGGAAUAUUAUGAAUAUGUUAUAAUCUUAGGAGAGUCAUCUGACAAUAUAUUGAAUCAUAAUAGACGUAUUAGUAAUUUACGCUAAGAAAGAUGAAGUUGCGGGGAAGAGACGGACUGAAUGAAACCCCCUUUUUGAACAUUGAUAAAAUAUGUCAUAUAUAAAGUAUGGAUUUAAAAUGAAAGGAUGUAGAUUUAACUUUAGGGAUACAUAAUCUUGGCCUUUUUAAUUUUAAAAACACUAAAUUUUGGUUUUUUGGGAAGCUUCCCUUGCAGAAGAUGCUAGUAAGAGUCUUUUGAACUACUUAAAACAAAUUAUAACCAUCUUUGUGAAAGUAAAACUAUUAGUUUUGAUUGUCUCUUAAAACAGCUUUUAACUUCUCAAAACAUUGAAAACAAGGAUGAUUUUUCAUUGUUUCAAAGAAAGUUUUGAAAGUAUUUCAUAUUUGAAUUCAAAACUACUCAUAUGUUCUUGAGACCAAGCUCCAAGUAAAUGUUAAAGUUCCAAAUAAGGAAAAAUCGCAAUUGUACGUAGUGUAUUUAGAAGUUUGGCUAUGCCAGUCGAAGAGAUAUUGAUCCAAUGAUUUAGAUCGAAACCCAAAAAAUUAGAGGUCAUUAGUUCAAAUCCUCUUACCUCCUCCUGCUUAUUAAGUCCCUCCUCCGUAGAGUUAUCAGCUAUUUUUACUUUUCUCCUUUGAGUCAUGAUUUUUAAUUUUUUGCAUCCUGAAGUUACACAUCUAUUAAACAUUGUAUUACGUACACAGAUAUGGACAGAAAACGACAGAAUUUUCCUUGUGAAAGGUGACAUUCGAUCUUGUAGGUUUUCCGUAAUUGUGUAAGUAUUUGAGGUAAGUAUUUUAGCAAGUUUUGAUAACCAAAUGAUCGAAACAGAGAAUUUAUGAACUAAUUAACCAUACUAAGGAAGAAGACAAGAUUCACUUGUUCUAAACGUUAUAUCUUAAUGCAACAAGUCGGUUAGGCGCUUGACUAAACCUUCAAUCUUUUAAAUAAACGCCCUCCUCAUGUAAUUUCUCAAAUGUUGAGUCAUGACAAGGUGAAGAUAGAAAUUAAAUUAAAGAUUCUAAAAUUUUUUAAGAUUCUUCUAAAUUAGAAUAGUUUACAACAUAUAGAACUUUGAACUCCAAAUUUCAAAUGAUUCUGACUACGUCUAUUCUAAAAAGAGUAACAAACUUUUGUAAAGUGGCAAAUAUUAAAGAUGUUAGUCACAAUUCAAUUAUGUUAAUCAGAUCCGUCCAAACCCAUCCACUAACUUUGAAUGGGUUUAAAUGAGUAUUCAAUUAAAAUCAUUUAAUUGGUAGGUAGUGAGUUGACUCAACUCAUCCAUUUAUACCCAUUUAAAAAUAACUAUACAUUUAAACUCAACUUUUAGUGAAUAUUAAGUAAAUAAAUUUGAAUUUCUUAUCAAUUUAAUAACAAUAAAUAACUAUUAUUUCUUUUCAAACAACAUGCAAAAAAUUUUUAAACAAAAGUAAAAUUGCAAGUGACUCAUAAAUGGGCAAUUGGUUAUACUUGUAUCCAUUUAUACCCAUUUAUUUUAUCUAUUAUUCAAUUAUGAUCCACUUAAACCCAUCCAAAUUAUCUAUUUUGACACCUCUAGCUAAGAUAUUACAAGAGAAGUAAUAGAAAAAAGUGCAACAACCUUUUAAGGCAGCUAAGAUAUUGCAGUUAGUGUGCCAAUAUUUACACAAGGAGGAUACUGCACGACAUUUUGUUAAGUUGUACCACCACUUCUUCCUUCUUAAUUCAUGUGUCUGAUCAAAGAAACGCAAAUGUACCACGUACUUCAGCUAUGUAAAGCUUACAUAUUUUUUCUUAGUGAUUCAGUUGGUCACUGUGUUUGCCUGUCAUCUCACUUUCUACAGCCUUGGCAGCAAAGCCAGACGAUAACAUCCACAUGUAUAUGAUGUAAACUUACUAUAGUGGAGUCAGCUAUUCGAUCUGCAAUGAAUAUCGAUGGGGAUGCAAUUUGAUCUAUUUGUUGACGUAUAAUUGACUAAUCAUUCAACUGUAACUAUUAUUCUAUGCAACUUUAAUAAAGUUGCCAAGAUUGAUAAAGAUGAAGUUAUUGAAGCGGUGGUGGUUUAUUGGUCGUAGAUAUUGGUUACAAGAAAAUGUAUUUGCUUAUCAAGGCACUAUUUAUGAAUCAUCCAUUGGAUGCUUGCCUUCAAUAAUUUCUGGAAAGUUACAACGUGUGAAUGUUUUUUUUUAAAAAAAAUGAUAUGCGAAAACGAUUCACUAAUAGUUUCUCGACAGAGCUUAAUUGGGCUAUACUUGUCAAUUUGCUGUUUGAGGCUUCAACUUCACAUCUAUAAAUGAAUGCAACAACUGCCAAGAUGAAAAUUAUAUGAUUGUGAUGUGUUUGCUGGUUUUAUUAAAAUAAAAAAUACAUAGGACCAAAUAAAAAAGAAUUAGAAUUGUCGUUUACAUUGAUUUCAUGUCGUUGCUGCUUUUACUGCGUUUUUAGAAAACUAGCCUAAGGGCUAUUGAAAUAACUUGGGCGGUUGAUGUGUGCUUGUAAUAUGUGUUAACCUUUAUGAAUCCCACGUGCGAUCAAAUAAUCAAUCAAAUAAUUAAUCAAUCAAAUAAUUACGGAUUUAAUUGACAAAUUUGGCAAGAGAUUAAUAAGUUGCACUGAACAUCGGGCCCUUGACAUCCAAUUAACAAAAUAAUCCCACGAAAAUUCAAAUAGAUAAUGUGCAAAUAUUAACAAAUUAAGGAACGCGUGAAAACUAAUUAGAUCUCACAGAUAUUCGGGACUGCGCCGUCGAGUUGAUCCUUGACUAGAUGAAAGACUUAGCUACGCCGCAUAAAUAAAUCUCUACGCAAAUUGAUUGAUUGCAAAUGCAUCACGUUUUUCACUAGAAAGCAAGAGUAAAAGAUGUUUUUCCCGUUGAAAAAUAUUCUCGACCACCUCGUGCGCGUGAAAAGGAAAAGGAAAGAAAAAACUAAAACUAAAGCUAUGCUAAAACUAUUACCCUCAAGCCUCUGUACGUUUGUCUCUUUAAAAGCAAAAUUGACUACUGCCUUUCUUAUCUCUGUGGUCCCCGCCGAAAUUGAGAAUCAAACCGAAAGUAAGGCUUUGCCGAAGUCCCUUUCUUUUCGUUUUCCAUUGCUAGGAGGACUCCUAGUCAGCAGCUCUUUAUCACCUUUCCUGUGUUUGGAUUGAAUAACUUAUACCCCUUAGUCUCAUGACUAUAUUCAAUAAAAAUACACUUCUCUGCUUCAUCAUCCAGUUUCUGUCUCAAAUGAUCUGGAACAUGCGUAUACGCAAGACAGCCAAAUACCUUGAAGUGAGAAAUAUCCGGUUUCAUAGCAGUCCAAACUUCUUGUGGAGUCUUUCCAAAAUUGCAUCUAGUAGGACACCUAUUCAAAACAUAAAUAGCACAAGAUACUGCUUCUGCCCAAAAGGACUUAGGAAUACCUUCGGAGUGCAUCAUAAACCUCACCAUAUCCAUCACAGUCCUAUUCUUCCUUUCUGCCACACCAUUUUGCUGAGGUAUAUAUCUGGCUGUCAUUUGAUGUUUUAUACCUGACAGGUUGUCGGCCUAUGUAAUAAUAAAACCUGCUCAAACUAAAAGUAAUUUCUGUAGAUAGCGGUGAGUAGGGUCGAAUCCACAGAGACUGGGAAUAAUUAUUUCUUUUCAAAUUCACAGUGACAAGGGGGGUGUUUUUAUAUCAGGGGUGACAAUUUAAACAAUUCAACUAAAAGUAAAAUAAUAAAAAUAAAAUAGCCAACUAGAAAUUAAAUAACAAUUUAUUAAAAUCAAAUGAGGGAUAAUUAAGGAUCUAGCCAAGAAAUAACUUCAGCAAUGGUUUUCCUAAUUGAUCAUCGAUGCAAAGCCAAUUCCAAUUAUUUAUUGAUAAAUAGGUUAUAAGUGCCAAACAAGCGAUGACAGUCAACCCCUCCUUACUGUAUCGGUGAUCAAGAUACGCCCAUUAAUCACUGCUCUAAUUAGGAAAUAAUCCUAGGUACGCCUGUAAGAUUUAAUUCCCCCAUCGCCUUACGUAUUAAAGGAGCCCUAUUCUAACCAAAUAACGCACUACCAGGGUUAUUUCAAAUUAGCCCGCGUAUCCCCUUGGCACGAAUCCAAUCAUGCCAGUUAUCACUAUUUUGAGGCAAUUAAACAAUUACAGAUUUAAUGUCCCAAUUGACAAUAGAUUAUCAAAUUAACUAAUUAUCCGGAUCCAAAACAAUCAAUUAAUUAAACAAUCAUAAGCACUGCAACCAAGGAAUAUGCGAAUACUAAUAAAUAAAUAAAAAGAUAAAAUGAAAUCGAUCUCACAAUUUUUAGGCGAACCAAAGCCUCCGUUGCUCCUUGACUAGAGUGAAGAAAUUUAGUUCAUAUUUGAUGAAUAAAACCCAAACAAAAUUGCAACAAGAGUUGUCUGCCCAUGCGAAGGAAGAAAAACAAUCAAAAGCUACAAAGGAAAAGUCAAAGGCCGAUGCUUCAUUCCUCCUGACAUGCGCAGGGGGCAACCACAAAAGACGAAAGGAAAAAGUCAAAGAAAGCUAAAGGAAGUCUAUUGUUUUUCCUUGUCAUCACCAACGAGAGAACUCCUACUAAAAAGCUAAGAAAGGAAAAAUCAAAGCUACUCUGAUGCUUGGCUCCUGUGCGGCGGCCCCCUUGCGGAGAGGACGAACCCUCCAGCCCUGCUUUCCUUCUCUUCUUUUAUGCUGUCUUCCACAAAUUACUGGAGAGGUUCAUGUCUUGAUAUUCCAAAAAUACUCCUAGAUGCCUGCUACUUGAACUCUUUUCUGAUGACUGUCAAAUACGCAUUGGUUAUGGUAUUUUCGUUCUACUCCCUGAAUUAAAUGCAAAUUACGAAAAGUGAGUAGAAUCUAAUAAUUAAUCCAUAUCAAGUCAGGUAAUAGGGGAAAUUAAUAAUAAAAUAAAUGACAAAAUUGCAGCCUAUCAAUUCCCCCCACAACUAAACCAUGCUUGUUCUCAAGCAUAAGAACAGUAAAAAAACCCCAAUAUUUAACAAUGGCUAUUGCUCUAUUUACCAUAUUUCUAAGAUAUCAAGAAAAAUAUAUAUCAAGCAUCGGUGAUCAAAAUCCAAGAAACAUCACCCCGGUUAGUUUCUAAACUACAAACUUCUCUAAUUUUAGGUUAACUAAUCUAAGAAAAAGGAAUGACGUAUAACAUUUAUCAACAAAUGGUCCAACUAUUAACCAAAAUCUCAACAUUAAAUUCAUAAAUCGGCAAAUUGACUUUUAUUAUACACUAACACAACUUUCACUUUUUUUUUAUCACAUUUUUCUACUUUUCUCUUUUUUUGACUUUUUUCUUCUCUUUUUUUUUCUUUGCUUUUCUCAAUAGUAACAAAAGACUUAGUCGCUAGCCAUUGGAACCUUUUGACGCGAGCUCCGACAUUUUUAGAUGAAGGAGCCCGGUUACUUAGCUCCUAUCGCUACGUGACCACGUACUCAUAGUAAUUACUACUUUUUGACACGAAAAUCGACACUUUUGGUGAAGAUCCCCGGUUAUUUGGUACUAAAGACUAGCGGAGUACAGCUAACUCUUAUUCACAGUUAAAUAACACAAAAACUCAAAAUAACAUAAAAAUCAAAAGAGAAUUUACAUCAGCUAGCCUUAUUUUCAAACAUGGAGAACUGAGCUUAAUAACCGGACCAAUUCACAUGAAAAUGCCAACAAUCAUUCCCUAUGCCUAGAAAAGUUAAUCCAGAAAUUAUAAAAGUAAAACAAUCAUCGAUAUUCACCAAAUAGAUGUUUUUUGACUCAACCACAUUAAUUUGAUACCAUUUUAUUAUUAAAACAUGGCAAUAGCAGAAUUAGAGACAACAAUCCAACAUAAAACUUUGGUAUUCAUUAAAAAAAAAAUAAACGAAAACUAGACAAAUAACAAACUAGAAAUAAAAGAAGGACGUCUGAAAACUAAAAACUGGCAUAGCUGUCCCUCCCCCCACACCUAAAUCCUACAUUGUCCUCAAUAGAGGAGGGAAUAAAGCAAUUAAAUUGAAAAGGACAACGAAACUUCCCUCUCGAGUGGCUAAGGGGUAGGCGGGAACGGCGGAGGGAAAUCGAUGUGGUGAGGCAUCAAUUCAACCAGCAAAUGCACAACUCUGUCCAUCCAAAAUCUCAACAAAGUCUCCAAUAAUGUGCUAAAUCCAGCAAUAUCAGUUCAGGACUUUAGUAAUAGCAGCGCAGUCACAAGCCCUUGGCAGUCAAUCAGAUCUCUAACCAAAUAGAGUUAACAAGUACCCGCACCCUUACCAUUGGUGCAAAUUGCAGUCCAAAAUCAAUGAGAUUUCUAUAGCAGAGCAGAUCAGUAGUAAAGCAAUAGCCCCAAGUAUUAAUCUAGUCACAAGAGAGUGAAUGUGCCACCAACGGAGCAAUAUCAGAGCAGAGCAAUUGCUAAUAAUGUCUCUCAGUUAUCAAUAAUUGCAAAAUUCCAACCCACCCAAAAAACUCAACAAUAGCACCCAAAAGCUCAACAAUUGCCCCCAGCAGUCAACAAGUCAGGCAACAGUAGUGCAGUAAUUCGGCAAUAACGACUCAAUAUAUAACCUCAACUGGCAAUCAGGCGUCCACCCACAAAAGCAAGUGAAAUUAUCUCAACGACCUAAUGGUUCACCACACAGAAUUCACUUCCACCCAACGAAACAGUUGAAGUCACUAAGAUGAACACGUUAGUCAACCGUCACAGAAAAUUCUAACAAGCAAACCAGCUCCUAACAGGACAAAUUAAGCAGCACAGGCUCUCGAUUCAAUAGGCAAUAUCAGAAAUAAUUUAACCAAAACCUCAGUAAUCGAAACACUAGCAGAGAUGCCUUUCAAUGAUCAAUAGACAAUUGCAAAAUUUCAGCCCACCCAAAAUUGCAACAAAUGGCUCCAGUUGGCCAGUCAAUUUCUUAACUCAAGAUUAGUAAUCUCAACGAUAACAAUUUAGAAAUUUGGCAAUAAUAACUCAGACAGCCAAAUAGAGAUACCCAAUUGAGGUCCAAUUACCCCACCAAUACCACUGGUAUAGCAAACUAUGGAAGAGAAAUCACACACUACCAAUACCAGGCCACCGAUAAACCAAAAUACAAACUAACACUGCUAACAAUUGAGAAUCGCAACAAUCAAAACACAAGCAAAGCCGCCUCCCAAUUAUCAAUAGACAAUUUCACAAAUCCAGCCCACUCAAAAACUCAACAAAUGUAACCAAAAGUUCAACAAACAUUCUCAAGAGUAUGGCAAACUAGUAAUGAACAAGAUCUGGGUCAAAUAUCACAACCCGUACCACUGGUUUACCACACAAUUGAAGGAAUAACCCCCAACGGCCAACAAUACCAAGUAUAGAAAGACCAGACAGCACCAGUGAAUAUUAAAAAAUUGGGGGACAAAUUCCAAAUACCUCCACCGAAGAAAGUAGCCAAGCGAUACUCCUGAUAGAGAAUCAGUAGCGCGCGUCAGGCGGUGGACCAAGCAGCGGGCUGAGUUGCGGGACUGGGGCGGAUGGCGACGCGAGGAGGGAGAGACGCGAGCGGCCGGCGGUGGUCUGUGGCGCGCGACUUCGAGCGGCGCACGCUCAAGUAGCGUGCGAGGUUGGACGCUACCGCUAGGGCUGUUGGCAGCGUCCAAGCGCUUCAGUGGUGGUGUUGGCUCGUGAUGGAGCUGCGGCGGAGCUGGUUGUGUGAGCAGAGAGGGAGCAGCGAGCUAGAGUGGUGCGCGAGCUAUGGUGGAAGCUCGCUGAGGUAGAACGAGCAAAAGGGGUGGCGCGCGGUCGGAGGCUCGCACGGUGGACCUGCGACGGGCCAGCGGCUGCUCGAGUGGAGAGAGAGGGAGCUGGUGAGAGCUGCGGCGUGAAUAAAAUGGGCGAGGUUGGAGUGAGAACUGCGAGUGGAGUGAGCGAGAGAGAGCUCUGGGAGCUCGCGGCGGGCGUGAACAAAGUGGGCGGCGGCGGACAAGGCUUUGUGGUUUUCGACUGAGAGAAGAGUAACAGGGGACUCAGAGAUACCUAAAGGGCAACUCGGAAACAGAGGGACUCAGAGAUACCUACCCACUGCCCAACGGUGUCGUUGGUGACAGUGGGUAGCGGAACCGGCAAGGGGCGGCGGUCGCAACUAGGAGAGUAGGGGCUGCGAUGAGCUGGUGGAUGUGUACCAGCGAGGUGGAGAGGCGCGCGAGGCUUGUUACUGCGACGAGCUGGGUUGCCACAGCUGGAGUGCGACGGCGGCGAACGAGGUGGAUGAAUCGCGCGCGAUGGAAAGGAGCAGCGACCGCCGCUGUUGGCGGCCGUGGGCUGACAGAGUUGGCUGUGGACGACGCGCAGCACACGAGCAACGGCGGUGGUGGUCGUGUGACUGUAGGCAGGGGGCAGCGUGCGUCAUCGCUCGGCGUUGGUCACGGGUGAAGGAGAUGGCGGCGUGCAUGAGGUAUGCUCAGCCGAAAGAGAAGAAGAAACAGGGGAGAAGAAAGAAAGAAAGAAGAAGAAAGAAAGAAAAAGAAAAAGAAAAGGAAAGAAAGGAAAAGAAAAAGAAAAUAGUAUUUGUGUUUUUUUUUCUUUUUUCUUUUAUCUUUUUUUUUGCUUUUUCGUUUUUUAUUUUCAUUUUAGAAAUUUUUUUUUGUUUUUACGAAAAGACUCCCUUUUUUUUCUCCUUGUUACUUACUUGAAAAUUUUGUUUUUUGAAAUUUUUUUUUAAUAUAUCUUUUUUUUAUUAUUAUUGAUAAAAUUUAUUUUUGGACUUCAAAAGUAGGGAUUAACAGAAAAUCAAUAACCGUUCUUGAAUUUUUUGGAUACUUACCUUUCCCGCGAAUGUGACGUGGGUACGAAAGCACGGAAUGAGGAGCUCUCCAAGUGACUUGACGCGGGCACGUCAUGAGGGCAAGAACCCCUUCUGACGAUUCUGACCGUGAGCUCUUCAUACGUCAUAACGUGGGCGCGUCAUGUCAGAGAGAUGCCUGUAAAUCAUCAAAAACGAAAAUUGAAGCAAAAAAUCAGUCAAAUAGAAGGAAAAAUAUAUUUAAACUAACGAACAAAAAUGAACAAAUAACUAGAAGAAAUUGGGUUGCCUCCCAAUGAGCGUCUUUCUUUAAUGUCUUUGACUAGACAUUAUCAUAUUUUGUUUAUGGAGGAUAAAAUCUCGUGGCUCGUCUUAAUGUUUCAUUCUCUAUAUAGUCCUGAUAGCUCUCGUAAAUAGAGUAAUUCUUGAGCACACGAGUUACGGGCUUCCAUGGACUAGUAAAUGGCGCCAAACAAGUCAUCGAUAAUUUGCAUUCUCCACUCACUCCUCCCUCACAUGCAUUUAUUGGUCCAAGAUAUCUUGCCAUCGCCAUUCUUAAAUUUAUUCCUGUCAUGAAAUUCAAGAUUUUCUGGUAUAAUAAAAUCAAUUUCAUUAACAGGAAUUGAAGAAUAAGAGUCAAGAGAAUAUUGAUUAAGGAAUGGAGGAAAUGUCACCGCAUUUGGAGGUUGUUCACUGGAUUCAUUCACUUGGACGGGUUGAUAUUGGGGGCUCAUUUUUUGCACAUCAACUUCCUUUUCAACUGCAUCUUUAGAUUCGUCUUCUUGAAACUCUUGCAGUUCCAUGUCAUUUGACCGGAUAAUUGCACUCUCAUCUUCUUCAAGGUUGAUAUUGGUUUGUGAGGGCAAUUCUUCAAGAUGAGAAGCUAAUCGCGUUAUCCUGGAUGUCAAUAGAUGUACUUGAUCUGCCAUCCCGGAUGUCAAUAGUUGCACUUGAUCCGCCAUCUCUUGUAUCUCUUGUUGAAAUCAAUAUGAAUUAGCAGUUAGCAAUUUCAUCAUUUCUUCAAGAGACAUACUUGACACGGAGGAUGAUUGUUGAGACUCUUGCUGUUGAAAAUCCAUUGGCCCGAUCGCAUAAUUAAAAUUGAAAUUAUCUCACCAUCCUUGAUCAUACCUGUUUGGGUAAAGGUCAUACCACGUUUUAAAUCGAGGUGAAAAAUCUCCAAAAGUAUCAAUUGGAGCACUUAGAUUAUCUUGAAACGCGGGGCAUGUGUCGGUUGAAUAACUUGAGGCAAAAUAAGUCCCACAAUUUGCAACAGCCCAUUGAUCAUUAGGAAAAACAUGAGUCUCAUAACCCCAUUCAGGAAUAAAAUUUAGUCUAUCAUCAAAAUACGGAAUGUUAGCAGCCAUAAGCUAUAUAAAAAAAUAAGAGAAAAAUAAAUUAAAAAUGAAAACAAGGUGAACUAAAAAAGAAACAAAUUAAUCUGGCACCAGUCCUCGGCAAUGGCGCCAAAAAUUAACAGGUUGUCUGCCUGUGCAAUAAUAAAACCUGCUCAAACUAAAAGUAAUUUCUGUAGAUAGCGGUGAGUAGGGUCGAAUCCACAGGGAUUGGGAGUAAUUGUUUCUUUUCAAAUUCACAGUGACAAGAUGGGUGUUUUUAUAUCAGGGGUGACAAUUUAAACAAUUCAACUAAAAGUAAAAUAAUAAAAAUAAAAUAGUCAACUAGAAAUUAAAUAACAAUUUAUUAAAAUCAAAUGAGGGAUAAUUAAGGAUCUAACCAAGAAAUAACUUCAGCAAUAGUUCACCUAAUUGAUCAUCGAUGCAAAGCCAAUUCCAAUUAUUUAUUAAUAAAUAGGUUAUAACUGCCAAACAAGCGAUGACAGUCAACCCCUCCUUACUGUGUCGGUGAUCAAGGUACGCCCGUUAAUCACUGCUCUAAUUAGGAAAUAAUCCUAGGUACGCCCGUAAGAUUUAAUUCCCCAAUCGCCUUACGUAUUAAAAGAGCCCUAUUUUAACCAAAUAACGCACUACCAGGGUUAUUUCAGAUUAGCCCGCGUAUCCCCCUGACACGAACCCAAUCAUGCCAGUUAUCACUAUUUUGAGACAAUUAAACAAUUACGAAUUUAAUGUCUCAAUUGACAAUAGAUUAUCAAAUUAACUAAUUAUCCGGAUCCAAGACAAUCAAUUAAUUAAACAAUCAUAAGCACUGCAACCAAGGAAUAUGCGAAUACCAAUAAAUAAAGGAAAAGAUAAAAUUAAAUCGAUCUCACAAUUUUUAGGCGAACCAAAACCUCCGUUGCUCCUUGACUAGAGUGAAGAAAUUUAGUUCAUAUUUGAUGAAUAAAACCCAAACAAAAUUGCAACAAGAGUUGUCUGCCCAUGCGAAGGAAGAAAAGCAAUCGAAAGCUACAAAGGAAAAGUCAAAGGCCGAUGCUUCAUUCCUCCUGACAUGCACAGGGGGCAACCACAAAAGACGAAAGGAAAAAGUCAAAGAAAGCUAAAGGAAGUCUAUUGUUUUUCCUUGUCAUCACCAACGAGAGAACUCCUACUAAAAAGCUAAGAAAGGAAAAAUCAAAGCUACUCUGAUGCUUGGCUCCUGUGCGGCGGCCCCCUUGCAGAGAGGACGAAGCCCCCAGCCCUGCGUUCCUUCUCUUCUUUUAUGCUGUCUUCUGCAAACUACUAGAGAGGGUCAUGUCUUGAUAUUCCAAAAAUACCCCUAGAUGCCUGCUACUUGAACUCUUUUCUGAUGAUUGUCAAAUUGGCAUUGGUUAUGGUAUUUUCGUUCUAUUCCCUGAAAUAAAUGCAAAUUACGAAAAGUGAGUAGAAUCUAAUAAUUAAUCCAUAUCAAGUCAGGUAAUAGGGGAAAUUACUAAUAAAAUAAAUGACAAAAUUACAGCCUAUCAAUACCACUUUCCGCCAAAUAGUCAUCACAAACAAGAUAUUCAGUGCCUCUGUCAGUUCUCAAAAUUUUAAUAAAGUAGCCACUCUGCUUCUCUACAUAAUAUUUGAACUUUUUAAACACAUCACAUGCAUCAGAUUUAUUUCUUAAAAAAAACACCCAUGUCUUCCUAUUGAAAUCAUCAAUGAAGAUAAUAAAAUACUUACUAUCACCAUUGGAAGGAACUUCAACUGAGCAUAAAUCUGAAUGAAUCAGUUCAAGCGGUUGAUUGGCCCUCCAAGCCUUGCCUUUUGGAAAAGGAUCCCUGUGCUUCUUUCCCAAAAUACAAGACUCACACUUCUUAUCAGGAAACUCAACAGACGGCAACCCAAUAACAAAUUUCUUUUUUGCAAGAAAUUUCAAACUCCCAAAAUUCAAAUGCCCAAAACACAUAUGCCAUAACCAAGAAUCAUCACAAGUCAUGGAAUUAAAGCAAGGUAAAUCGCCACAGUUAAGAGAAAGAGCCCACAAACGACUACGGUUCAUCUUUACCUUGGCAAUUAAUCCCAAUUUUUCAUCACUUAUGGUGCCAUUACCAUAUUUAAAAUGCAGGUCAUAACCUUUCUCAGACAGUUGUCCUAAACUCAACAAAUUAUGAUAUAAACUUGGCAUAUAGAAAAUAUCAGAAAUAUAAUUCGAAAACCCAUCUUGCAAGAUAAUUCUGAUUUUUCCUUUUCCUAGAACAGGUACCUUUUCAUUAUUUCCAAAUCUCACAGAUACAUGAAAAGAUUCAUCCACGUUAGAAAACAUCUCCUUUUUACCACACAUAUGAUUACUACAACCAAAAUCAAUAAACCAAUCAUUCUUCAUAGACUCUUCAGCUGUAGAACUAGAAAACAAUAAGGUCUCCUCUCUAUCACUACUAUUUUCUGCCACUUUAACAUGUACCUCUUUAUUAGACCAACAUUCAUUUUGAUAAUGAUCAAUUUUACCACAAUUAUAACAUUGGACAUUAGAUCUAUCACGCCUUUGAAAAUUAUUUCUUUGACUUUGCUGUUAACUGUUUUUCUGAUCCCUAUUAGAAUUAUUUCUGGGCUGGUAAGAAUAAUUACCUCUUCCAUGACUAUGAAAGUUACCUUUGCCUCCACGUCCUCUACCUCUGAAGUUCUGGCCCCUUUGAUUUGUGUCCAUACGAUUCACCCCCUCUUUUCCUUUUGGGUGAUUCACCUUGGCUUGUAACACCUCCUCUACUGUAUCUGAUGGCUGCUGAUUUAGGGACAUCUCAUACGUUAGCAAUUCACCUUCCAAUUCAGCAAGUGACAAAUUGUCAAGGUCCUUUGUGGCUUCAAGGGCCGUCUUCUUGGUGUGAAAUUUGGCAGUUAGAGAUCUUAGAACUUUUUCAACCACUCUAACCUCUUCCAAAUUCUCACCAUUGGACUCCAUAUCAUUGACAAUUUCUUUAAUUGUGCCAAUAAAAUCUUUAACUGACUCUGUGGAUUUCAUUUGGGCCAACUCAAAUUGUCUCCUAAGUUCCUGCAAUCUGAUUUUUCUCACGUUAGCAGCUCCUUGAUUUGAGUUCACCAAAACUAUCCAAGUCUCUUUUGCCGACUUUGCAUGUAUAAUUUUUUUGGCAACAUGCAACUGGACUUGAGUGUUGAGAUAGUACAUUGCCUUGCAAUCCAACUGUCUAUUUCUCUCUAAUUCUUUAAUUACAUCGCUUGAUAAUUCCAUACCUGCGACCGAUUCCGUAUGUCCUAUUUCAACUAUAUUCCAAACUGCAAUAUUUUGGAAAAAAUUCUUCAUCAUCGACCUCCAAACCUCAAAAUCGUUUUUACCGUCGAAGAUAAAAACACGACAAUUGUGCAAAUAAUGCGGAUCCAUACUUUAAUUUCAUGAACAAACUCCAAACCCCAAUUUUGCAAACAAGCCCCAAGAUCAAAGCCUGGAGCUCUGAUACCACUUUGUAGAAAUCUAACCCACAGGAUAACAACAAAUAAACCUCACUCAAUGAAUUAAUUAGGCAGCGAAAGAGGAAUAAAAAGGGAUAAGCAAUAGACUAUUUAUGACAAAGCGAGGCAACGAAACAAAAGCAGAACUAUGAAAAGCUUCGGGAGGCAAAACCAAUAUUUCUUUACAAGUCUCUCGGCUCCUUUCUAUGUUACACACCGGCAGACUAGUACUACACACACACAUACAUAUAUAUAUAGGCACCAAGUCUCCAUAGUGCUCAGGGAUUUUGUCCUCACCAUCUAAUAAAUCAAAGACCACAUUGGAAUUGGACAUCAAGCAUCCUAGUUAGACUAGAACUCAACUAGCUAAACGUAAACCUGAACUAUACUAAUUCCAACCAACUCCAAUUAAGAAACUAACAAAUAAUAAUCUUGAUUUAAUUCCUACAUGUUCUUUCGUAAUUCUGAUAGACUAGUUAAACUUUGUGAAUUAUUUAUAAAGCAAUGAAUUACGAGCGACUCUUGAAAUUUUCACAGUACUAGAUACAGUUUCUCCUUUUGCUACCUCUAUUUUUUUUUUUUUUUGGAUUCUGAAAAUUGAUCUCUUGUAAUAUCUGACAGAUUUUGAAGUAAGAUUCUGAUGUAACUAUUUGCCAUUCAACAGGAUAGGUGAUUAAGUACAUCAGAUUUACCUGUUAGCCAUGUAAAACAGAAUGUAUGAAAUAAAUUUUAAGAGAGAGAGAGCUUGUAACGAUGAUAACUAUAAUUAUUCGUCUCACAGAAAUAUCAAAUAAUAUUGGAAGUUGACUUGACUAUGCUAAUAGGUGACUCAGAAUAAGGUAAGCAAGGGUAAUGUACCUAUCUAAUUUGUUUUGCUACAAGUUUUUUUUUAAAUUUUAUUUUGGGUGGGUGGGAGGGGAGGGGAGUUCUUCUUGGGUUUAAUCAACAAGUACAGAAAAGCUGGCGGUGUUGCUUAAGACAAUUGAAGUUGCGGGGGAGGUUGUUAAGACAAUUUGAUUUUUAAACCAAUCUUCAACACAAACUAAAACCAGAAACUCCAUACGUAGUUAAAUUAAAGAUCUUCUUGCCUGCGAUAUAAGGGCUGGGAAUGGAACUUGUGGUAUACAGAACAUAUUAGUUGCCGCACAUCAUGCCAUCUACUAUGAUAUUCCACAUCGGAACUCGAAAGAGGAGAGUAAAGAUAUAUGACGUUCAGCCCGUCGAAUAAUCAAUAACAUUGGGUUAAUUUAGCUUUUAUUGGGCCAGUCCAGCAGGCACGGACCAUUACAAAUAGUAUCAGAGCGAAUUGUGUGUGGUUUCUAUGUGAAGUGAGCCUUUCCAACUAACAAUUAAAGAUUUUAGUCUGAAAUCUAAAGUUUGAAUCCAUUAAACUAUUGAAUUGUUAAGUAUUAAAUAUAAUACAUUUGAGUGCAUGUCAGAUUCAGUGAUAAGUGAAUAGUUUAUCACUUAAUUUUGGAAACAAGUUUUACCUAAAAAAUUCAGUGCUACUUAAUUUAUUCAGAUGUUUAAUUUUUUGUUAUCAGACGGUUUGAAUAUGUUAACAGCUGCUUCCAUUAAGUUUAAGUGCUGAAUUGAAUUAUCAAACAUGAUCUAAGUAAAAAAUAUAAGGAACUAAGUGCUAUACGGGACAAAACCCCAUAUUAGAUGGGGUCACCUUUAGAAUUCGUAUGAGUUAUCUCUAGAAUCCGCAUAUGACUAAAUAAUCAGUUGGAUUGCAAUGGAGUCCUCUUAACAAUCUAGAAUCCGCACACGAUUAAAUGAUCAGUUGGAUUGCAACGGGGUUUUCUUAACAAUAAGUCAAGUCAGUUGUGGAAAACAAAUGGGACGCCAUAAACUGCACUAUCCACAAAUUAGAAAUAUGAAAGAGAUGGAGUCAGCCAAAGUGAGGCUCAUGAAGCUUAGAAUUCUGAUGCUUGCCUAUUGGGCUGUCACACUCUUUGCAAGAUUUUGUAGCUGGUCAACAUUGUGACCUCCUAGAACAGUUAGAUGGUAGGCCUAUAACCGCAAGGAUAGAGCAGGAAAACAUUAGUGUAUGUGAAGUGUCAGCUUUGGAAACUAGGGUCUACUUGCGUGGCUGGUUUUGGCAAAACUCUAGUGUAACCCUUCCCAAAACACUAAGACACAGCUAAAAUAAUGUCAGCACAAAAAAACACAUGGAAGUAAUAUUAAAAUAUUACACAAGAUCAACGAAAGCACGUGAGGUUAUUCAAUCAAUCUAUUAAUUUUCUUCUGUCACAACUCAACUCAACUCAACAAAUUCUUCAACUCAAUAUAACAAGAGUCAACUCAAUUCUCUAAUUGGAUAUGAAACAAGCAUCACAUAUAUGUAGGCAAUAGGUUACCAUAUAACUAAAGACUCGAGUGACUUCCACCGACUUGGACUAAGAAACCAAUUACACUUAGAAAACCAACUAAUCAAGGAUUCGGACUUGACUAUUCACCGACCAAAAUUCAAGGAAACUAACAAGCGGACAGCUGACUAAAACUUUACCAUGUAAGUGGAUAUAGUAACAACUUUAAUCUAAUAAUCUAAACAAAAAAAUGAAGUAAACUUGGUUUAAUUUCCUUCAUUACCUUUCUUAAACUAAACUCAUCAUUAUGGUCAAUUCCAAUACCAUCUCGAACUUGAAUCUAUAUGAAAAGCUUUGUUGUUAUAUAGAUCAUAUGGAAUCUCAACUUACAAUUGAUCUUCAGUUUCAUCUUCUCCGGUGGAAGUAGACGAAACUUAUACUUUUUGAAUAAUUUCUUCGUUUGAUCGGUCUUGCCAAAAAAUUCAAACAUGUUCACCUAUGCUUCAUUAGAUACUCCAUAAUUUAAUUCGUCCACGCCACCAAGAAAAUUUCAUGAAAUCACAAAAUCAUGCUUUCCACCACCAAAAAUUUCAACAUCAUCAUGAACUUAUUUUGAUUCAUCCAUACCAAUGCCCACAUUAGUUUCAGCAAUGCCACAAUCUUUAACUAAUUUGUCCACGUCACAAUUGUUCUUAACCAAUUCUAUCGCUUGAUUUUUCUCGUCAAAAUAUUCAUCAAUCCCGAAAAAAUUAACAAUUUCUAUGUUGCGAUAAGCUUCAAUCACAUCUUUAAUCUGAUGAAUGAUUUCACUUUCUUUCUCAACCACUUGUGAAAUUCCUUUUGAACAAAAUUUUCAUCUUCAUGGGCACCCACAACUUCUGUAAUUUCUUCUUUCUUUAUCUCAUCCAAAAAAAAAAUAUUUUUCUUCUUUCUCAUCACAAAUUUUUUGUCAAUCAUAACUACAAUAAGAAUUUGUCAAAAAUUUUCAAACCUCCUUUGCCGUCUUUGCAUGUAUGAAUCUUUUCGCUACAUGCAAUUGAACUUGGGUGUUGAGGUAGUAGAAUAUCUUGCAAUCCAACUGUCUAUUUCUCUCUAACUCUUUAACUAAACUACCAAUAAUUCUGCACCUUGUGUAGGUUCCUUGAACCCCUUUUGAAUAAUAUCCCAAAAUCCAAUAGUUUGAAAAUAUCUCUUCAUCCAACUCCAAACAUCAGAGUCCUUUUUACCAUCAAUGUUAAAAAUGUCAUAACAUCAAAAUGUUAUAAAUAACACGGAUUCAUAUUUUAAUUUUACAAAUAAGCCCUAAGUUCAUAGUCUAGAUGUCUGAUACUACUUGUUAGCACAAAAGUCACGCAUUAGAAGUAACAUUAAAUCUUAUACAAGAACGACGAAGGCACGGGAGGUUAUUCAAUCAAUCCAUUAAUUUCUCUCUAUCUCGUAACUCAAUUCAAUAAAUUUUUCAACUCCAUUUAAUAAGACUUGAGUAAACUUAACUCUCCAAUUAGAUAUCAAACAGGCACCACAUAUACAUAGGCAAUAGGUUGCCAUAAAACUAAAGACUAAAGGAACUUCCUAAACCGAUACCAACUUGGACUAAGAAACCAAUUACACACAUGAAACUAACUAAUCAAGGAUUCGGACUUGACUAUUCACCGACCAAAAUUUAAGGAAACUAACAAGUGGAUAGCUGACUAAAAUGUUACCAUGUAAUUGGUUAUAGUAAUAACUUUAAUCAAUAAUCUAAACAAAUAAAUGAAAUAAGCUUGAUUUCAUUUCCUUCAAAUAACACACGGAAAACACCUAGAACACCCAAAACAACCCAUCAACCACUCACCCUCCAUCCCCUCCUUCCUCUCCCACCCAAGUCCCCUUCAUCAACCCUUCACCUCUCCUGCCUGCCACCAGCUCCCUAGUCACUUCUCCCACUCACGUGCUCGCCAAAAAUUGGGAUGUUUUUAUGUGGCUGCGAGUAAUAUGUAAUGGUAUGAUCAUUGAAGUAGUACACCAUCACUCAACUAAAGCAAACCAUUACAACUAAUAAUUCAUUGGCACCAAUUAAAGGGCAGUUCGACCGAUGACAGGUGCCGAACCUGUACAAUAAUAAAUACCUACUCGAGAAAAAUACAAAUUUUGUAUAUAGUGGUGAGUAGGGUCGAAUCCACAGGGAUUGGGGAUAAUUCGUUUCUUCUAGAGUUCAAAGUAUGGGAGUUUUCAGGAUUAAAUGCUAACUAAAUAAAUGAAAUGCAGAAAAUAAUUAAUUAAAAGAAAUAAUUGGGAGAACUCUAGCCAAGGGUGCACUUCAGAAAUGGUUCAUCCACUGAUCAUUGAUUCCCGCAUAAUUCCUACAAUUACUAAUAGAUUGGUUAUAGUUGUCAUGCACACGAUAAACAACCAACCCUUCCUUAAUUUCUCGGUAGUUAAGGUACGACCGUUAACUAUUUCUCUAACCCAAAAAUAACCCUAGGUACGACCGUAGGAUUUAAUUUCUAAAUUGCAUUAAUAAUUAGAAAGACCCAAUCCUAACUAACAAAUACGCUACGAGGGUUUGUUUAAGUUAGAUCAUACGUUUCCCUGACAUAAACCCAAUUACGCCAGUUGCUACUGAGAUAGGGAUAUUCGAACAAUUACGGAUUCAAUUACUCCUAAUUAGCGAAAUAGCCUAUAUGAAUAAUUAAUUAUUGCGCACUAAUCAAUCAUACACACGAGCUAUAGCAAUUAAAAGCAGGAAACAUAUAAAUACCAAUAAAUGAAAGAAAUAAUUAAAUAAAUUCGAUCUCACAGUAAUUGUCGAACCAAAUCCUCAGUUGCCCCUUUAACUAGAAUUGGAGAGUUAGUUCUCCAUUAAUGGAGAACCAUCCAUGCGAAUGGUUAGAGAAAGAGGCCCCCAAGACUUGACUUCCACCAUUGAUUGAAAGAAAGAAAAGAUCGAAAGCCUAACAAGUAAAAGCCUCCCCAGCCGAGAGCUUGCGGAGCAGACCAUGAUGAAUUAAUCUCCCCUCCGUCAAUGUUGCCAACCAACUCUUAAUCACGCGGGAUCCGGCUUUUUUUCCCUCUCAUUUGUUUUGUUUCCUAUUCAGCUUCUACUACUCAUUGUUCCUUUCCAAACGUGAAAGAAGGAAUAAAAAUAGACUAGCCUCCUUUUUUUCUUUUCUAAGAAGUAGCAAUCAAAAUGGGAGUCGGCCUUUUCUUUCCGUAUUUUCUAGUUUCCCAAAUACAUUGAACUUCCUAAUUUUCCUAAGAAGAAGAUAUUUCCUCCUAAUCUAAGACGUUUCCCAACUGUAUUUGAAAACAUGCUUCGUAAGUCUUCGGCUUGAACUAGGAAACUGCCAUCCGUGAACCCCGUCAUCUCUAGACUUGACAGUAAUUCUUGGAAAAUUACCCCUUUUAUCACAUGUUGCUCAUUUUCCUACAAUUGGCACCAUUAUACCAAACAUAAGUAGAAUCCGACAAUUAAAAUAAUGUUUGGCUAAAAUCAAGGGAAGAAUAAUAAAAAUUUGGCAACAAAUUAUGACUUAUCAACCGAUACAACUAUUAUUGGUUCAACUGAUUUGCCUCUAACAUAAAUGUAACAACUUAUAUUUCAUUAGUUCCUUUAAUUAAUGUCCUUAAGACACUAAUCAAGACACAUCCAAGUGCAAUUUAACAAACUAGUAAUAAAGCAUGUGUUUUUGAUAAAGCAAUUAUUGGGCACAUUUUGCACUGUUAUUUUGUCAUAAUUUUGGCAACUUACUGUGCUAAAUAUUGAGAUUUUGCUAAUAUUUCAUAUUUGUAUGAAUUAUAGGUGGUUGGUGUAAAAAGUGUUUUCACGAGGCAAAUUUUCAGAAGACUCUCUAUUUCAUGGCGUGCCCACGCCAGAAACUGAAGAGUUACACCUAAAAGCUGGAUCCGCGAGAUUGGUUGCAGCGCAAAGUGGGCAAUUAGGAGGUUGGGUCCACGUGGACCGGACGCAUGGGAUUAAAACCCCAAAAAAGCAAAGCUUUGCAGAGGACCCUUUGUGGAUUGCUCCUGGCGGCUGCAAAAGGCCAAAAACCAAAAGAAAGCCAGACUCACUUUUUAAUUGAUAGAUUAGCUUUUAGCUUUUGCUUUUUAGGGUCAGACGUCUUCUUUUUCUUGGGACUUUUUGCACUAGCUUUAGACAAUUAGGGAGUAACUUUCGUUUGCGAACCCUGGAAGACGAAUUGAAGUCUGCCGUCUUUGUUUCGUUUAUCUCAGACGCCUGUCGUGAGACAGGGGCUUUUACCUUUUGCUUUGGUACAAACACGAAACAAAGUGAAGCUAGAAUUUUUCUUCGGGUCCGUUGUUAUUCCGUCUCUCCCAGAUUAUUGGUAAAUAAUUGGAUGUUAUCAAUUAAAUCACGGGAGAGUGAUAUGAUGAGGAGCGGCUAGUUUUCUCCUCUACCCAAAGGUCGACGCGAGGGCGCGGUCCAUAACAUCUGUGAGAUCUAAUCGAAUUUUCAUUAUUUCUUUCAAUUCAUUACUAUUCAUGCGUUUCCUAGAUUAAUUGUUCAUGGGUAUUUUAUUAAUUGAGUAUCAACGGCCGAAUAUUUAAUUUAAUAUAAUAGCCUACUGCCACGUUAAUUAAAUUGAAUCCGUAAUUGUUCGUUUAGUUGACAACUAGUGGCAACCACCAUAAUUGAUUUUAUGUUGGGAAAAUGUAAGAUCUGACUUAAAUAAACCCUCUUAGCGUGUUUAUUGGUUAGGGUUGGGUUCUUCUAGUUUUAAUGCAACUGGAUAAUUAAAUUCCUACGGUUGUAUCUAGCGUUGUUUUCUGGUUAGAGAAGCAGUCAAUGGUCAUACCUUGACUGUCGAAAAAGUAAGGAAGAACUGGUUGUCAGAACUUGUUGAUAACUAUAAUCAAUCUAGUGACUGAUGAAUGAAAUAUCUUUGCAUCGAUGAUCAUUUAAUUGGACCGUGCCUGAAAAGUUGAUCCUUUGGAUAGAAUUUUAUUAAUUGCUAUUUUUACUAAAUUGAACUUGUUGAGUUAGCUCUUGAAUUUUAUUUAUUUCAUUUUUAUUUUCAUCCCAUUAAUUAUCCCCCUAUUUUAUUUUAUUAACUUGGAAAGAAACAAGUUCCUACCUGUUCUCUGUGGAAUCAACCCUACUUGCCAUUGUAUGCAAAUUUAAUAUUUUUAUAGACAAUUCUGGUAUAUCGAAUCAAGCAAACUCUUCGGGAACAGGGUGAAUCAAGUAACCCAUUGCACACCUAGGGUCCCUGCUCCAAUAUUCGGAUUUGUUCUAUAAUUAAUUGUGGUGGUAAUUAGGACUUUUUAGUAAUUAUUAUUGCAUAGACUCGACACCUGUCAAUUUUUGGCGCCGUUGCCGGGGAACGGUGUUUUGGUUAAUUUUGUUUCUUUCUAAGUUAUUUUCUUUGGAUUUGUCUGACAUUUUCUAGUUUAUGCCUCGUUCUUCUCGUACAGGCGAAUUGAUUUUCGAUCCAGAAGUAGAGAAGACUACGCGCCGAACUAAAAAAGAGACUAGACAGCUCAGGGAGGAGCAAUCUAGCAUUGCAUCUCAGGGACUUGAUCCUGAGGUCGAAUCAACAGAUUCAAGUGGUGAUAAUUCAAGUGAUUCAGGCCAAGAGGAUAUCCGUAUGGCAAACGCAAGAACACUAAGGGAGUUGGCUGCUCCGGAAUUGCCCCAGCAGCCUUUGUGCAUCACGUUUCCAAGUCUAGCGGAAAAUACCUCAUUCGAGUUGAAGUCAGGAUUGAUUCACCUCUUACCCUCAUUCUAUGGCAUUUCGGGGGAGGAACCCCAUAAACACAUCCUGAAGUUCGAUUUGGUAUGCUCCAGUAUGAAACCUCCAGGAAUUACUAAGGAGCAGAUUAAACUUAGAGCUUUCCCUUUCUUCCUCGAGGACGCAGCUAAGGAUUGGUUAUACUACCUACCUGCAGGUAGUAUCACAACAUGGGCUCAACUGAAGAAGAAAUUUUUGGAAAAAUUCUUCCCUGCAUCCCGGGCUGCAAGUUUGAGAAAAAAAAUUUGCAGCAUUAAGCAGUACCCUGGAGAAUCCCUAUAUGACUAUUGGGAGAGGUUCAAUAAAUUGUGUAUUAGAUGCCCACAGCAUCAAAUUAGUGAACAACUAUUGAUCCAAUACUUUUAUGAGGGACCUCAGUCGUCCGAUAGGAGUAUCAUUGAUGCUGCAAGCGGGGGAGCACUGGCAAAUAAGACCCCGAGGGAAGCAUGGCUGCUCAUUGAAGUUAUGGCAGAGAAUUCUCAACAGUUUGGCUUCCGUGAGAGUAACCCUACCCGCAGGGUUAAUGAGGUGGAGACGACAUCUAUUCAGCAGCAGUUGUCGGAGUUAACAUCUUUUGUUCGACAAUUAGCUGUGGGGAAUGUGCACCAAGUAAAAGCCUGUGGAAUUUGCACAAAUGUGGGCCACGCCACUGACUCAUGCCCUAUGUUGUAAGAGGAUGGGUUGAACAAGUGAACAUGACUGGAGGCGUGUCCACGCCUCGUAGGCAGUACGAUCCAUACUUCAAUACGUACAAUCCGAGUUGGAGAGACCACCCCAAUUUCAGCUAUGGUAAUAGGCCGCAGAAUUCAUUCUCCAAUUGUCUACCAGGAUUUCAGCAACCUUGGCAACAAAAGUCUCAACUCUCGUCCUCCAACUCAGGAAGUUCCUUGGAGGAAAUUGUCAAGAGUUUGGCUACGACUACCACUCAACUCCAGCAAGAGACUAGGGCCCUGGUUGCAAACACUACUCAGUUCCAGCAGGACACCAGAGCAGGCAUGAAAGACAUGGAGAUUUGAAUGAAUCAAAUGAUAACUACCAUUAAUCGCCUGGAGUCCCACAUUUAUGAGAAAUUGCCAUCACAACCCGAGGCAAAUCCCAAAAAUGUAAUUGCCAUGACAUUAAGGAGUGACAAAGAGGUGGAGGGAUCUAAGUUAACGAUUUCGAAAAGCAAAAGUGAGGAGGAGAUAGAAAACGGAAUUGAAGAGAAAGGGCGCAUUCGCGAAGAGCCUAAGGUAACAUCUAUUCCUUCUAUCCCUAUUAAAUCUAAUCUAGCUCCUUUUCCUUGCAGGUUAGAAAAGACAAAGAGGGCAGAAAAGGAAAAAGAAAUCCUGGAUGUAUUCAGCAAAAUUCAAGUAAACAUCCCCCUAUUGGAUGCGAUCAAACAGGUACCCAAGUACGUAAAAUUCUUGAAAAACUUGUGCGUUAACAAAAGAAAGCUAAGGGGUGAUGAAAGAGUGAUGAUAGGAGAGAAUGUAUCAGCUGUACUUCAAAGAAAACUCCCACCCAAAUGCGGGGAUCCAAGUAUGUUUACUAUUCCCUGUAAGAUUGGCCAUUCUAGUAUCAAAAAUGUCAUGAUAGAUUUAGGGAUUUUUAUUAAUGUGAUGCCUAAGUCAAUCUAUGAUUCCCUAAAUUUAAAAUCUUUAAAAGAAACGGGAAUAAUAAUUCAAUUGGCUGAUCGUACAUGUGCUUAUCCGGAUGGGAUAGUUGAAGAUGUUUUAGUCCAAGUAGAUGGAUUAAUUUUUUCCUGCUGAUUUUUAUGUGCUUUACAUGGAUGAUAGAAGUGCUCCAAAUCCAUUACCGAUUAUAUUAGGAAGACCAUUCUUGAGUACUGUCCAGACUAAAAUUGAUGUUAGUAAGGCUACUCUCACGAUGAAAUUUGAUGGAGAAAUAGUCCACUUUAAUAUUUUUGAUACAAUGAAACAUCCUAUUAACUCUCACUCUGUGUUUGCUAUUCAUGCUACUGAUCCCUCUGUGUAAGAAUUUUCUGAGUUUACUUGUAGGAGUAAAUUCAAAAUUGCUGCGAACAAGUAUCAUGGAAUGAAAGCAAUUUAUGAGGUGAAAAUGGGUAGAAAAUUAAGAAAAAAAUGUUGCAUUCAAUGGCUAUUUGGAUCCCGGAGGAGGGCCACAGAUUAGAAGAAAAAUUGAAUUACAUCCAAACUGAAGAGCGGUGUACAGUGUCUAGUCAAAAACAUUAAAGAAAGGCGCUACUUGGAAGGCAAUCCAAGGAUUUCAAUUGUGUUUUAUUUCAUAUUUGUGUGUUCAAGAUCAGUGAGUUUAGAUUCCUAUUGACAAACAAUCUUUAUUGUAGGUCAUGAGUGUUUCUGUGUAGUUUUAUUCUAGGUUGGGGGCAAAAAUUUGUGGGCAGAAGACUUCGACCUCCAAGGCGUGCCCACGCCUGCCAACCUUUGCAACAAUGAAAGUCAAAAAAAAAAAAUUGAUUGACCAGGACCUUCUCUAACCCCACUUUUCUACUUUUCUCUUUUCUUGUCUUGUCUGGUCUUUUUAAUUUCCUCUGUCUUAGUUUCUACUUUUCAAUUUCCUUUGUUUUGUCUUAGUUUCAGUUUCUUCGUUUCCUCUUUUCUUGUUAGUCCGCCGCGCAUAGCGCGUCGCCGUGGCGUGCUCCUUUUACCAUGCUCCUCCUGCUGGGGAUUCUCAAUACCGUGCCCUCCAAGAUUCUAUCAGUGAAAUAGGUGAGCGAGUUGAGGGACUAGAGGACCGUCUUAGAGCGUUACGGGUUUUUUUCCGUAUUCAGAUGGAGAAUCAGGCAACUUUCUUUGCUCAUAUUGGAUUUCUACCGCCUCAUCCUCCUCCUCCUUAGUGUCUCGUUGCACCAUCUCGGUAGUCAGGGAAGUUUCGCCCCCUUUAUCCUUACACUUUAUUUAUUUUUGCUACAUUGAGCACAAUAUAGGUUUUAGGUGUGGGGGGAUGGUUUCUAUUAUUUCUUUUUGUUUCUAUUAUUUCUUUUUGCUUGAAAAAGAGAAAAAAAAUGAAAAACAAAAAAAUAUUUCAAAAAAAAAAAGUGCAGUUAGUUGCCUUUCUUUUUAUUUCUACAGUUGUUAACUGUUAGAGCAUGUUGCUAUGAUGGAUUGCACAAUCAGGGUGCACGGGUAUGUGGUCAUAUAUGCUAGCCAUGCAUUUUGGUUUUCUUUGGCAAUAUCGGUGAAUGUUGAACAUGCUGGACUUGACCCAUUCUUGAAACUUUUGGGAGCUUUUGAGCCAUGUACGAGCACGUUAUUCUUGUUUGCUUCGUUUGUGUUAUUGAGUGGGUAUCACACAUGGCAUUGGCAUUCUAGAACUUGCUAUUUUAUACAUGUCGAGGCCACAUUUUGUUGAACUAGAUGCAUCUGAAAUGAUAAGGGCAUUUAGGAUCUAACAUUCUUUAACUUUCUACAAACCAUGCCUUCAUCUUGUCUCCUCGUAAUGAACCUAUUUGAGCUUUUAUCCUUCGCUAUUGUUUGAUUAACCGUAUUUGAUAACCCAUGACCUUUUUAGACUUUUUUGUUUAACCUUGUGCCGUCAAGAGAUGUCUGAAUUCCGUUGUUUGUGCAAGGCAAAUGAAUCUAAGGUGGCAAGUGUUGUCGGAAUAGAAGUUGUAUGGUGCUCUGUGCAUCUGAGAUAAAAAAAAAAGGGGAAGGGGGAGAAGUCGGCAAUGAGCUGGUGGGCAGAAGACUCCAGCCUGCAAGGCGUGCCCACGCCUUGCAAGACAUUUGCUCCAUUAAAAAAAAAAGAAAAAAAAAGAUUGUCAGCAGAAGACUCCGGCCUACAAGGCGUGCCCACGUCUUGCGAGCCGCUUGUUCAAAAAAAAAUUAAAAGAAAAAAGAAAAAAAAAAGAUAAAAGGGGAAGAGUUUCGGCACUUGCACAGUGGAAAUGGCAAAUGAAAAUGCCUUGCUCGUGAAAUUUCUCUGAUGAAGCGUUGUGGUGAUGUGGUGGAUAUUAGGCAUUCUCUUGAUACACUACACCUUAUUUUUACCUUUUUAUCCCGCCUUUUACCUAAACCCCAUUACAACCUUAUUAAAGUCCCUUUGAUUUGUGUAUUUAGUUCACUUGCGAGUGGUGGAGAUGUGAUAAAUGUGCAAGCCUAUGGUAAUGCCAUUCCGUGAUGUUGAUUUGAGCAUUCCUAGUAUUCAUAUAUUUUCUUUGAAUUACCACUUGUCCGGUGUGCUCUAAUUUUGGAAACAUUGUCAGGGAUCUGAGAUGUUUGUGUUAGUACAAAUUACUACAUGACCUUUGCUCUCUUGGUUGUACUUUUGAGCUCCGAAAUGCUUGAGGGCAAGCAUUGUUUAGGUGUGGGGGGAUUUGAUAGAGCAAUUAUUGGGCACAUUUUGCACUGUUAUUUUGUCAUAAUUUUGGCUAUUUACUGUGCUAAGUAUUGAGAUUUUGCUAAUAUUUCAUAUUUGUAUGAAUUUAUAGGUGGUUGGCGUAAAAAGUGUUUUCGCGAGGCAAAUUUCCAGAAGACUCUCUAUUUCAUGACUUGCCCACGCCAGAAACUAAAGAGUUACACCUAAAAGCCGGACCCGCGAGAUUGGUUGCAGCGCAAAGUGGGCAAUUAGGAGGUUGGGUCCACGUGGACCGGACGCAUGGGAUUAAAAUCCCAAAAAAGCAAAGCUUUGCAGAGGACCCUUUGUGGAUUGCUCCUGGCGGCUGCAAAAGGCCAAAAACCAAAAGAAAGCCAGAUUCACGUUUUAAUUGAUAGAUUAGCCUUUAGCUUUUGCUUUUUAGGGUCAGACGUCUUCUUUUUCUUGGGACUUUUCGCACUAGCUUUAGACAAUUAGGGAGUAGCUUUCGUUUGUGAACCCUGGAAGACGAAUUGAAGUCUGCCGUCUUUGUUUCGUUUAUCUCAGACGCCUGUCGUGAGACCGGGGCUUUUACCUUUUGCUUUGGUACAAACACGAAACAAAGUGAAGCUAGAGUUUUUCUUCGGGUCCGUUGUUAUUCCGUCUCUCCCAGAUUAUUGGUAAAUAAUUGGAUGUUAUCAAUUAAAUCACGGGAGAGUGAUAUGAUGAGGAGCGGCUAGUUUUCUCCUCUACCCAAAGGUCGACGCGAGGGCGCGGUCCAUAACAUCUGUGAGAUCUAAUCGAAUUUUCAUUAUUUCUUUCAAUUCAUUACUAUUCAUGUGUUUCCUAGAUUAAUUGCUCAUGGGUAUUUUAUUAAUUGAGUAUCAACGGCCGGAUAUUUAAUUUAAUAUAAUAGCCUACUGCCACGUUAAUUAAAUUGAAUCCGUAAUUGUUCGUUUAGUUGACAACUAGUGGGAACCAUCAUAAUUGAUUUUAUGUUGGGGAAACGUAAGAUCUGGCUUAAAUAAACCCUCUUAGCGUGUUUAUUGGUUAGGGUUGGGUUCUUCUAGUUUUAAUGAAACUGGAUAAUUAAAUUCCUACGGUUGUAACUAGGAUUAUUUUCUGGUUAGAGAAGCAGUCAAUGGUCGUACCUUGACUGUCGAAAAAGUAAGGAAGAACUGGUUGUUAGAGCUUGUUGAUAACUAUAACCAAUCUAGUGACUGAUGAAUGAAAUAUCUUUGCAUCGAUGAUCAUUUAAUUGGACCGUGCCUGAAAAGUUGAUCAUUUGGAUAGAAUUUUAUUAAUUGCUAUUUUUACUAAAUUGAACUUGUUGAGUUAGCUCUUGAAUUUUAUUUAUUUCAUUUUUAUUUUUAUCCCAUUAAUUAUCCCCCUAUUUUAUUUUAUUAACUUGGAAAGAAACAAGUUCCUACCCGUUCUCUGUGGAAUCGACCCUACUUGCCAUUGUAUGCAAAUUUAAUAUUUUUAUAGACAAUUAUGAUAUAUCGGAUCAAGCAAACUCUUCGGGAACAGGGUGAAUCAAGUAACCCAUUGCACACCUAGGGUCCCUUCUCCAGUACUCGGAUUUAUUAUAUAAUUAAUUGUGGUGGUAAUUAGGGCUUUUUAGUAAUUAUUAUUGCACAGGCUUGACACCUGUCAAUUUUUGUGUUUUGCACGUGAACAUGAUGCUUUUAUAUUUUUUUCCCUUAAAAAUUUUUAGAAAAUCAAUUAUUUUGAAGGAAUAAAUGUAAUUGAGACAAAAAAAAUAUGACAUUUUAUAUUUAUAUUGCUUUAUAUUUUUCUGAACUUAGUUUUCCCUAACUAAACAUAAAUGCACAAGUAAUAAAUCACUCUUUGUUUUAAGAGCACUUUUAUUUUGUAACAGUAUGAAUAUUUUUGUCUUUUGGUUAAAUUUAGAUGACCUAAAUGUUCUUUUUUAUGCCAUCUAAGUUUACAUUUUUAAUUUUUUGAAUAAUUUAUUGCUCCCUUUAAGUUAUUCUAUGAAUUGUUUAUUAGUUUUGGUGAGAUUUUCUAAUAAUUAUUAUUUUUUGCUAAUGGUGGAUUGUAAAAUGAUCUAUAGUGCUACUAUAAUUAUAGUAGUAUUUAAAUAUAUUGAAAUUCCAUUGUUUGAAUUUAAAUAGCUUAACUUUAGAGAGAAAUAUUUUGAUUUGGUGAAACCUAUUUGUAUUUCUCACUGAUGACAUGCUUUAUGAAUAUAGAGUUUCUAUGAUUAAAAAUUGUAAGACAUUAAGACUAUUUAUUAUAUAAUAGUUAAAUUGAACUCGGAUAUAUUUUUAUUCACCUUUGAAAUACUCCUUGAAAUUGAUAUUUUAUAUAAAAAAAAAAUUUGGAUUAAUUCACCAUAACUCAAAGGGAUGUUUUAGCUGUGUAAUUAUUAUUAUGAUUAGCAUUGAUGAAUAUAAUAUUCAUUAAUUGUGGUUUAAUAUAUUAGUUGUUACAAGAAUAUGAUUGCUAAAGUCCAUUAAAUCUAAUCUUUAUUGCAAUUUAAAUAAAUAAAUUCCUAACACAAAACUCUUUGCCUACCUUGGCACUCCAUUUCCUAUUUUAUUUUGUAUUAAAAUUUUUUACUCAAUAGUAAUAUAUGCAUAUUAAAAAGAUACUCUUAAGACUUAAUUAACUUGUAUCCAAAAAAUUAAAAAAAAACAUGGUACUUUUUAAGAGACUCAUAGUACCAAUUUAUUAUGUUUUGUUUCAUGUUUGAAGCACUCUAACUUAGAUUUUGUAAAUAAAAUUUGUUGUUCUUUCUUUUGUAAAUAAAAAGUAAGGAAUCUUUCAUAUUCGUAACUGCUAGCCUAUUUGAUAUUAUUUAUUAAUGAUGAAAUACAAUGCAAUUUAUCCAUUUAUUAGAGAGGAGUGUAAUUUUGGUAUCAAAAAAAUUAAUAUCAUUUUUGUUACAUUAUUGACCACUAAAAUUCACCAUAUUUUUUUAAAAUUUAUAAAUAAAAUUUAUUCUUCUUUUUUUCUUUAAUUCACUAUAACUCAAAUUCUAAUUGUUCAAAUUAUUUUCUAAUGCUUCAAUUUUUAUUCUAAUUACUCAUAUUAUUGAAGCAAUUGGUAACAUUUUGUUCAUUUCAUUAAUAUCAUAACCGAAAUAAAAUGACUGUAAUUAUUAGACAAAAGGGUACUUUGGUCACAGCAAAAACUAAGACCAACAAAAAAAUGCUUACACUUUAGAUUGUUUACACUCUAUUUGCCUAAACUAUCCAUUGUUUUAUUGGGAUUAUAGAUACAGAUAGAUAGAUAGAUUAGUUUGCUAGUUUGCCAAGGUAUUAAAAGGCAUCAAUAGCACCUAUCGCAACAGAUUUAUGUCAUCAAUUGGACAAGGUAUUGAGCUUUGUAGGGGUGGCAAUUCCCGAUGCAACCUGAAAACACGACACGAAUCUAAUACGAAAUUAAUGAAUUUGGGUUUAGAUUUUGAGGAUUCGGGUCAAACCCGAUAAACCCAGAAAAAAAGGUCAAAAUCGAGUCCAAAUCAGAUUGACCGCUAACCCGUUUCUGAAAUAAAAAUAAAUAAAUAAAUAUUAAAGACUUAUCUAAAGACUAAAUAGUAAAUACCACUACACAUCAAAACAACAAUUCACACACUUGACUUGGUCGGCCAUAUUAAUUUGUCUAGCUUGUAGGUGGACUGUUUAAGCAGCAUCCAAGGAACAAAUUUUGAAAAGUUGCCUCAAAUAGUCAAAUGUUGUCACCUGAUCCUCACUCGAAGCCAAAAUCUUUCUUCCUCCUAAUAGUUCACUACUUCACCUAACCUAAAUCUUUCUUCCCCUUUUCUUCUAAACGGUAAAAUCGGAAAGGGCAGCCUUGCCCUUCACCAGUUCACCUCACGGUCCUCACCUCAUCACCUAUCAGUAGCAGACGAUGGUUAGAAGCAAGCAACGGCUUUUCUUCCCUAAGGUCUGAGCAGCAAGCAAUUCCUAAUCUAGAUCGAUUAUUGAAGAAGCGAAAAAGUUAUGCAGAAUUGGAUGCAACCUGUCUUGGUUCAUGGUAUUCAUUUUGAAAUUUAUAUAAUCACAAUUAAAACACAAGUAGAAUUUGGACAUCCGUUAGGACUUAGGAGGCACUCUAUGAGUUACUUAUAAACUCUUUCUUAUCAAGUUUAAUAAUCAUUGCAUUCUGCAUUCGUGUGGCUUCUGGAAUAUAGGUUAUUAGACAGCAUCAUUAUGAAUGCUGUUGUUGCUGGUGAUGAGGGCCGAAGCAUUGGUUGGCCUUGGAGCACCACUUUUGUUGUGAUUUAAUAUCAUGUGAAUUGUAAUAUAUUGACUCUAAACUUGUAUUUGAUUGGCAACCUUUUGUUUAGAUUGUUCUAACUGAAUUUGUUUGACUUGUAUAAAGUUGGAGUUAUUAGAUUUGGAUUGAUGAUGUAUUACAUUAUUUCUACUCUUAUGGUGUCUUUUUUUAGUUUGGAAUUGAUUCUGUUAAAAAACACAGCCGAUUAAUCAAUAAAAUUAAAUUAAAUUUCGGAUCAUUUCGGAUCAGCCCGGUUGAUCCGUCAAUCCAGAUAUUUCGGGUUCAAGUCAGAUAUUCUGACCCGUUUCGAGUUGACGGGUCAAAUUUGAGUCAACGAGUUUUUGGUUUUAUUCGGGUCUCAAUCCGACCCGUCACCCAAGAGCUUUGCACGCUAUUAAUGGUUUGACCAAGUGUGUCUCCAUGUUUCAAAUACUAUUUGGUUAGUUAUUAGAAUGAUGCAUCCCAAACUUCUUUUGCAACUAAUGUUGAUAGCCAAAAAGCCAAAAUCGGGCCUUAUCGGGGGCUGCAGUGAUUAAAGAAAAUAAUUUGUCGACGAGUACUUUUUCCAUCCUAAUGUCGCCGCAGACAAUGUGAAUGCAAUAGUACUGUCCUCUAAACCUUUACCAACAGUUAAAAUCCACACAAUUUGUCUGAUCAAAAUUGUAUAUUUGUAAAAAUUAUAGCACUCCAAGAAACGAUACUGACAGGUUGUCAGCCUGUGCAAUAAUAAAACCUGCUCAAACUAAAAGUAAUUUCUGUAGAUAGCGGUAAGCAGGGUCGAAUCCACAGGGACUGGGAGUAAUUGUUUCAUUUCAAAUUCACAGUGACAAAUGGGGGUGUUUUUGUGUAGAAGGUGACACUCAAAGAAAUUCAAAUAAAAUCUAAGAAACUACUAAAAAUUAAAUAACAAAAUAUUAAAAUCAAAUGAGUAAUAAUUAAAGAUCUAGCCAAGAAAUAACUUCAGCAAUGGUUCACCUAAUUGAUCAUCGAUGCAAAGCCAAUUCCAAUUAUUUAUCAAUAAAUAGGUUAUAACUACCAAACAAGCGAUGACAGUCAACCCCUCCUUACUGUGUCGGUGAUCAAGGUACGCCCGUUAAUCACUGCUCUAAUUGAGAAAUAAUCCUAGGUACGCCCAUAGGAUUUAAUUCCCCAAUUGCCUUACGUAUUAGAGGAGCCCUAUUCUAACCAAUAACGCACUACCAGGGUUAUUUUAGAUUAACCCGCGUAUUCCCCUGACACAAACCUAAUCAUGCCAGUUGUCACUAUUUUAGAGCAAUUAAACAAUUACGGAUUUAAUGCCCUAAUUGACAAUAGAUUACUAAAUCAAUUAAUUAUCCGGAUCUAAGACAACCAAUUAAUUGAACAAUCAUAAGCACUGCAAUCAAGGAAUAUGCGAAUACCAAUAAUUCAAAGGGAAAGAUUAAAUUAAAUCGAUCUCACAAUUUUUAGGUAACCCAAAGCAUCCGUCGUUUCUUGACUAGAGUGAGGGGAUUAGCUCAUAUUGGAUGAACUACGCCCGCGGGAAAUUUCAGCAGAAGUCACGACCAUUGUCUGCGUUUCAGGAAGUUGCAAUUCGUCGAACAGAAAGAACGCAAAUGAAAGUCUCAAGCAGCAAUUGAAUCUAUUUAUUAUUCCCAGCAUCCGUAUAGCAAAACCACUCCAGCAGUACAAGGAGGAAAAGUCAAAGCUAAAAGAAAAAGUUGCUUCCUCCUCACAUGCGUGGAGAAAAGCCAAAGGAAAACUUAACAAGAAAAGUCCAAGUCAAGAAGAGUCAAAACAUUUCUGCUAAGCUACAGCCGAGAAAGCUAAGAAAAAACUCGCCGCCCAACUUCCUUCUUUUUACUCCUUUUAAUUGCGGCGCCCCUCAGCAGAACCAAGCCCUCCCAGGUGUCCUUCCCUCGCGGAAUUUACCAAAAUGGGCGUGAUAUCUUCAUUUCCAAAAAUACCCGUUGGACAAGCUCUAUCAUCUGCAUCCCUUUUCUGUCAAAUUGGUACCUGUUAUCAUAUUUUCGUUCUACUCCCUGAAAUAAAUGCAAUUUACGAAAAGUGAGUAGAAUCUACUAAUUAAUCCACAUCCGGUCAGAUAAUAGGGGAAAUUAAUAAUAAAAUAAGUAAUAGAAUUGCUACCUAUCAAUUCCCCCCACACCUAAAUCAUGCUUGCCCUCAAGCAUAAGAAAAGGGUACAGACACCAAAAUUUGAUGACGGUCAUUGCUCUAUCUACCAAAUUGCCAAGAUAUCCAGAAAAAUCAUAUAUCGAGCACUAGUGAUUAAAAUCCAAGAAGCAUCCCUCCCGGUUAGCCCCUAGACUGCAAAUUCCUUCAAUUUCCAGGUUAACUACUCUAAGAAAAGGGAAUGGCACACAACAUUUAUCAGCUAAUGGUCCAAAUAUUCACACAAGUCUCCAUAUUAAGUCCAUAAAUCGGCAAGCCUUCCCAUUAUUUAUUCUCUCUUUUUUUUCAUUUUUUUUCUUUCGUUCCCUGUGUUUUUCUCUUUUUUUGUUUUGUUUUUUUUAAAGCAAUAAUAAUUAACACAAAAAGACUUAGUCUUUAGCCGUCGGGGCCUUUUGACGCGAACUCCAACAUUUUUAGAUGAAGGAGCCCGGUUACUCAGCUCCUACCGCUAUACGACCACGUACUCAUAGAAAGCACCACCUUUUGACGCGAGAAUCGACACUUUUAGGUGCAGAUUCCCGGUUACUCAGUAGUAACUUAAUAGCGGAGUACAGUCAAGCUUAUUCACAGCCAAACAAUGCACAAACGCAAAAUAACAACACUAACAACUAAGCAUAGGAGCAGCUCGCCUCAUUAUUGCCAAACAUGGAGAACUGGAGUCAAUAUUGGACCAGUUCACAUUAAAAACACCAACAAUCAUUCCCUAUGCCUAGAAAAGUUAACAAAGAAAUCAAAAGAGUCAAGCAGUCCGAUAUUCACCAAGGAGAUGUCUUGGACCCAACCACAUUAACCCGAUACAUACUUAUUUUAAAAACUUGGCAAAAGUAGAAUUAGAGUCAAUAAGCCAACAUCCAAAAAUUUUGUCCUCUUUUCGUUUUCUGUUUUUUUUUUCUCUUUUUUUUUUGUUUUUGUUUCUCUUUUUUUCAUUCGCAGGAGAGAUAAGCACCAAGAAGAAAGAAAGAAAAUGAGCAACUAGAAAUAAAACUAAAAACUAAAGAAAACUAAAAACACUAGCACCCUUUUAGAUCCCCCCACACCUAUAGGACACAUUGUCCUCAAUGUGACAAAUAACCAACAAAAGUGGGUGAGAGGACAGCAACACUUCCCUGAAAUCCGGUCAAAGAGGUGGGCGAGGCGGAGCUGGAGGAGGAAAGCCCGUAUGAUGCAGAAAUUGCGCCAAAUUCUGUGCUAUGCCAGCUACAUUGAGGUCGACGUUGAGCAUUCGAGCCUCCAAAUUCUGAACCUGCUCUCGGAGUUGCUGCCAUUCAUUGGUCCCAGGUGGUGGAGGUGGCGCAGAAGCAGAGGUAGAUGGCCCAGCAGUGUCCUCGGCCGACCCAGGGAAUGAAGAGUGCCCCGCCUGUGUUGAAGGCCGCGUACCCGGAGCUCGAACUAGGCCCGGAGGGGUAAACUGGUGGAAACCAUUGGGCAGGCGCUCGACGACUCCCAUUUUCUCUAAGCAGUCCACGUCCAGGAGCUCCAUCUCGAAAGCCAAAUGUAAGUCGUGGUCCUCCAGAAUAAGAACUCCCAACUGCGUCGCCAAGUGGGUAAUGUAGGACCCAAGAAUCAGAGGUUUGUUCUUCUUGGUCAAAACAGUCUUGAACUGUGCAGCCAACCAACACCCCAAGUUGACCUUGAUAUUGUUCUUCAUACUCCAGAGGAAGAAAAACUCAGGUCGAGAGAGUAUACCAGAGCUGUCCUUGCGCCCUGAGUAGCUGUAGGCUAAGAAUCGCUGAACGUAUCGGGCACCAGGAUCUUUAAGAAAGGAGCUCCUAGACCUAGAAGGGUCGUAGCGGUGCCGAUCGACUGACAUUUCCUCCCACACAUCAUGGUAGUGGGAGAGUAAUGGCUCUAUGUAAUCACAGGCACUCCCCGCAUACUCCCUAGUUUCAGCAUACUCUCUCGUGAUAAAUCCAAAUGCCAGAUUGAACUGGGUAAUGGAGAAGUUGAACUCCCUACCCAUUAGACGGGAAUGAAUGACAUUUGGUGUAUCAACGGUGUAUCUCGUAGGCAACUCGAACUCAAAGGUGGAGUAAAACUCCCGAAUCAGCUCAACAAAAGCAGGGCAGGAGAUAUCAAGAUACGGGCACCACCCAAUGGAGGUAAACAUCUGAUUGACCUCCUCCCGUAUACCCAGGGCAGUCAUAGUGAUUUUGUGACAAGAUUUGCAGGGUAUAAUACGCCUCUCACAGACCUUAGCGUAUCUCUGCCGAUCGGCGGGUCUGGUAAACGUUAAGUGCCCCCCAAAGUGAGCAGGGGUAUCUACCUGAGCACCCCUACCCCUACCCAAACGGGUUCGAACACUAGAAGAGGAGGGUCGGUUGGUAGGUGAGUUGACAGGAAUAGAGGUUGGUAGGUGAGUUGACAGGAAUAGAGGCUUGUGGAGGGGGUUGAGACUGAGAGGUCCUAGACCUAGAGGAGGAUUUUGGUCUCACCAUUUCACCCACAGUCAACUGGAACAACAAGAUACAGAAUUUCCCACGCCCAGUGCAACCAGCAAUUACCGAUGGAAUCAACCAGCAAAUGGACAACAGAGCUACCCACAAAUUUAUACCAAUUUACCAACAAAGCAACAAUGGUACUCAAUAACCACAGGAUGCCCAACUAUUAACCACAACUAGCAACUGGCAAAGGUUAUUUAAUAAGCAAGGAGAUUAUCCAAGUCACUCAGUAAUCAAGCAAACGUUGUCCAUCCAAAAAUUCCAACAAGCAGCCCAAUUAGUGAAACAGCUAUAAAAGAUCAGAACAGAUGCUACCUAUGGCCCCCAAUCCAGCAGUCACAGCAGAGUAUACAAUUCCAAACUUACAAAGUAAGUCAAGCGACACAGGAUUUCAGCUCAAUAUGCAAUAUUCGAAGUAACUGAAGCAAAAACCCCACAAAACCUCAACAAUUCCUCCAGCAAAGCAAGCAAAAUAGACCUUAACAGGGUAACAUACGGCUGCAGUAUUUAAGCUCACCCCAAAAUUUCAACAAGUGGCUCCAGAUGGCCAGUUAAUUGCACAAUUACAGCCAACCCACAGGAAUGAGCAAUUCUAAGCAAAAACAAUCUAACAAGUACCACUGGUGAAAAUCGCACACGGCCAAAAUACCAACUCUUGACGAACCCAGAUAGCAUUAAUCAAUUUAGGAGAAAUUGGGGAGCAAGCUUCAAAUACCUCCGCCAAUAUCUUGGCAGUCGGCGGACAGGGCAGACGGGUCAAAGCUCCACGCAAGUGAAGUGCUCGCCGCUGGUUGGGUCGCCUUGCGCAGGAGAGCUGUCUGGCAGCGAUUGCGGCGGCAGUCCAAGGGCUGGCUGUCGCGUGCGGCUGUGGUGGCGUCUGAAGUGGGUGUGCGCGGCUGGGCAAGGGAAAACCAGACAGCGGCGGCGUGGGAAGCUGUCUGUCGCGGGCAUGCGCGCGAGCUAGUGGCGCUCGGCUGUGGGCAAGAGGCCGCGACGCUGGAGAGAGGGCUGGUGGGUCGGCGGCGCAGGCUGGUGACGACUGGUGGAGCUCGAUGCGAGGGGGACAGUAGCGGCGGAGCGCGCGAUUGGGGCGCGCGAUGGGAGAGGGAAUUUUAGCCGUAGAGCAGAUCUGGUGGUGGAGGAGGUGCGCCAGUGAGCGGCGGACAGGGGGUCUUCGGUCGACAGAGAAGAAAAAGAAACAGGGGAGAAGAAAGAAAGAAAAGAGAAAGAAGAAGAAAGAAAGAAAGAAAAAGAAAGAAAAGAAAAGAAGGAAAAAAAAACAGAAAUUGUUUUGUUUCUUUUUUCUCUUCUCCAGGCUCCAUUUAAGCCAUGGUGAUGAUGAUUUUUUUUUUUUUUUUGAAAAUUAUUUCAUUAUCAGUAUAUAACUAGUAUAUAUAUAUAUAUAUUAUUUUUCUUUUUUUUUUUCUUUUGUUCAACUUUUUUUUUUUUAAAUCCUUACCUUUCCCGCGAACGUGACGCGGGCACGUCAAGAGAGCAAGAGAGCUCCCAGAAGUUUCUGAUCGUGAGCUUCCUGCACGUCACCACGCGGGCGCGUCAUGACUGAAGGGCACCUAUAAAUCAGCAAAAACGAAAACUGAAACCCAAGAUCAGUCGAAUUCAAGGAGAAAACAUCUAAACUACCACACGAAAAUGAACAAACAAUUAAAAGGAACAAUUGGGUUGCCUCCCAAGGAGCGCCUUUCUUUAAUGUCUUUUGGCUAGACAUGGUAAAGUGUCACUGAUUAAGACACGGUGGUGCGUCUAGAUGUACUGUCUCCACUUCUCCACCUGAAAAACUUUCGUAAUAGUGUUUGAGACGGUGUCCAUUCACCACAAACUUGUUGUCUGUCUUAGCACUUCGGAUUUCGACUGCACCAUAUGGAAAAACGUGAGUAACAAUAAAAGGUCCAAUCCAACGGGAACGUAGCUUACCUGGGAAUAGCUUGAGCCUUGAUUGGUAUAGGAGGACCUUCUGACCAACUUCAAAUGUUUUUCUUGAAAUUUGUUGGUCAUGAAAUGUCCGGCUUCUCUCCUUAUAAAUUAAUGCAUUUUCGUAGGUUUCGUUCCGGAUCUCCUCUAAUUCCUGCAAAUCUAACUUCCGUUGGGCACCGGCCUCCUCUAAAUUCAUGUUGCAUUGCUUAAUCGCCCAAAAAGCCUUGUGCUCAAACUCCACUGGAAGGUGACACGGCUUCCCAAAUACUAACCUGUACGGCGACAUCCCUAUAGGAGUCUUAUAUGCCGUUCGAUAGGCCCAGAGUGCGUCCUCCAACCUUUGACUCCAGUCUUUCCUAUCGGGGCGCACCAUUUUCUCCAAAAUGGAUUUAAUCUCCCGAUUCGAUACUUCCGCUUGACCAUUAGUCUGCAGGUGGUACGACGUCGAGACCCUGUGGAGUACACCAUACUUGCGAAACAACGCAGCAAUGGUUUUGUUGCAGAAGUGCGUUCCCCUAUCACUGACAAUAGCUCUUGGCAUUCCAAAUCGCACAAAAAUAUUAGCCCUGAUAAAAUCUGCAACUACUUUCGAGUCAUUAGUCCUAGUGGCCUUAGCCUCCACCCAUUUAGAUACAUAAUCAACUGCCAGCAAAAUAUAUAUAAAAUCAAAAGAAGUAGGAAAAGGCCCCAUGAAAUCUAUACCCCAAACAUCAAAAAUUUCAACAAAAAUCAACGGGACUUGGGGCAUUUGAUCUCUACGGGCUAUAUUACCUACCCUUUAACAGCGAUCACAUGACUUACAGAACACAUAGGCAUCCCUAAACAAUGAAGGCCAAUAAAAUUCACUUUCUAAAAUCUUGUGAGCAGUUCUCUUGGAUCCAAAAUGACCUCCACAGGCAAAAGUAUGAUAGAAAGCUAAAAUCGAUUGAAAUUCCACUUCACUUACACAUCUCCGCAUCACUUGAUCUGCACAUCUCUUCCAUAGGUACGGGUCAUCCCAGAUAAAAUACUUGGCGUCGCUCUUCAAUUUAUCCCUCUUCGAUUUUGGCCAACCUGCAGGAAAAUUACCAGUUACCAAAUAAUUGACCAGAUCAGCAUACCAAGGCAAUUGAGAAUUUAAAGAAAAUAAAUGCUCUUCAGGGAAUGCAUCUUUCAACGGCUCGCUCUCCUCCCCAACUGGUAAGCGACUCAAAUGGUCUGCUACUAGAUUCUCUGAGCCUUUUUUAUCCCUUAUCUCUAAGUCAAAUUCCUGCAGUAGCAAUAUCCACCUGAUGAGCCUCGGUUUGGCAUCUUUCUUGGUCAUCAGGUACCUUAAUGCUGCAUGAUCAGAAAAUACAAUUACUUUAGCACCUAGCAAAUAUGACCUGAAUUUCUCUAAAGCAAAAAUUACUGCAAGAAGCUCCUUCUCAGUAGUGGAGUAAUUCAGUUGAGCUCCAUUCAGUGCUCGGGACGCAUAGUAGAUGACGUGAGCCGCCUUUCCUACUCUUUGCCCCAGUACAGCCCCAACAGCAUGAUCACUGGCAUCGCACAUGAUCUCAAAUGGCAAACUCCAAUCGGGGGGCUGGAUGAUUGGGGGUGAAGUCAACAGUUCCUUCAACUUGUCGAAGGCUCUCUCACACUUGUCAUCAAACUCGAAGGCUACAUCCUUUUGCAAGAGUUGGAACAACGGGGCCCCAAUUUUUGAAAAUUCCUUGAUGAACCUUCGAUAAAAACCUGCAUGUCCAAGAAAAGAACGCACCUCCCGCACAUUCACGGGGUAAGGCAAUGCAGAAAUAACGUCUAUUUUAGCCUUGUCAACCUCAAUGCCCUUAGACGAUACAAUAUGACCCAGGACUAUCCCGUGCUCAACCAUAAAAUGACAUUUUUCCCAAUUAAGCAUAAGAUUAAUCUCUAUACACCUUAUCAGGAUCAAUUUCAGGUUAUCUAGACAUGUAUCAAAACUAUCACCAUACACACUGAAAUCAUCCAUGAAAACUUCAAUUAUUUUCUCCACAUACUCAGAAAAAAUACUUACCAUACACCUCUGGAAUAUUGCAGGUGCAUUGUACAACCCGAAUGGCAUUCGUCUGUAGGCAAAGGUCCCGAACGGGCACGUGAAGGUUGUCUUCUCUUGAUCCUCUGGUGCAAUUGCUAUCUGAAAAUAUCCUGAAAAUCCAUCCAAAAAGCAAUAGUAAGCCCUACAAGCUAGACGUUCAACCAUCUGGUCAAUGAAAGGGAGAGGGAAGUGGUCCUUUUUAGUGACGACGUUUAGCCUACGGUAGUCUAUACAUUGCCUCUAUCCAGUGGGUUUGCGCACUGGCACGAGCUCACCCGUUUGGUUGGCCCCACCGUCACCCCUGCCUUCUUUGGGACUACCUGGACCGGGCUCACCCAAGGGCUAUCUGAUAUUGCAAAAAUAAUCCCCACAUCUAGCAAUUUCAGAAUUUCUUUCUUUACAACUUCCAUCAUGAGGGGAUUGAGUCUCCUUUGAGCCUGCCGUACAGGUUUGGCAUCCUCUUCUAGUCUAAUCCGGUGCAUACAGAUGGCCGGGCUGAUCCCCUUAAUGUCUGCGAUUGUCCAACCUAUCGCCUCUUUAUGCUCUCUAAGGACCCGGAUCAGUUUCUCCUCAUGGGUUUUUGACAGUGCCGAUGAGAUAAUCACCGGGAGUGUCUCAUUAUCACCCAGAUAUGCAUAUUUCAGGUGCUCUGGUAGAGUUUUCAACUCCAGUACAGGUGCCUGCAUCACAGAUGGCAAUACCCUCUGGUGAGGUUCGGGAGUAAAAAUAGGUAAGACUUCAUACCUUUUCGUGGUGGUCUGCAAUGAGUGUAAUGCACCUAUUGUGCAUUUUAGAUCCUCGCUCCACUCCACCUCAGGAGUUGUCUCCAACUCGAGGUUCUUUGUUAGAGCCACCUCUAACUCAUCCCUGCCAACAGUUUCAAACACUUCCUGCACUACAGGGUCAAUAGCACUCACAGAGAAAACUGAACUAAAGUUGGAGUUUGAGGGAUAUUUCAUAGUAUCAAAGAUAUUGAAAUGGACAAUUUCCCCAUCAAAUUCCAUGGACAAUGUACCCUUGUUAACAUCAAUUUUUGUCUGUACUGUACUCAUAAAGGGUCUACCUAAUAACAACGGUGAGAAAUCAGGGGAGUGAUCAUCAUCCAUAUCAAGUACAUAAAAAUCAGCUGGAAAUACCAAAUCAUUAACUUUUACCAACACAUCUUCAACCAACCCAUCAGGGUAUGCGUUAGUUCGGUCAGCUAAUUGAAUGAUUAUUCCAGUUUCUUUUAAUGGACCUAAUUUCAGAGAAGCAUAGAUAGAUUUAGGCAUGACAUUAAUUGAUGCUCCCAGAUCCAACAUGGCCCUUCUAAUCACAGUAUUACCUAUCCUACAGGGGAUAGUAAACAUACAUGGGUCCCCGCACUUGGGUGGAAGCUUUCUCUGCAGGACCGCUGACACAUUCUCCCCAACAAUGACCCUCUCAUCUCCCCUCAACCGCCUUCGGUUGACACACAAGUCCCUUAGGAAUUUGGCAUAUUUUGGUACUUGUUUGAUCGCGUCUAACAGGGGGAUAUUUAUCUCGACCUUGCGAAAAACCUCCAAAAUCUCCUUCUCCUUAUCCUGUUUCUUUGAUUUUUCCAACCUGCUAGGAAAAGGAGGCGGGUUAGUUUUAACUGUAAUUACUGGGUCUGGAAGUACCUUUGGGUCUGCACCACUGCUGUCCUCCCUCUCGAGCUCAUUUUCGAUCUUUUCCUCAUCUUUAUCCUUAGGCAUCACAGGUUCAAACCCCUGAAUUUCCUUGCCGCUCCUCAGGGUCAUGGCGCUCACAUUCUUCGGGUUCAACUCAGGUUGAGAUGGCAGCUUCCCUUGGUUCUGGGAAUCCAAACGGUUGAUUGUUGUGGCCAUUUGACUUAUCUGAUUCCCUAUGUCCUGCAUUUCGGAGUCAGUCCUUUGCUGAUUUUGCAUAAUGGUUGCCUCCGUCCUCUGCUGAUUUUGCGCCAUGGUUGUCAUCAUUUGUUUCAUCAUCUCCUCCAAAGAUGGACCAGAGCUUGGGGACAGAGGUGGUCGGGGUUGGUAUUGCUGCUGGUACCCUGGUGGCUUAUUUGGCACAAAGUUAGACUGCCUGUUCGGUGCGAAGUUGGGCUGCAUAUUUCCCCCAUAACUGAGAUUCGGGUGGUCCUUCCAGCCGGGAUUGUACGUGUUCGAGUACUGGUCAUAGGGCCUUCUUGGCGCGGGCGCGUGACCAGUCAUGUUCACCUGUUCUGCAGUUUCUUCCUGAAGCAUUGGGCACAUGUCUGCAGAGUGACCCAUACCAGUGCAAAUCCGGCACACCCUGGCCUGAGAUGCAUUCCCUACAGCCAGUUGCCUAACAAACGAGGUCAACUCAGUUAGCUGCUGCUGCAUAGAGGACGUCUCUACCUCAUUCACCUUACGUAUUGGGACGUCCUCUCUCGAACUGAAUUGUUGUGAAUUCUCUGCCAUCCCCUCUAUUAACUCUCGUUCUUCCUGAGGGGUUUUGUUCACCAGUGCCCCUCCACUUGCAGCAUCAAUUAUGCUCCUGUCUCUGAAAAGGAGCCCCUCAUAAAAAUACUGUAUGAGCAACUGCUCACUUAUUUGGUGCUGGGGGCACAUUCUGCACAACUUCUUGAACCGUUCCCAAUACUCAUAGAGUGACUCCCCUGAGUGCUGCUUGAUCCCGCAAAUUUCUUUCCUCAGACUUGCAGCCCUGGACGCAGGAAAAUAUUUAUCUAAGAACUUUUUCUUCAAUUGGUCCCACGUGGUGAUGCUACCUGGCGGUAGGUAAUAUAACCAGUCCUUUGCAGAGUCCUUCAAGGAAAAGGGAAAUGCCCUCAUUUUUAUCUGCUCUUCUGUAAUGCCCGGGGGCUUCAUACUGUUGCACACGACAUCAAACUCCUGCAGAUGCUUAUAUGGCUCCUCACCUGGUAAACCAUGAAAAGAGGGUAAAAGAGAAAUCAGACCAGAUUUUAACUCAAAUGAAGUGUUUUCACUCAAACUCGGGAAAGUAAUGCACAAAGGCUGCUGAUUUAAAUUAGGGGCAGCCAACUCCUUUAAUGUUCGUGCAUUAGCCAUGGGGAUUUCUUCUUGCUCCGGGUCACUCGAAGUGUCACCAAAUGAAUCUGUUGGUUCAACUCCUGACUCAGGUCUCUGAGAUGUAGCACUGGAGUGCUCCUCUCUGAGGUGUCUUGUUUCCUUUCUCGUUCUACGCGCGAUUUUCUCUACUUCAGGGUCAAAAAUCAAAUCACCUGUACGAGAAGACCGAGGCAUACACUAGAGAAAUACCAGAAAAUUAGAACAAAAAUGAAUUUUAAAAAAAACAAAUAAUAACGCCAGUCCCCGGCAACGGCGCCAAAAAUUGACAGGUUGUUAGCCUGUGCAAUAAUAAAACCUGCUCAAACUAAAAGUAAUUUCUGUAGAUAGCGGUAAGCAGGGUCGAAUCCACAGGUACUGGGAGUAAUUGUUUCAUUUCAAAUUCACAGUGACAAAGGGGGGUGUUUUUGUGUAGAAGGUGACACUCAAAGAAAUUCAAAUAAAAUCUAAAAAAUUACUAAAAAUUAAAUAACAAAAUAUUAAAAUCAAAUGAGUAAUAAUUAAAAAUCUAGCCAAGAAAUAACUUCAGCAAUGGUUCACCUAAUUGAUCAUCGAUGCAAAGCCAAUUCCAAUUAUUUAUCAAUAAAUAGGUUAUAACUACCAAACAAGCGAUGACAGUCAACCCCUCCUUACUGUGUCGGUGAUCAAGGUACGCCCGUUAAUCACUGCUCUAAUUGAGAAAUAAUCCUAGGUACGCCCAUAGGAUUUAAUUCCCCAAUUGCCUUACGUAUUAGAGGAGCCCUAUUCUAACCAAAUAACGCACUACCAGGGUUAUUUUAGAUUAACCCGCGUAUUCCCCUGACACAAACCUAAUCAUGCCAGUUGUCACUAUUUUAGAGCAAUUAAACAAUUACGGAUUUAAUGCCCUAAUUGACAAUAGAUUACCAAAUCAAUUAAUUAUCUGGAUCCAAGACAACCAAUUAAUUGAACAAUCAUAAGCACUGCAAUCAAGGAAUAUGUGAAUACCAAUAAUUAAAAGGGAAAGAUUAAAUUAAAUCGAUCUCACAAUUGUUAGGUAACCCAAAGCAUCCGUCGUUUCUUGACUAGAGUGAGGGGAUUAGCUCAUAUUGGAUGAACUACGCCCGCGGGAAAUUUCAGCAGAAGUCACGACCAUUGUCUGCGUUUCAGGAAGUUGCAAUUCGUCGAACAGAAAGAACGCAAAUGAAAGUCUCAAGCAGCAAUUGAAUCUAUUUAUUAUUCCCAGCAUCCGUAUAGCAAAACCACUCCAGCGGUACAAGGAGGAAAAGUCAAAGCUAAAAGAAAAAGUUGCUUCCUCCUCACAUGCGUGGAGAAAAGCCAAAGGAAAACUUAACAAGAAAAGUCCAAGUCAAGAAGAGUCAAAACAUUUCUGCUAAGCUACUGCCGAGAAAGCUAAGAAAAAACUCGCCGCCCAACUUCCUUCUUUUUACUCCUUUUAAUUGCGGCGCCCCUCAGCAGAACCAAGCCCUCCCAGGUGUCCUUCCCUCGCGGAAUUUACCAAAAUGGGCGUGAUAUCUUCAUUUCCAAAAAUACCCGUUGGACAAGCUCUAUCAUCUGCAUCCCUUUUCUGUCAAAUUGGUACCUGUUAUCAUAUUUUCGUUCUACUCCCUGAAAUAAAUGCAAUUUACGAAAAGUGAGUAGAAUCUACUAAUUAAUCCACAUCCGGUCAGAUAAUAGGGGAAAUUAAUAAUAAAAUAAGUAAUAGAAUUGCUACCUAUCAGAUACUCUUCUUGGACAUAUCCCCGGACAAUCAGAUUGCUUAAAGAGUCAAUAUGAGAAACAAUCAGAAUUGACCUAAAUUCUACAAUAAUUAUAAAUUGAAAUACCUUAACGUCAACAAUAAUUUUUAAGUAAUCUCGUGGUACAAGUAUUUUUUUUUUAAUGAUGAUGAAACGGGGUCUAAUUGAUAAAAGGGAUAAUUUCAGAAACCUCCUUUGAAGUUUUUGACAAUUUCACUUAGCUCCCCCCAAUUUUAGAAAAUCACACUAUCCUCCCUCGGUUCAAUAAAGUGACUACAAUGCCCUUUACUUAAUAGAUAAUUUACCACAUAUGUGGGUUACAAAAACCAAACCAAAAGUAAAAGAAAAUAUAAAAACCUGCAACAAUUCGUCAUCAUCCCUAAUCCUACUUUAACUAACAACAGUUUCUUUUCUCUUUCACUCACUUUUUUUCUAUUUCUUAUGAUUCUCUCCUUCCUACUUAUAACCCAACAAUCUCUUCCAUCCAUCAACUACACCACCAUGCAAACCUACUCGAAGUGUUUAUUUCUUGUCUAUUUCUCUCUUUCAUGGUACUUAACUAUUAGCCCCUUGUUUAUAACUUGCAUAUAUUAAAUAAUCAAAAUUUCCAAAAUAACAAAUUGAGGGAGCAAAUAAAAAUUUCAUGGUCAAAUUAGAUGGAGAUGAUGAAGAUGGUUGUGACAGAGAGGGAAAAAAUGAAAUUAAUGGGCUAUGGUUGGAAGAGAAAAAGGGAUGACUCUAGAUUAUGUUAUUAUGUCUAUUACGCACUAGAAUCUAAUAUCUGUAUUUAGUUUCAUUUUUGUUUGAUUUACAAGUAUUGGUGGUGGUUUGUUAUAAAGAUUAGUUUCUCUGUUUCUAAUGCCAUUGGAGUAUGGGUUUGCGCUUGGCAUAGACAUCACUAAAUUGGGAUUUUAGUGAUAUCAAAAUUGAUAGAAUUUGGGAAUUAAAUAGGAGUUUGCUUGAACGGUUGAUGAGAUUUUGGGCUUACAAUUAUCAUGGAAGCAUAGAAAAUUUGGAUAAAAGUAUUUGUUACUUUUUUUUGGUUAAAUUGAUCACUAAACCUUUUUUUCACUUUCUUUUGAUGUUAUGAUAUUGCAUAAGGGUAUUUUAGGAUACUUAAGUAUAAUUCUAGUCUAAUGGAUCUAUAAUGUUACCUAAAUAGUAAAAUCAAGGGAGGUUAGUGUAAUUUUCUAAAAUUGGGGGAGCUGAGUGAAAUUGUCAGAAACCUCAAGGAAGGUUUCUGAAAUUAUCCCUUGAUAAAAUGCUUUACUGUAUCCAACAGGUCCUGACUACAAUGUAUUUCUUUUUUCUAUUUGUUUUAAGUUGAUUGGAUUGUCAAUGGCGAAAUCAAAUGAGCAGUUAUUGGUCUGCGAAGAUUGAAAAACUUAGCCCAUCUUGACCUUUGCUUUCUAAUUUCCAAGCCGCAUAUAUGCAAGGACUUGCAAGUCUUCAGCAAAGAGCAAGAAAAGGGUUAUAACACAGGACCAAACUGGCUAUGAUUAUAUUCAUAUUUUUUUCUAAACAAUUUGUUGAUACUUCUAGCGCCAUAGCAAUUCGUGAAAUCUCUCCAUCACAGUGUCCAUUUCAUGUUUGUCUUUUUAGAAAAAGGGAUAAUUUCACAAACCUCCCCUGAGAUUUAUGACAGUUUCACUUGGUUCCCCUUAAGUUUUACAAAUUACACUAACCUCCCCUGUCACCAUAAAAUCACUAUAAUGACCUUCACUUAAUAAAUAAUUCAUAGUAUAAUGAAAUUAAAUUAAAAAAGAAAAAAAACAUGACCUCUUUAACUAUCCUAUUUACAAGUUACAGCUAACGAUGAUUGUCUCUCACUUACUAUCAUUCAAUUUUCAUCCAUCAACCUUUCCUCCUAUAAUUCGCUUUCAAAUUACUACCCUAUAAUUGUAGCCAAUCACACCACAAGUGAUCCCUCAAACUCUAUUAUAUAUUCUUAUUCCUCCUUUCUUCUCUUUGAAAUUGCCAAAUCACAAGUUUAAUCGAGGGAUUAGAUUUGAUGAUUAAAGUAAAAUCCAAUUUCAUGGACAAAUUAAAAGGAGAUGAAGAGGCACACAAUAAUAAUGGAACAAAUAAUGCAAUCAUUGGCCAAAAGAGGAAGAGGGAUUGAAAUUGGUAAAUUUGCUGAUUUGUCUAUUAUCUAUCCAAAAAAAUUUUUAAGAUGUUAAUAAGUACAUUCAUAUUUCUUUUUAUGCUUGACAAUUAUUGUUAUGGUUUGGCUAUCGAGAUAGAGUUUCUUAUCUGUAUUUAAGACGUUAACAUGCUUGAAGAUUUAGUGGUAGGCUAGAUUAUUUUGUUUUGAGAAGGUGUGGGCAUUGGGUUUGAUGUUUGGGGUGUGACUAGUUGUAAAUAGAUUUUGGUUUUUUUGGGAAAAUGAAUUUCUUAAAAAACUCUAUAGUUAUAAUGAUGUCUUUCCCUUUUUUUUAAACUUGAUUAAUUCCAUCCAUGUCUAAAUCUCCCUUAAAGAUUUUCUUCAAGGCCAUAAUUUGGUUCACAUAGUAGGCAUUAAGCCACUUAUAUGGAACCAAAUCAUGGCAUCCUAUGUUGAAAAUUAUGCAAAUAUAAGGGCAGUUGAUUGUGAGUUUGACCACUCCAUGGAAUCAUAUGGUGAGAAUAUUUCUGAAAAAUGGAACAAAUCUUCAGAAUUGAAUGCAUGCUUUAGGAGAAGCAAUUUUAUGACUAUGCUGAUGGAAUUGCUUGGGUUUAGAAUUUGAAAUUAGACUAUUUGUUAGAUUGGUUUGUUAGUACAGUGGGUUUAGUUGAAUUAUGAAACAAAGCAAUUGUCAAAAUAAAUUUUUUAAUUUUUGUACAAAAAGGGUAGUUUAGGAUUUUUGAGAAAAAAUUUAGGCUUUUGGGCCUAUAUUAUUAUAUAAAUAGUAAAAGUAAGGGAGGUAUGUGUAAUUUAAUAUACCUGAGGGGAGGUCUCUGUAAUUGCUAGAAACCUCAAGGGAGGUUUCUGAAAUUAUCCCCCAGAAAAAUAGUUUAUGGAACAUCCAGUAGCUCGUGUAAAAAAAAUUGAAAGAAAAAAAAAAACAAAUGCUGUGCAUGUCCCAAUGUCUUUGGCACCUUCUGAAAGUUUUCAAUAGCGGAUUUAAACUUAAGUCAAUUGUUAAAGUGUUAACGAACCAAUUAGAGGCUAGUCAGUUUGACCGAUACAAUUGUUAAAGUUUGGCCUUAUUUAGAAUUGUAGUGGCUUUAGAAAUUAAUUUGUUAUUGGAGCUUUUUUUUGGGGGGUCAUUGGAGCUUGCUGUAUAGGAACUUAAUUAUUGAAAUAAAGUGUUCAAACAUGUAGUAAAGACAUAAUUUAGUGAACUGGAGAGUGAAUUGAUAGUUGGAUUAGAUAUUGUUCAUAUGUGCAACUAGAUGUUAGUGUUCAGCUUACUAUUUGUGAUUAUGAGUUGCAAUUUUAGCGAAUUAUAAUGCCUUAAUUACAUAUUGCCCACUUGUAGUAAGCGGUCAAUAGUAGUUUACUCUCUAUUUACAUGAAAUACACAAAAUGCUUACUGUGACGGCCCCACCUCCCCCUAGGGCGUACCCCAGGGUUCGGCGGACCGCCUGCCCAACUCUCGUCAGGACUCACUCACUCGUAUCUUGAGAAAUUAACUGGCAUCCAUAGAAAAGUAAAUAACACGGAAAUUCAAGCUUAUAAUAUACAUUGAUGCCCAAACCAAGAUACAAAGCUUCUAUACACAAAAAUAUUUCAUAGCAGCUACACUUCAAGUACAAAUCACCCUAGUUGAGAUAUAGCGCGAGUACAAAUUCAAAAUUCAAAAUAACUAGACUACGCUAGCCUGUACACGUCUCACGCCUCGUUCGUACCCCCUGUAAUGAAAACAAAUGGCGUGGAAUGAGCUAAAAACCCAGUGAGAUUCCAAAUAACAAAUUGACCAUUUUUAAAAGUACGAAUAUCAACGUAGCAAAUUAAUGAGCAUCAAGAGUUCAUAAAAGUGAACAAUAAUACUUCAUGUAGCAAAUCUCAAAGUGAGCGAGUGUAAAAGUUUUUCAGAAGAAACAAUAAUCUAAUAAGCAAUAAUCAUUCCAAAGUAUAAGGAUACGGAUGGCUCUCAGAAGCCAAAUUCCCAUUGCAUCACCAGAGUUUGAUCGAGUAAUAGUUGACACUCCGUCAACCUUCAAGUAAGUAACCAAUCCAGUAGAGCACCACUUACACUACUCUCCGUCCACCAUUCACACCCCCUAUUGGGCCCAAAAUUCUCAAUAAACACUGGUGAUAAUAUUCGAAUAUACCGAUUAGUCGAGGAGAUAACACUCCACUCGACAUCACUAACUACCCAUGGUUCGUUAUCUAAUCGACCAAACCCUUGUCGGCUCGAUUCGAUUAACUAGCCAGUGGGGUUUGGGUUCCCAAGAUUGUUGAUGAGAUAAAAUCUCCAACCGAUUGAAUCAAAAUAAAAGUACGGAGACGGGAAUGAGAGGCACCUCCCACUCCAAUUGAGUGUGGUACAUACUGCUGCUCCGCACUUACAACUCAAGUACAAGUAUAUCAAGUUAAUUGCAGCAAUGAACAAGUAUAUAUCAUAUUAGGGCAAGUGCGAUAAAGUACACUCUUGUCCGAUCAAACAAAUGACAUAUCAUUAAAUCACAUUGGUCAAGUAUUGAAAACAAGUGUCUAGUUCAAUCAGGCAUUUGAAAGCACUCACCAAAAGUCUAGUGCCUUUUCAAAAAUCACGUUCCAGUCCAACUCUUUGGUUGGAGUCCGAAUUUGCGAUAAAAUAUCAUUUACGAAUGUAAACCUUUCUAGAGUUCAAAACAUAGGAGUUUCGCUUCAAGAAAAUUAAGUAAAUGCAACUCGGGAUGUAGUAUUCAAGAUACUUAUCAAAUCUCGAAAAAAAUUCAUGCUCGCUCGUUUAAUUUUGAUAAGGAAGCGGUUAAAACUUUAGAACUCCCAUUGGAAUCGAAAGAACAAGAAAAACAUAUUUCAAUUAGUCGUUAUUUCCAUUUUCCAAAGGGUACAAGGUUCGGCCGAAUUCCAACUUAUGUAUCUUGAUAAAAGAGGAUGCAAAUAUAUUAGAUGGUUCAAGUGGUAUUCGCCCUCAAGCCUUACUCAAGUCGCAAGUAUAUCUACCUAGUCCUCGAGCGUAAAUUUGGGCAGCACGCCCUUUGUAUUUACCUAUUUUCCAUCCAUUUAUGGUUUCAUUGUUUUCCUCAAUCAAUCCCAACAUUACACACAACAUAAAUGUAUUACAAUAGUCAUUCAAUAGGCUCAAUGUCAUAUGAUUACCAAACCAAGCUAGAAAAAUUGACCGGAAAUGAAGUUUAAGGCCUAAAAUCAAAGGCAGAUUUGACGUUGUUUUGCGUAACGGACACAACCGAAGCUACGCUUAUCGGAUUGAGGUGAAAUUUAUACCUUUUCGAAGCUAAGACAAAGGCCUACAACUUUGGUGAAGAUAGCUCAGUCCAGUUUGUAGGAUAUCUAGGUCAAAAGUCCGGAUUGCAAAACCAAAAUCUCACAUUUGGGCUAGUUAACCACACUAUGCGUAAAUGACAAUAACUUAGGCUACCAAAGUCUAAUUGAGUUGUUUUCAGUUGCGUUGGAAAGCUAAAACAUAGGUCUAAAAGUUUUAUGUUUUGGCCAAAGACUGGUUUGGAACAGAUCAAGAUGAAAAAAGCAGCCAACAUGAGAAAAUGUUAAAACUGUCUGCUGGACACUACCUAGGGCAGUCUCAGGGGUAUUUUUGUGUUUUCAUGAGCUACAGUGUUCAGAUUUGGCUGAAAUUUUGUAGGAAAUUAUAAAACAUCAUUUUCUACAACUUUUAUGUUUUAUACUAAGCCUGAUUCGGCCUCUAAGAUGGUGAACUAGAACCAGGCAGAACAGGGUGCAUACUAACUUCAAUUCUGGAAAUUUGCUACAAUCAAGAUAUAAAUCUCAUUUUUAGCUUGAACCCAUCACUACCACCUCUUAUACCAACUUAUAUACAUCAUAUACCACCCAUACAACAAGUAUGAUAAGUGAAUCAUUCAAACCCUAACUCAAAUUCAUCACCCCAACCAUCCAAAAUCACUUGAUAUAAGCAUUACAACCACAAAUACAAGCUACUAAGCAACUCCAACAUGAUUAAGGGAAAAGAAAAGAGUGGUCAGCCAUAUUACCUCAAAAACAAAGUUUUCUAGAGUUAUCCUCCACUUCUUCUCGAAAUUUUGGGUUCCUUAAGCUUCCCAAACUCUCAAACUAGUAAUUAAUCGGUUUAGUUUUUCUUGUUUUCACUCAAAUGAAUCAAACUCAAGAUGAAAUGGAGUUUCUUCCCCUUGCUUUUCUCUCUCUCUCUCUCUCGGCCAAGACAACCAGAAAAUGAUGAAGAAAUGGAGCCAAAUGAAGAUAAGAAGGCAAGACAAUUAGUUUGGUCAAAGGCCGUUAGAUGGCCAACAAGUGUCUCCACCAACUUCCACUCAUUUUUUUUCUCUCUCUUGGUCAAGAAUUUUGGCUGCCUUGACGGGCAUUUUGGGGUGAUUUUUGUUGAUAUCAAAAUAAGGAGAUGAAGGUAAUAAAGUAGUGUUCAAGUGGUAUGUUCAAUCGGUAGUGCGCGACACCCGUCGGUCCGAGCCGAUUUUCCUUAAAUCGCGUAUACUAGAGGUUUAACUUAUAAUUCACUAGUUUAUUAGUAUCACUUCUAAUCACACACUUAACAACACCUAAAACUCACUCUUAAUCACCAAAUUUUUAUCGCACUAGCGGGUCCCACGUCUAUAAUGCGUUUCAAAUUUAAUGUACACUAACUUAUACUAGGAAAAUGAUUUAAAACUAUACUCGCUUAUCAAAAUGCAUAGAAACUUUAAUAUUUUAAAGGCAAGUAUAAAAAUGUAGGCAAAAAUAAAAAUGCCUAGAAAAUGUGAAAAUUUUCGGGUUCUCACACUUACUAAUGACUAAUGCCAAACAUUUUAACUACUAGGAAAAUGCACCUGUAUUGCACGUGUUUGAUCAUACCAAAACUUGUCUUACUUUCAUCUAUAUUGUGAAAGACUCAACUCAGAUUUUGCUAAAAAAGCCUCUGAUUCAUUGCAUGCCAAACAUGGUAGUUUGAAGCAGCAACCAAGGCUCAUUAACCAACAAGCAAUGCAAAACCUGUAAUUAUGCUGUAUAAGUGGCUGUAAUUCAGUAGAACAAGGAGAAGUCACUUGAUAUGUCUUAGAUAGGAGCUAAAUGCUUCUCCAUUAAUCUUAGAGUUUCAGCCUUUAUUGUUAUUGCUAUUGUAGAAUCUUGAGAGCCCAAAGGGGUGAAUUCCAAUAUUCCUAACCAUUUUUUCAUUGGGUUAAUUAAGAUGCAUUCGAAAGAAUGAUGACAAGUCAACCUUUCGACUGCCCUUGGGAACGGUAAAUAUAUGACAUGCUCCUUGUAAUAUUAUAAAUCAGCAAUACCUGUCCCUUUUCUUUUGGUAUCAUCCCUUGCUUAGAGGCCCUUGAUUUGGUUUUUGAGCAUCACUGCUUGUAGGAUAAAAUGUCACAGUGGAAGUGAGAAGCAGAGUUAGUUAGAAAGGCUAUUUUCAUCUAGGCAUUCUAGCUGUAGAAAUGGCAAGCAAUACAAAUAACCUUAUUACCUAAUAAAUCUCAAUUGGAAGAAAUAUAUUUUGGCCUUAGAUAAGCAUGGAUGGCUUACUAACCAUUUUCUUGCGUGAUUUUACACCUUUAUGUCUCUACUGUGAAAUAAGAAACAUGGCUUAAAGUACUGAACUGUGUCCAGUUGUAAUUCUUUCAUUUGGUAGAACUGACUCCAAAACUAUCAAAGGCAUUCUUGGCUUUCUUUGUAUUUCAUCAGUACGAUGUUGGUUGUAGGGGGAUUGUGAAGAUUUGCGCCGAAGAUUUAAUGAUGUUUUACUUAAGAGGCCUAUGACCAGAAGAUUUUUUCUGCACUUUCUUUGUAAUGGUAGUGCUAUCCUUCCAUACUACUGCUGUUUAUAUUCACUGGAGAAAAAAAAACACGUACAUGUUAUAGGACAGAUGUCAUUUGAGUUGGAUAGCUUUUGAUACGUCUUUCUAUUUCUUAUCUUUUAGAUAAAAUAGCACAAAACAUUCUAUACAUUUCGCCAAAAAAUUUUUACAUCCUCAAAUUUAAAAUGCUAAUGUUAAAUUCCUUAAAAAAAUAAACCAGUCCAAUUUGGACCAAACCUCCAAUUCCAACCAUCUUUUGUCAUGAAACCACACUUCUGUUAGCAAUAAGUUAUCCAGAAGUCCUUUGAAGCCAUUUUGAAAACACCCAAUUUUUUUUUAUUCUCCCUCUGGCUUUAGAAUGAGUAUCUAUUCACUCUCAAACACAAAGGUUCAAAGUUCUUCACCAAAACAUGCUUCAUUUAUGCCGGAUUUUGCCAAAAUAAUCAAAUAACCAAUGUCUUUAGAUUACCUUAUUCUUUAUAGGCAAACCGAAAGAGCUUUAAUUAUAGAGGAAUAAGUUUUGGAUUAUUUGGUUGUCUGUUGAUUUUGUCAAAGCCCAAAACUUUGACUAUUGUGGCAAAAAUUUUAGUUCCACAUCGGUGGGAUUAGUUGUAGGUGCAAGGCUUGAGAGUUAUAAAUUAACUCUCAAGCCUUCCAAAUAAGAUGUACCAAAGAAAAAGAAAAAGAAUUCAUUUGUAAUUCUUUCUUCUUCCAAAAAUUAUUAAGAGCGGGUCGUUUAGGCGGUACUCGGAGAUUAGGCAAAAUUGGCCGAACUCCGUUAUCAAUUUUUCGAGUGCGUUCUUUCCUUAUCUCUUUUAUUUAUUUCGCAUUUAUUUAGAAGUUUCUUUUCUAUUGUAGUAUAGUAUUCAAUAUAUUUGUCGGGUUUAUUUGUAGUAUUUUAUACGGUUCAUUUGGGUGUAUUUUCUUAUUCGUGUGUACGUAUUAUUUAUGUAUACACGGGUUUAGUUAUGAUAAUACACCGUGCACGUAAAUUCUGUCUCGGAGACUGGGUUUUAAGUGGGAUCGCUUGUGACCCCUCCAGCCUUUUCUGAAAAUUUACUUGGAAUGGUAAUUCUGUCUAAGGAGAUUGUUUGACGAUCUUUCCUGAGAAUUACUGAAUCAGUUUAAUCAGUAGUUGAAUUUUUGAGUGGAAAAUUACCCGAUUUUCCCAACAAGUGGUAUCAGAGCCGAAGGUUCGUCCUUUGGCUUGUCUGUAAUUUGUUAUAUAUUGAAUACUAUCAUUUUGAGUCUGUAAUGGCAUCAAACGAUUCCAUGUCAAGAAUUACAUCUGGGGCAUCGGCUUCCUUGUCCACAUGGUCGAGGACUCCAAUGUCAAGUUCGAAGCUGGCGGUCGAGAUAUUUGACUGUACUGGUCAUUUUGGCAUGUGGCAAUGCGAGGUCAUAGACUCCCUUUUUCAACAGGGACUUGACAUUGCCAUCGAAGAAAAGAAACCAGAUGAUAUAGAAGAGAAAGAGUGGAGUAUCAUAAAUCAAUUGACAUGCGGAACUAUUCGAUCAUGUUUGUCCAGAGAGCAAAAGUAUGCUUUCAAGAACGAGACUUCUGCAUGGAAGUUGCGGAGGGCAUUAAAGGAGAAAUUUCUGAAGAAGAGUGGUCAGAAUAAACUCCUAAUGAAGAAAAGAUUGUUCCGAUUCAAUUACCAAUCAGGUACUACUAUGAAUGAACACAUCACUAUGUUUAAUCAGUUAGUAACAGAUCUGUUAAAUUUAGAUGUAAAAUUUGAAAAUGAAGAUUUGACUUUGAUAUUGUUGCCAUCCUUUCCUGAUGAAUUUGAACAUUUGGAAACUACGUUACUUCAUGGGAAGGAGAAUGUGUUUUUAGAUGUUGUAUGUUCUGCUUUGUAUAGUCAUGAAUUGAGAAAGAGAAUAAAAUGAAAAAUAAAGUAAUUACAGCAGAUGAAGCGUUAGUGGCAAGAGGUCGUCAACAAAUCCAAUCAAAGGGAAGAAGAGGAAAGUCCAAAUCGAAAAAUAGAGUUGCCAAAGAUGAGUGUGCUUUCUGUCGUGAGAAAAGGCACUAGAAGAAAGACAGUCCAAAGUUGAAGAAGAAAGGGAAAACUUCGCAAGAUGUAAAUGUUGCAGAGUGCAAAAGUGAUGCCGAAUCAGAUUUCUCUUUGGUUGUAUCACCUUCAAUAUCCUAUCCAGAUGAGUGAAUUUUGGAUUCAAAUUGUACCUACCAUAUGUCUCCCAUGCGGGAGUGCUUCUUUGAAUUUGAAGAACUUGAUGGUGGAGUUGUUUACAUGGGAAAUGACAAUCCUUGUAAAACAGUUGGGAUAGGUUCAAUCAAGUUGCGUAAUCACGAUGGAUCCACCAGAAUCUUGAAAGAUAUUCGGUACGUGCCGAAUUUGAAGAGGAAUCUCAUCUCCUUGGGGCUCUUGGAGUCAAAAGGCCUAGAAGCGAAGAUGCGAGAUGGAAUUCUUAAAGCAACUUCGGGAGCACUUGUGAUGUUGAAAGGUGUGAGAAAAAAUAAUGUGUAUUACUACCAAGGUAGUACAAUUGUUGGGACAACAGUAGCAGCAACAUCUUCCAGUAGCAAGAAGGACGCGGAGACAGCAAAGUUAUGGCACAUGCGAUUGGGACAUGCUGGUGAAAAAUUCUUGUAAAAUCUUGCCAAGUAAGGAUUGUUGAAAGGUACGAAAACUUGCAAAUUAGUAUUUUGUGAGUAUUGUAUUCUGGAAAAACAAAGAAGAGUGAAAUUUGGCACUGGCAUCCAUAAUAGCAAGGGUAUUUUGGAUUAUGUGCACUCAGAUGUGUGGGGACCUACCAAAACUCCAUUCCUUGGAGGCAGGUAUUAUUUUGUCACUUUUAUUGAUGAUUUUUCCAGAAGAGUUUGGGUGUUUACUAUGAAGAACAAGAAUGAAGUGCUAGGAAUUUUCCUUAAAUGGAAAGCUCAGGUUGAAAAUCAGACGGGAAGAAAGAUCAAGGUUCUCCGAACAGACAAUGGUGGAGAAUAUAAGAGUGAUUCCUUCCAGAAGAUAUGCCAAGAGUGUGGCAUAGUUCGACACUUCACAGUUAGAAGAACACCGCAGCAGAAUGGGGUAUCAGAGCGUAUGAACAAGACACUAGAGGAGAAAGUACGUUGCAUGCUGUCUAAUGCUGGGUUAGACAGAAAAUUUUGGGUUGAGGCUGUGACAUACGCUCAACAUCUCGUCAAUCACUUGUCAUCAUCUGCAAUCGGUAGCAAGACUCCAUUAGAGGUAUGGUUUGAAAAACCUGCAUCAGAUUAUGAUUCUUUGCAUAUUUUUUGUUCUACUGCAUAUUAUCAUGUAAAUGAAUCAAAAUUGGAUCCACGUGCAAAGAAGGCUCUCUUUAUGGGCUUUAAUACUGGAGUUAAGGGAUACCGUUUGUAGCGUCUAGAAGCAAAGAAAAUCAUUAUCAGCAGGGAUGUUACCUUUGAUAAAUCUGCCAUGUUGAAUAAGGUAACACAAGAUGAGACCAGUGGUACUCCGUAAUAGGUGGAGUGUACGCCGAAACAGGUAGAAUUUGAGCAAAUAGUGAGCCCAACAAAUAGCACCAUCAGUGACUCUCCCAUGGCAGAAGAGGAGUCAGAUGAGAAAGAGGUCUCAAUCCACGAACCUCAAUAGCAACAAGAGUCAAUUGUCGUUAAUAGGUCAAGACGAGAAAUUCAAAAACCUGCUCGUUUUGCUGACAUGGUGGCCUAUGCACUUCUAGUUGUUGAUGAUGUUCCAACCACCUUUUCUGAAGCAGUUCGAAGUACAGAAAAUGGUAGAUGGAAAGAUGCUAUGGAAGAAGAGAUGCAAUCUCUUCAGAAGAACAAGAUGUGAAAUUUGACGCAACUACCGAAGGGCAAGAAGGCAAUUGGAUGCAAAUGAAUAUUUGCAAAGAAAGAAAGAUUUCCUGACAAGAAUGAUGUUCAUUAUAAGGUAAGAUUGGUGGCUAAAGGCUACACUCAAAAGGAGGGAGUUGAUUAUAAUGAGGUAUUUUCUCCAAUUGUUAAACAUUCCUCUAUUAGAAUUUUGUUGGCCUUGGUAGCAUACUUGAAUUUGGAGCUAGCUCAACUUGAUGUGAAGACCGCGUUCCUUCAUGGUGACUUGAAGGAGGAAAUCUAUAUGUCUCAGUCAGAUGGAUUCAAAGUUGCUGGUAAAGAGAAUUGGGUUUGUAAGCUGAGCAAAUCGUUGUAUGGAUUGAAACAAUCACCGAGGCAAUGGUACAAGUGAUUUGACCAGUUCAUAAUGGGUCAGAAGUACACAAGAAGCAAAUACGAUCACUGUGUGUAUUUGCGAAAAUUACGAGAUGAUUCCUACAUCUACUUACUUUUGUACGUUGAUAAUAUGCUGAUAGCAUCAAAGAGCCAAGUUGAAAUUGACAAAAUGAAGGGUCAGUUGAGUAAAGAGUUCGAGAUGAAGGAUUUGGAAGAAGCCAAGAAGAUUCUCGGCAUGGAGAUAAGCAAGGAUAGAAUGAGAAGCAAGUUUUGUCUGACACAGAAGCAGUAUUUGAAAAAGGUACUACAACGAUUUGGUAUGAAUGGAGAUUCAAAACCUAUAAGUACUCCACUUGCUCCUCAUUUGAAACUUAGUAACAUAUUAUCUCCAAAGACGGAUGAAGAGCGAGCAUACAUGGCGAAAGUCCCGUAUGCUAAUGCAGUUGGUAGCUUGAUGUAUGCAAUGGUGUGUACUAGACUCGACAUUUCACAAGCAUUUGGUGUGGUAAGCAGAUUCAUGCAUGAUCCGGGCAAGGGUUAUUGGUAAGCUGUGAAAUAGAUUCUAUGGUAUAUCAAAAAUACUGUAGAUGUUGGAUUUGUUUUUGAACAGGAUAAAUCACUUGGUCAAUGUGUAGUUGGAUAUUGUGGUUCUGACUAUGCAGGUGAUUUGGAUAAGCGACGUUCUACAACUGGCUACUUGUUCAUGUUUGCUAAGGCGCCAGUUAGUUGGAAGUCUACUUUGCAGUCAACGGUGGCUUUGUCUACAACGGAGGCAGAGUAUAUGCCGAUUACAGAAGCUGUGAAGGAGACAAUUUGGCUUCAAGGAUUGCUUGAAGACUUGGGAGUUGGUCAAAAAUAUAUUGACGUGUUUUGUGACAGUCAGAGUGCUAUUCACUUAGCGAAGAACCAAGUCUUGCACGUAAGAACGAAGCACAUUGAUGUUCGCUAUCAUUUCGUGUAGGAAAUUCUCAAAGAAAAGGAGAUUUUUCUCCAGAAAAUUCAGACUACGGAGAAUCCUGCAGAUAUGGUGAUCAAGGUGGUUACAAGGUCCAAAUUUGAACAUUGUUUAGACUUGGUCAAUAUCCUGCAUAUUUGAGUUGGCGCCUGAGGGUGCAAAUUUGAAAGCACCGAAGGACCAUUUGUUAAUUUUUUUUGAAGGAGAAGAUUUGUAUUUUUGGUAGGACUAGAAAUUAUGUCAAGGUGGAGAUUUGUUGAUUUUGUCAAAACCCAAAACUUUGACUAUUGUGGCAAAAAUUUUAGUCCCACAUCGGUAGGAUUAGUUGUAGGUGCAAGGCUUGAGAGUUAUAAAUUAACCCUCAAGCCUUCCAAAUAAGAUGUACCAAAGAAAAGAAAAAGAAUUCAUUUGUAAUUCUUUCUUCUCCCAAAAAUUAUUAAGAGCGGGUCGCUUAGGCGGUGCUCGGAGAUUAGGCAAAAUUGACCGAACUCCGUUAUCAAUUUUUCGGGUGCAUUCUUUCCUUAUCUCUUUUAUUUAUUCCGCUUUUAUUUAGUAGUUUCUUUUGUAUUGUAGUAUAGUAUUCAAUAUAUUUGUCGGAUUUAUUUGUAAUUUUUUAUACGGUUCAUUUGGAUGUAUUUUCUUAUUCGUGUGUACAUUAUUUAUGUAUAUACGGGUCUAGUUGUAAUAAUACACCGUGCACGUAAAUUCUGUCUGGGAGACUGGAUUUUAACUGGGAUCACUUGUGAUCCCUUCAGCCUUUCUUGGGAAUUUACUUAGAAUGGUAAUUCUGUUUAAGGAGAUUGUUUAACGAUCUUUCUUGGAAAUUACUGAAUCGGUUUAAUCACUAGUUAAAUUUUUGAGUGGGAAAUUAACCGAUUUUCCCAACAGUCAACUCAUGUUCACAUGACAAAUCCUAUAACUUGCAUAAGAAACAAAAAAUCAAGAGGAGUAUUUUGACUCUUGGAAUAUAAUGAUUUUAAGUUAAUAUAAUUAUUUAUGUGAAUCGACAACUAUCUUAUUACAAUUUUAGUUGAUACCCAGUAGAGGUUCUGGAUUUGAAUUUCUCUUUCUCCUUCCUAUUUCUUAAAUCUCAACUCUCAGCUAAUAAAAAAUUUUUAAAAAAAUGUCUCAUAGUUAAUUCUAUAAACAAAUCAAAGUCACUGCCUUUAAUAUCAAUCCAAAAUAUUCCAAAUUCAUAAUAUGGGAUUUAAUUUUUAAUGACCUUCAAUUGAUUGGUUAUGGUUUGGAUAGGUUAAGUUAACUUGCUCAGAUAUAGAGUUAAGGCUAAAUUGUAAAACAAACACAGUUCUUCAAUUUUUUUUUCUUUUCUUUUCUAAGCAUGGGGCUAAAUUAUUGAAAGAAAUUAAAAGAUAGUAUGAAUUAAAAAAAAGUAAAAAAAUUGUACCAAUAUAAUUAAAAUCCAAGAUUUGUCUAGCAAUAGCUCAAAGUGUGAUAAAAUGUGUAUAUGAUUCGAAAACUACUUUUUUUGUGGAAGAUGAAUCCUAAAAUAAUAAUAGAAAUUUUUAUUAGAAAAUGAAAGAUAUAUUGAUAGAAAUGAAUGUAAUCGUGAUCUUUAGUUUUUGUGAAUGAUUAUGAGAGUAAGAUACGUUAUAAGAGUUAGAUACGUAGAAUUGUGGAAAUUAUAAUGCAAAUGGGCUUCUAAAUUUUGGAUAUGUAUUUUUCAUAGCAGUGAGUUCCUGAGUCAUGUGGUAAGUGUCAGACGUGGUUUACAAUUUGCAAUUGCGAUUUUGCAAAGGUCGUAAAUAUCUAUUAGUUAAAAUUAUGGAGUUAUGAUUUUGUAAGUUAGUGAGUCACUUAAAUUGGAAAAGUGAAAAGGGAUGCUGAGAAGGAAUAAGGAUUACUGAAUUAAAACAAAUCUAAAAUUGUGGAGGGUCAUUGUUAAAAAUUUUCCCUCCAAUACAUAUAGAUAUAGAUAUAGAUUUUCGGCUAAAAAUUCUCUGGAUUGAACUAAUUCUAAUAUGGGCUGGUUUAUGAAUAUCAUAUGGUUAACUUAGCAUUGUAGAGAUAAAAAUCAUCAACCUUAAACAAUCCCCGUAGAAAUCCUAAAUUUUCAAAAUCAAAAUAAAUUCUUUUUCACGGUAUACAUUUUAAGUGUCAAGCUUUGUAUAAUCUGAUUAUUAUGUCAAAGCAAGCACAUGAAGAAGGAAGAAAAAAGAGUCAAAUUCUCAAACCAAAAGGUCCAAAAUUCAUAAACAAGUAAUAUGCAUUUAACCAAGGUGCCAAUCAAACUAUUCAGUCAUGAAUAUAAUCGAUAGAUUAAAAUACAACAUUAAAUUAUUCAAGCAACAACAUAAGAGAGGUUUUGAAUCAUACAAGUUUUCACUUUAGAUAUGAUUGUGGUAUUCUGACCAAUCAGUCAGUGAUGGGUCUUCAUCUAGCAUUGCAGCCAGAAUUUUUAUUUUCCCCUAAGUUCUCUUUUUCAAUGACUUUUGCUCGAAUCUUAAUAAACUCCAAACUCUCUGUGUAAAUUGACUUCUAGUUUAAAUCAUCUAAGUCAUAAAAUGAGACUUUGUCUGAUUUAAUACAGUCCAAGUUUAGUUCACUAUUUGAUACAUUGACAUUUUUUAAGUUCUCUUUUCAAUGACUUUUACUAGGCUAAUUUCUCAAAAUAUACGUUAAAAGAAAAAUCCGUCAAAUGUAGCUCUGACGGGGAACUUUUCUCAAACUAUACCUGCCGUGCUGAGCAAAAAUAAAAUUUUUAAAUCGUUCCGGCACAAUUUUUAUUUUGGAAAAGUCAGCCGCUGCUGUGCUGACUCUAAUUUUUUUUUUUAAAUCUGUCUGUCCCCUACCGUGCCCAGUUAGCACAGCAAGGAGACAAGCGGUCAAAAAAAAAGAAGCCAGACGCCUUUGUCAGCCUUUGCAAAAAAAAGAAGCCAGGCACCUUUGUCAGCCAUUGUCAGGUGCCUGCAAAGGCUGACAAAGGCCGACAAAGGCCAUGUGACGAGCAUAGGUAUCGUACGCAAAUUAUUGCCUAAUUUCCACCGCUACCGUGUCCAAUCAGCACGGUAACGGUGAGAUUUUUGCAAAAAAAAUUCUAGCCGUUCAUCCUAUUCAUAUGAACGGCUAGAUUUGAUUAAAUUCGCUAUAUAAUGGUUUGUUAUGGCCAGUUUUGCUCGCUCACUCUCAUUUCUCAUUCUCCUCCGAAGCUACUCUCUCGCUUUCUCUCAGUCUCAAAUUUGAACUCCUUCUGGUUGGAUUCGAAAUCUAUGAAAUCGGCACCGAGGUUAGGCAGUUUUGCUGGAGGCUCAAAUGCGCAAGGCUUGAAAAUUUGUUGGCCGAAACUGUCUUUAAUAGAUUGGUAGUAGUAGAAAAUCUGUCGGCCAAUUUUGAUAGCUUGCAGAAAUUAUACUCAGACAGGCAGCUACAUUACCAGGUUAAUUGGUGCAGAAUAGUGAAAAUUGAUUGUCUGAUUAUAGUUAAAAUUUUAAUAAUUGGUUUUAAAAAAUUGAGGUUGAUUGGUGGAUAAUAAUAUUAAUUUGUACAGAAAAGUUGAUUUGCUACUAAAGUGAAAAUCGAGGGUUAACAUCAGGGACAAACUGUUGGUAUCGCCGUGUUACAUAAGACCGUCAUGCUAAUCCAUUGCGGUGCUGAUAAAGGCAGAAUUUUUUUAUAGUACAAUCGUAUUCGUACAGGUUAGUAAUUUAAAUUAUUAUUAUAUUAGUUAUUAAUUACAUUAUUUAUAUUAUGUUAAUUAAACAUGUAGCUUAUUUAUGUAUUUACAUGUUAUAUUAUACUGUCAUCAAAUGAUAUUAAUUAAACAUGUUUUCUACAUAGUGUGUUGUUGUUAUACUAUAUUAAUUAAUAGUUAAUGUAAAGUGUGAUAAAUUUAUUUAUAAUUUUAUAAUAUUGAAGUGCUAAAAAAGAGUUAACUAGUGUAUAUAGUGCUAUAGUGUUGUCGACUACGACUUAUAUAAAAUUAUAUAAUUUAUAUAGAAUUACUAUAUAAUAUAAUUCAUGUAGAAUUACUAGAACAAUUAAUUAAAAUUAUUGGUUUUUACAUGCAUAAAAUACAUUAAUUAACUAAACAUAAGAAACCUGCCCGUCAAUCGAAGUACGACCUUGUCGUGCUACGGGACAAAAAUUUUGCCUUUCACCAUACAUUAUUUAAUCAAUAAUUUAAUUCUUACCAAAAAUAGAAGUUGGACUACAUGUGGCUUUUUACAGCCCAAAUUCCAACAGGUUUAUCCGAUUGUAAAUAUUUUAACUCACGAUCAAUUGUCAUGACAAGUGACGAGAACAAUAAAAAAGAAAAAAGUUAUAAUCGGCAAAUAUCAAUAAAAAAAGUUUGGGGAAGAGAUUGAUAUAGAUGAAGAAUUCCUAUAUGUAGGACUUUUGUAAGAUAUCAUAUAUGUUGCGUGCGAGGUAAAAAUGUAGUUAAAAAACAUAUAGAAUGGAAGAUUCUUGGAAGAUGCAAAAAUGUUGUCUCGAAAAAAAUAAUGAUCCGAAUUGGUUGUGUUAUUACGUACGCCAAGCCAAAGUAAUUACAAUAAUUAAUUCCUGCUUAUUGGAAUACAUGAAUCCUUCUUUAAUUAACAACUAUUAUGCAUUUAAUAAUAGUUUAAUAAUAAUACAAAAUUUAAGUAAAAAACAAAUGGGAUAUUUACAAUACAAAAGGCAUCUGGGGACAUGAAUAAUGAGGUUAGGUUAAUGUAUUUAUUUUAAAAAUUAAUGAAAUGAAGUAUAUUUAGGAUUAUGGUUAAAAUUUAGUUUAAUUAGGUUAUUUUGAAAAUUAAAGUGAUGAAAUUUAUUUAGGAUGGCUGUAAAAUUCUAGUUUACUAAGAUUAUUAUAAAAAUUAUAUAAUCAACUAUUUUUUUAAGAUUAUAGAUAAAUGAAUAAAGAUAUAAUCAAUUUACUCGUUACUUGUGAUAAUGAUUACCAGUUAUAUUUGAUAAUUAUGUUCAAUAUUUUACGGUAACCAAGCAUGUAAAUAUAUAUGUUCAUUAAAAAGUUUAUAACACCUUGCUACUUAUAUGUAAAUUAGGCUUAAUAUGUCGAACUGUACAGGAGCGCAAAUAGUUGGUGAUUCGGAAGAUGCAAUGCUAAAUGGUGGCCGCCUAAAGAUGUCGUCUAUGUACAGACGGUUGACUACGCCAGUACCGCCGGAUGCACCCGAUUCGGCAGUAUGCUCACAUCUACAUAUUGAUUUUAUUGGGUGGUCUACUAUUCGGGGAUUCAUGCGGGAAUCUUGUUAGUCUGAAUUGGUUAGAUUAUGUUCGAGAAUUGGAAGCGAUAAGGGAGUACAGUUGGGGGUCAGCGACUCUAGUCUGUUUAUACUCACGUGUGUGUCACGCUUCGCGUGCUUCUACUACUACCACAGGUGGCCCUUAUCUAUUACUCCAAAUAUGGGCAUGGGAACGGAUUCCCAGCAUUCGACCGGGUAUGCAUCCAGCGCCUGAGACUGGUGAAUUUCCGAUAGUGGUAGAUGGGCAGCCGAAUGUACAGGGGUUGAUCCGCCGGGUAGGCGCAGCAAAUACUAUCAGGAGUAUAUUGCAUUGCUACGCAUGGAUGAGGUAAUAUACAUGUUAUAGCUUCGGUUAUUAUUUGCUAAUAUACACCAUUCUUUGCGAAAAUAAAUAAUUACUUUUUGUUAUGACAAUUCAUAUGGAUGCUGUACAGUGAUGAAAGAUUGGCCGCACUACCACGAUACUGCAGACACGGCGAGCGCAUUUCACGGGUCAGAGUUCCCCUCGUAUUUUGGUACAUUAUUGAGUUUCACUGUCCAGAUCGGGUCAUGCGUCAGUUUGGACUACUUCAAAAUAUUCCCGAAGUUGUUAACACAAAUCUGAACGGGGUUUAUCAGCUCAAUCUGUCUGGCUAUCCUGGAAGGAAUUGAGCCCAAUUUCAUAGGGGGUGGAAACAAUAUUAGAAUGCUCGCGCAAAUGCGGAGGUCACAGGUCAGUUUGCUAAUACAUUCAUGCCAUCAAAUGAUUACCUCAAAUGGUAUCACGAGCACACUGUUCUAUAUAUUUCGAACCCUAGUGACCAAAAUCCGUAGAUGGGCCAAAUGCUUCAGGGAGUCUCUGGACAAUUUGAGUAUAUGGUAUGCAUUUACUUGAGACUUCUGUCAUUGGGAACGUUUUUUAGCAUAGGUGCGUUAAACAAUUAUUCCUAACAACUGGCCUAAAAUUUUUUGUUACAUAUGGGUGCUAUGCAGCGUAUUGGUCAGCAGACACAGGAUGCUAUCAAUGUUGAUGAUAUCGGUGACAUUGCAUAUCCACGUCUGUUGACCAUCAUGGAUGGUGCAUAUGGUUCGAUGCAAUACCUCUGACGUUUUGAUCGUAUGGUUGUAGGACAAUCCGAUCUAUUCGAUUUUGGGCACCCUUCGGCAUCAAAUGUCCCAUUUCAGACUCCAGGUCGACGAGUUCCAUCUCAAACAGGACCUUCGUCUAGUCGUGGUAGACAUAGGAGACAUGGUCAGCACGAUGGAUCAACCGUUGCUGAACCUAGCGUUCAAGUCACUGGAAUGGAUACUCAUCAUCUGCACACGUCUCCGGUUCAGCAAUUCACCACAUUCGAAUUUUCACCAAUGCCGGGUGUAGAUGCAGGGAUGGCUGCACACUUUCAUGUAUCUGGGGACAUGUUUAUUCCACCGCCGGCGUCGAUGACCAUUGGUGCACAAGCAACACCGUUGCAACAAUUUCAUCCAUUUGCUGCACCACCAACGCCAGUUGUAGACAUGCAUGGAUUUGAUCCACAAUUUCCUUCUUCAUCACAGUUACCUCCAUAUGAGCAUGUCCCCAUGACAGGAGACUUUUCUUCCCCUGCGGCAUUACACCUUAUAUUUACUUUUCUUAGUGGAACGGGAGGUAUUUCUUCAUCGUUGGAGCUUCCUGAUUAUUACAGUUUCGGACUGCCAUCGCUUUUUCCAUCUACCGGCCAACCAAGUUAUGCAUCCAAUCAUGUAUCGACAGGAGAUUUUGUCACCUAUCGUUCCACGAACGAUUCUGAGAGCAGCGAUACUUCCAAUGCGUUUCCAGGGAGGAUCCGCCGUUCCGUGAUUAUCCGAAUCAUCCUAGUGUCGUUCUUGACAAGCGUCAAAUACGACGACCGAAGAGAUUUUGCUGCCCUUCCACAAUGCUGCAAAAUGUUGGUAAGGGUAAGGGCAAGAGUUAAGGCAACAUGCGCGCUAAGCAUUGACUUUGUAAAUAAUGACUGUGCUAGGUAGUUAUCUAAUGAAUGCUACUUUCCUUAACUUUAAACUUCAUCUACGUUUAAUUUCAUUUCCAUCUCAAACCCUAAUUACUUAAAUCCUAAACCCUAAAUACAAAAGUGCAACCCUAAAUACUUUAUUCGAUGUCAUUAAAAAGAAACCCACUAACGUUGCAAAGCAAAUAAUAAACUAAUGUUACAAACAUAAAUGGCGGAUUAAAGAGUUUAGGACAAUCUUAAUGACAAAGGCAACAAAGAUUCAUGGGGGCUAAAGUUAAAAAAUAAAAAAUUAUGGGUAAAAAUAUAAAUUUUAAAAUCUAAGGGCCCAAAUGCAAAUUCUGUAAAAAUCACUUUUUUUUACUAACCUUUUAUUCAUUUGCUACUCAAAUUUAGGCUAAUUGGACUACCAAAGUGAUUUACAAAUCUACAAACAAAAGAUUAUUCAUACUAGUUUCUAAAGUUGUUAAAUUAAAAUCCUAAACUUAAUAAAUUUACUUAAACCCCAAUUUAUACCUGAAAAGUCAGAAUUAAUUCACCAAAAUACACAUUAACAUCAUAAAGAUAGGCUAGGACUCCACAAAUGAGAAAUUAUAUCCAUUUUUUGCAAAUCUUGAGGCCCUAGCAUAAUUAUGCAAAAGUUAGGGGACAAAUUAUAAAUAUAUUUUAUGGACUUAGAUGAAAAUCAUUGAACAUAAGAACACAAUCAAAUUUUCAGAAAAUUAAAGAAUGCCUAAAACACAUAAAAUAUCUAAAACUACAUAUUAAAAGAAAAACAAAGGAAAGAUAAAAACAAAAGCUUGGUCCAUAUUCCUUAACCCAACCGAGUUCCAUAACAAAUUUGGACAUUUGGCUGAGGCGUCUGAUCCAAACAGAAAUUACCUACAUGAGUCUAAUACAAUGAAUGUAAGCCCAAAUGAAAUAUACGAGUAAGUCCAACUCAAAACUAAAGUAAUUAAAUUUAAAACCUAAACAAGGCUAUGCUCUACCCACUGAUGAAGGCCAAAUAUUAGUCCAUGAAUAACUCCCAAAUUUAAGCCCAAUAGAAUUUUUUUUGUUAUUUUCUAAGAAACUAGCCCCUAAGUCAGAGUAUUUUUAAAAAUAUAUACAUUGAUUACUUUAAGUAUACACAAAACAAAAGAAAGGAAAACCCCUUGUCGUAAUUUGAUAAUGGUUUAUUGAUUUACAGAUAAAAUUAGACAACAAUUAGCGUUAGCCUUGUUAUUAAUUUGAAAUACUAAACCCUAAAACCCUAAACCCUAAACUCUAAAACCCUAAACCCUAAAACCCUAACUUUAAAACCUUAACGCAAAAACCCUAACCCAAAAAUCCUAAACCCUAACUUUAAAAACCAAUUUCCGUAAAAACUUUUUUUUUGCCACAGUCAGCACGGCAGCGGCCUGCAAAACUGCUGCUACGUCUGGAAGUGUCAGCCGCUACCGUGCUGACUGUGCACGGCAGCGGCUGACACCUUCUGACCAGCACUGAAAUUUUUGCUGAGCUUCUGACCGGCUGACAGCUUCUGAUUGGGAAGGAAAAAUUCAUUUUGGCAGGUAUAGUUUGAGAAAUACCCCCUGUCAGAGCUUCAUUUGGCGGAUGUUUUUUUUUUAUACGUAUAUUCUAAGCAAUUAACCUUUUUAUUGGGAUCUUAAUGGAUUCCAAACUGCCUAUGUAAUUUGACUUCUAGUUUCAAUCAUCUUGUUAUAAAACAAUAGCUUGUCUCCGAUUUAGGGCUCGUUUGGAAUUGCGGUAAUUUAUUGAAAAGUAUUUCCCUAGCAGAUCUUUAAUAAAAGUACUUGUCAACUGUUUAAAAUAUUUUAAAUAUAUUGUUUGGAGACAUAGUUCAAUAAGUACCGAUUAUAUUGGAUAAUAUAUAAUUUGAAAAUUUUUAAAAGUGUUUAUCUCUUUAUUUGGUUUAUAACAUAGAAUAAGAUGAUUAAAUUUGAUAUUUUAUUUUUUAAAUCACAAAAGCUACUCUAAAAGUACCAAAUUUGAGUUUUUGGUAAAAAAAUUUUAACACAAAAAUCUUUACUCCUAAUUUUAUGGGAUGAUAUUCACCAAACAAUUUAAAAAUACUUUUAACAUCUAAAAGUACUUUUUUACCAAAAGUAUCGCAACCCCAAACGGGCCCUUAAUAGAGUCCAAAUUUAGUUCAACUUCUUAUCAUGAUGCAAUUAGUGAGUGGAAAAAUUCGGCCAUUAUUUGAUACGUUAACAUUUCUAAUUAAGAAUUUUUAGUUUGAUAGGAGACGGGGAGUAAAAUUGUAGGAGUCCUUUAUAAGUAAAAUUGUAAGAGUCCUUUAUAGAGUAAUGAGUAGGGACUAAACGAUAAAUCAUCCAAGAGACUUUCUAGAGUGUGUGUGUGUAUAUAAUAUAUAUAGAGAGAGAGAGAGAUUGGUCGAUGGUCACAAAUAUGCCCCUGCAAUCAUAUAAGUUUUAUCUUUUAAGUUUAUUCUCAUUUUUCUUUUUUUUUUCUUUUCUUUCUUUCUGUUUUGACCCUUUUCUUUCUUCAUCCUUUAAUGUCGUAAUGCUUUUUAUUUUCUCUUAAUAUGUGUAUAUUCAAAAUAAAACUUUUGAUUGGCUAUAGCUCAUUCAAUUUGUUGUCUGCUCCGGUUUUUAUUUCUUUCUACAAAACGCCAAAACCAAAGAUAGAGAGUUUGUAUGGAGAAGAGAUCAACAGAGGAGGCAUAAAAGGGGACAAAAUUUUAACAUUUUUUCGGCUAUAAUCACAUAAGACUGUGAACUUUUGUUAAGAAUAUUUCUACGAUAUUUUCAAGGUCUAAAUUUUUCCUUGGAAGCCCUAUGUCUAGACAUGGGAUGGGUGUAGACUUUGUAUCUCUAAAUAUUGGUUUCAACUUAAUUGAUAAUAUCUUUUAGGACUUUAUAAUUUCUAGAAUUAUUUGUCUGGAGAAAUAGAAUUUCAUGGCACACAAUUUCACUUGAAGACAGGCCGUUUGUACAAAAUUAAAAGACAAAUAAUUAAUGGUUGUGUUUAGUCAUCCAACUUGUGACUUGGGAAAUAAGUUAGUGUCUAAAUUGUGCCGUACAACUUGAUGAGAUGGUGUGAAACAAUUUUAACCAUUGAAUUUUAAAAAACCAGUGAUGAUGAUAAUGACCUGAUGAAGAUCAAAUUCAGUUGUUGAUGCUGUUGUGGUCCUUGUGGGUUUCAAUUAAUUGGAUCAUUUGUUUAGUUCAUUGGGCUGAGGUAUUAUAACAAACUCUUGGGUUGUUUUUGUUGGACUGGUCCAAGUUUUAAUGGCCUUUCACAAUUAUUUUUUGCUUUUGGGAUACAAAUUCAAUGUAUGCCAAAAUUUAAAAGGGCCAUCUGAAAUUAUUUUUGGGAUUAUUUGGGGCUAAUAUAAUUAGUGGGCCGAAUGGUGCAGUUAACGGUUAAAAAAAAGAAAGGGAAACUGACUUUCUGGGCCUGUGCAUGUAGGGCUUUUGUUCUUAUAGUGGACAUUUUGUUUGUUCUGUAAUUGAACUUUUGGAUCAUAAAGCCCAACUUGAAAAUUCCCAGCUAAUCAAAUAUGUUUAGAAACCGAAAUAUGUUUAAAAAUACCCAAUUUAGAGCUGUAUACAUCCAAGAACUUAUUUAAAGGCUCGAUUUUAUUAUAACAACCAAAAUUUUAACAAAUGAACUCAACAACACUAUUAAAAGUCCAAGUUUGCUUAUAUCCAAAUUAAAUAAAAAGAAGCCUUUUUUAAAGAGUAGGCUUAACUCUAAGGUUAAACCCAAAUUCAAAUCCAACUCGAACCAAUAUGUUCCAAUUUAUAUCCAAAUAGAAACUUUUUUUUAUAGAUAAUUGGAUUAAAAUACUUUCUAAAAAGAGAGGUCUUUUCAAAAGGGGAAACUUUUCAAAAUGGAAAACUUUCGGAAUAGGGAAAUCUUCAUUUCUUUUCUUUUCUUAGAACCCUUUUCAGUUACUUGUUAUAAAAGGUUGACAUGUUUUAUAGGAUUAUUUAAGAUAAAAAUAAGUAAAUGAAAUAGCAUAUAUGAACUAAUUAAGUCAUAUAUAUUAUUGGCUAUAAGUUGGAAGCAAGAUUGCAUAUCUUUAGAAGAUAAAUGAAGAGGUAAAUAGAUUGGCGAUCGCGUUCUAAGAAUUAUACAGUAAGGUGUUUAAUAGGUGUGUUAAAUGAAGAGUUUGAAAUUCUUAAGUUAGGGUUGUAUAAAUUAGUAAUGAUAAUUUGAAAUAUUUGUAGAUUUUAAUUUUAGUGACAUUAUCAUUUUAAAGUAAUUGUAAAUUUUAGUGAAUUUUUGUAAGUUAUAAUCAAGAUGUCUAGUUUUCACGAGAAUACAGUCUCACGGGUACGCCAUGUGAUGUUGCAAAUUUAGUCCAUGGACCCAAAUUUGGAGUGAAGCGUCUUCACAGACUAGUAAGUGAGCAUUGGUUUCUCCAUAAACAUUCCAAUUGACUUCAGAAAAGGAAAAAAUAAAAAAGAGGAAAAGAAAGAAAGAAACAUGUGCUUAUAUAUAUACAUACAUAUAUACAUAUAUAAUUCUACAGUCUCUACAAUUCUGAAUAAGGCCCAACAAAGAGACUUACAAUAUCAUCAAGGCAGGAAAUGUAGGGACUUAGUAAAAAACAAGAACAAGAUGGGCAGAAUGAGAUCCCGUGAUUAGUUUCCUCUACAAAUCUGCAGUUGAGCCUACGUGCCAACAAAUAUUUUACCUGAAAAAGAAAAAUAAAAUAAGUAGAUAGAGUAAGAUUUUGAACUUAAAAAACACGAAACUUCAUUUGUACAGGAAAAAAAGUGAAAAUCAGUAAGAAAACUGAACAAUAAAUAAAAGUGAAAAUCAGGAACUCUAAAUCUCUGAAUACCUGAUGCCAUCACUGCCUAUUCUCACAAGGGGAAUCUCUUCAAUCACGGGCCAGUAGUCUCCUCUAUCCAUCAAACACCUUUUCUCAAGAAGUGGGCAUUGAUAAAUUAGUAGAGUUUGAAGCGGAUUACGCAGCGAUUCCUUUGGUAGGGAUCCAAGCUUGGGGCAGUUAAAGAUAUGCAGAUAUUGAAGAGCUGUAAGACCUCGCAAGAACGUGGAGAGCGAUUUCAGAUUUGGUAAGUCACCAAUGGCGACGGACCUAAGAGUUGGAGGAAGCAAAGCCAAUCCAUCAUCGCCACUACCAGAAAAUGAUUCCAGCUCUGGAUAUCCACUGCAGAUGCUGAAACUUUCAAGAUACGUGAGUCUGUUGAGUCCCCAUUCUGACAGGGGCUUCAGCUGUAAGUUUUCUCCUGCCCCUAUGUGAAGAAACUUCAGACUGGGAGGAAAAUCUCCUUGUGGAAAUAGAGAUCUUAGUCUUCCCAACCCACUGGGCAAGUAACUAACAUUUUUGCAUCUGUCCAAGGAAAGAUAUUCCGAACUUGGACUGGGCAAUUGAUCCAGAUGAUGAUCACAAUCGCUGAUAUACAAAGACCGGAGACUUGCAAAACAAUAGACUGAACCAAGCAUUGUCCUCAAAUUCAGAUAUGGGCAACCAACGAUUUCCAGUCUCUCAAUCGAUGUGCUGGUGUCCUCAAUGACAAUCUCUGGAGUAAGGUUCAGUUUCUGGCACUGCCAGAUCUCAAGAUUCCUAAGCUGAGGGAGGAGCAACUUCUCCAUUGGCAAGCAACUGAGGGCUGAGCAUCUGCUUAUUUGCAAUGUGUUAAGACCAGAUAAUGUAGGCAAAGACUGGAGAGCACUGCAACCUUUUAUCUCAAGAUAUUUGAGCGUUGGUAAGACACCAAGCUCCUCCAAGGAUGAAAGCUGUGAACAUUCUGAAACAACUAAAGAUUUUAGCUGCACAACGUUUAUAGUGUUACUUGAGCCCCACAGAUUUUUCAGUUGACGGCAUUCAUGUAAUGUGAUAUCUUCAAGGCCUGAUGGAAACUGCUUGAACACAUCCUCGAGGGAUGCGAGCCCUAUAAUCUGCCGAAACUCCAAUUUGUAUAAUGAGGUCAAAUUGUGAAAACAUUUCGCAAUUCCCAGCGAGCACUGUUUUAACUUUAGUUCAGAGAGUGAAGGAAGAUGCAAAACAGGAAUGCUUUUCAACUCUGGGCAGCAACUUAUACAGAGCUUUCGGAGCAGAGGGAAGUGGCAUUCGUUCUCUCCUGCUGAACUUAAGCAAGUCCAUUCCUCCCAUUGUGGCAUGUCAUUAAAUGUUAGACUUUCAAGCGAUGGAAAGGAAAAUUCCCAAGAGCAAUCUUUGCCACAAAACUCCGUACCUACUGCCUUCACCCCAAGCAUGCUUUGAAUGCUCAAAUCCUUGAGCGCAGGCAAUUGCCCGAGUGAUGGUAAACACUUGCAGUAUGUACAACCUCUAAGGCUUACUUUUACUAAUUUAGUAAAUGAAGAAUCCCCCACCCAGGAAGAGAAUUUGUCUCCCCUAUAGAACUCAAUUUCAAGACUCGUUAGGUUUGUGUAUGGUCGUAGCGCCUCAAGCAAAUCUUGUUGAAGAACUUUACUCAGAGAAUCAUCAUAUUCACUAUUCCAUGCCAAUACUAUGUUAUCAAGGUCCCUCUUGUUCUUCAAGUUGGCAUCCCGUGCUUCUUGAACAUUCGUAACAUUUUGCAACUCCAGAAUGGCGAGUGACCCUGCCAGUAAGGACAAGUUCCCCAAGUCAUUCAGCCUGAACCCACCAUGUUUGCUCACAACCACUUUGGAUAGUGUCUGCAAGCUCGUCAACUGAUCAAUCCCUGAAGGCAUCUUACACAAUUGACUAGUAUUGGAAUUUUCAAGAUGGCGCAGGUUAAUUAAUUUUCUAAUACCUACCGGUAAGUUAAUCAGCUCCCUGCAGUUGCUCAAACGUAGUGUUUGUAAAUUGCAAAGAUUACUCAAUGAUUCAGGCAACAAUUUCAGCCAAGUACCAGACAAAUUCAGGUACCUUAGAUGUAUUAAUUCACCGAUGGAAUUUGGUAGAUCAGAGAUAGCAUAGCCACUGAAUGAUAGCACCCUUGAGUAUCGCAAUUCCAGCAAAAGUUCUGCUACGACCUUUUUAGCGAUGUAAAACGGCAAGCCUUCAUACUUGACAAAAAUGGGCAAUGGUAGGAAACUUCGCAAAUGUUUUGCUUUCUGAAGAGUUUUAAACUUUUGUGUAGCUCCAUACCCUGAACUUGUGAAUGAUGCGUACCUAACCUUGUCAAGGAUCGUGCAUUUGAUGUUCUCUUCCAAGUCGUCUGUCAGUCUGGAACAAAAAUCUCCAGCAACAUAUCUGGCUAGAUCGUUAAUAAGGUCAUGCAUCACAAAACGUGAACUAGUGGAACUAGACUGCUGGAAGAAGGACCUCAUUAGUAGCUCCUUAAAAUAAUUGUCCCCUAUGUCCUCCAUAAGUUCGCUUGCUUUUGACUCCUCGAUAAAACCCUCUGCCAUCCAGAGCAAUACAAGCUCAUAUUUGUCAAACUCAUAGUCCUUGGGAAAUAUGGAGCAGUAAGCAAAGCACGGUUUUAGGUGGGCAGGAAGAUGAUAAUAGCUUAAUCUUAGUGCUGGAAGAAUGUCACUUUGAUCCUCUUUUAUUUCCCAUAUCUCACUGUUCAGUAUAUCCGUCCAUUCAUCUGGGGUCGAUCUAGCACGCAACAACCCUCCAAGAGUCUUCACGGCCAAGGGCAAGUUCUUACAUUUCCUUACAAUACUCCUACCAAUGCCUUCUAGAUUGGGGUACCUGUCAAAAUUUGUCCUUCCCAGUGCAUGUCUUGCCAGUAAGCAUAAGCUGUCAUCAUCUGUCAACUCCUUCAGACUAUAUCCAGCAGUGGAAGACACUACUGAUGCCACCCUAUGAUUCCGAGUGGUGACAAUUAUCUUGCUCCCAGAUGAACCAACUAGAAAUGGGCGGCACAGGAUGUCCCAGUCCUCAUAUUUUUCAUUCCAAACAUCAUCUAAAACAAUUAGAAACCUCUUCCUGGUCAAGGCCUCACUCAGUUUCACUUGAACCAUAUUCAGAUCCUCAUAAUCACAGCCACCCGCUGUGAUUGCUUUAAGGAUUGUCUUUGUUACCCCAAAAAUGUCAAAAUCAUCUGAAACACAAGCCCAAGCCUUGGAAUCGAAAAAUUUGUUGACUCUGUCAUCAUUGUACACCAUUUGAGCAAGAGUUGUUUUACCAAUCCCUCCCAUGCCAACAAUUGGUAUCACAACCACUUUAUCAUCACUCGAUUCAUUUGAAAGGAGCAAUUUGAGCAGCUCUUCUUUGUCAUUCUCUCGACCAUAAACAUAAGACUCCACUAAGGAAGUUGAUGGCAAUCUAUCCCUAGUUUUGUUCGGCCUCUUUGCUACAGUCUCUACCAAAUGGAGGAUAUUGAUUUGUUCUUUCAGGCUCUCCAAUCUUCUAGUUAUUUCAUCCACCUUGGGAGCCAUAUUUCUGUUGAACUUAUAAUCUUUAACAGAAAAUUUUGUACAACAGGAAGGGAUUUUAACCUUUCUUACCUUGCUAGUAGAGCCUUGAGCUUCCAGCAACCUUCUUCGACAAGCUUCUGUGGAGAAUUCGUCAAUCACAUCAUCCAUAUCAUAUGCCAAAUCCUGAAGAUCAUCUAGCCACUGCUUCACAGCAAUCCUCAUAUUCUGCUUGUCCUCUGCAUCAUCAAGCACUACCUGAAUCAGGGAUAGCACUUGGCUCCAUCGUUUCAGCUGAGUAUCUAAGCCUUCUGAGCGCGCAAGUUUCUUCAAAUCAACAGAAGCAAGCUUGUCAAAUAUCACCUUGAUGAUUGCACCAAGAAAGACUUCUAUCAGUGCCAUUUUGUUAUCUAAUCUUUGUUUCCUUUUUUUUUCGGGAUUAUCUUUUGUAAGUAAGCAACAAGAAAAAUAAAACUUAUGAAAACUCAAAAGGGGAGAUAAGAUUGAAAGGUAGAAAAAAAGCAGUUUCUUCACCAGAAAUGGAUCAGUGCCAAAUACUUGCCCCAGUGAUUUUUGAACUGGUGAGGAAAAAGUUUCUAAAAGCACGUCAUCAAUUUUUAAAUUAGCUCAAAUAAGAUAAGCUUUUAUAUGUUGAAGUUGACCAACAUGCUUAAUUAUUUUAUGUCAAUUUGUGUAAUUUGAUUGUAUUCCAAGACAUCAAAUUAAUUAAUUAUCUAUAACAUGAAAUCAUACUAAAUACAGUUUCUCCUUUUGCUACUUCUUUUUUUUUUUUUUUUUGGAUUUUGAAAAUUGAUCUCUCCUAAUAUCUGACAGAUUUUGAAGUAUGAUUCUGAUGUAACUAUUUGCCAUUCAACAGGAUAGGUGAUUAAGUACAUCAGAUUUACCUGUUAGCCAUGAAUUGUAAAACAGAACGUAUGAAAUAAAUUUUAAGAGAGAGAGAGAGAGCUUGUAACGAUGAUAACUAUAAUUAUUCGUCUCACAGAAAUAUCAAAUAAUAUUGGAAGUUGACUUGACUAUGCUAAUGGGUAAUGUACCUAUCUAAUUUGUUUUGCUGCAAGUUUUUUUUUUAUUUUAUUUUGGGUGGGUGGGAGGGGAGGGGAGUUCUUCUUGGGUUUAAUCAACAAGUAAAGAAAAGCUGGCAGUGUUGCUUAAGACAAUUGAAGUUGCGGGGGAGGUUGUUAAGACAAUUUGAUUUUUAAACCAACCUUCCACACAAACUAAAACCAGAAGCUCCAUACGAAGUUAAUUUAAAGAUCUUCUUGCCUUCGAUCUAAGGGAUGGGAAUGGAACUUGUGGUAGACAGAACAUAUUAGUUGCCGCACAUCAUGCCAUCUACUAUGAUAUUCCACAUCGAAACUCUCGAAAGAGGAAAGUAAAGAUAUAUAACGGUUGGCCCGUUGAAUAAUUAAUAACAUUGGGUUAAUUUAGUGACAGGUUGUCAGCCUGUGCAAUAAUAAAAACCUGCUCAAACUAAAAGUAAUUUCUGUAGAUAGUGGUGAACAUGGUCGAAUCCACAGGGGGACUGGGAGUAAUUGUUUCUUUUCAAAUUCACAGUAACCAGGGGGUGUUUUUGUGCAGAGAGUGACAAUCAAAUAAAUGCAAAUAAAAUCCAAGGAACUACUAAAAAUUAAAUAAUAAUUUACUAAACUCAAAUGAAUGAUAACUAAGGUUCUAGCCAAGAAAUAACUUCAACAAUGGUUCACCUAAUUGAUCAUCGAUGCAAAGCCAAUUCCAAUUAGUUACUAAUAAAUAUGUUAUAACUGCCUAACAAGCGAUGACAGUCAAUCCCUCCUUACUGUGUCGGUGAUUAAGAUACGCCCGUUAAUCACUGCCCUAAUUGGAGAAUAAUUCUAGGUACGCCCGUAAGAUAUAAUUCCCCAAUUGCUUUACGUAUUAGAGGAGCCCUAUUCUAACCAAAUAAUACACUACCAGGGUUAUUUUAGGUUAGCCCGCAUAUUUCCCUGACACAAAUCCAAUCAUACCAGUUGUCACUAUUUUGAGACAAUUAAACAAUUACGGAUUUAACGUCCCAAUUGACAAUAGAUUAUCAAAUUAACUAAUUAUCCGGAUCCAAGACAAUCAAUUAAUUAAACAAUCAUAAGCACUGCAACUAACGAAUAUGCGAAUACCAAUAAAUAAAGGAAAAGAUAAAAUUAAAUCGAUCUCACAAUUUUUUAGGCGAACCAGAGCCUCCGUUGUCUCUUGACUAGAGUGGAAAAAAUUAGCUCAUGAUUGAUGAACAAAACCCACAGGAAAUUGGAGAGAAAAAUGCAACCAUCAAUUGGAAAAUGGGUAAACUUGAUUCGAUGGAGUGCUGACUAGAAAGAAAAGCUACAGGAAGUACUUAAUUGUUUUGCCUCUCCUAACAUACGAGGAAGAGACACUACUCAAAGCUAAAGAAAAAGACAAGUCCCCCAAAAAGCUAAGCUAAAAGAUGAAAACCACUAAGAAGAAAUAUAAGUCCAGUUCUCUGCUCUCCUUGUGCGGCGGCCCAGCACCAAGAAGAAGCCCUCAAGCCGUCCUUCCUUCGCAGAAUUUACCAAAAUGGGCGUUACAUCUUCUUUUUCAAAAAUGCCCCUCGGACAAGCUUUAUCAUUUGGAUUCCUUUUCUGCCAAAGUGGCACCUGUUAUCAUAUUUUCGUUCUAUUCACUGAAAUAAAUGCAAAAUACUAAAAGUGAGUAGAAUCCAACAAUUAAUCCAUAUCGGGUCAAGUAAUAGGGGAAAUUAAUAAUAAAAUAAAGGAGAAAAUUGCAACCUAUCAUUUAGCUUUUAUUGGGCCAGUCCAGCAGGCACGGACCAUUACAAAUGGUAUUAGAGCGAAUCUCGUAUGGUCUCUAUGUAAGGUGAGCCUAGGUCAAGUGGUGUGGUUCCAACUAACAACUAAGAGUUUUAGUUUGAAAUCUAAAGUUUGAAUCCAUUAAACUAUUGAAUUGUUAAGUAUUAAAUAUAAUACAUUUGAGUACAUAUCAUAUGAGAACCCAAAAAUUUUCACAUUUUCUCAACAUUAUUUUAUUUCUUUGCCUACAUUUUAUACUUUCCUUGGAAAUAUUAAAAUUUCUAUGCAUUUUUACAAGCAAGUGCAAUUUUAAAAUUAUUUUCCUAAUAUGAAUUAGUGUACGUUAAUUUGAAGUGCGUUAUAGAUGUGGGACCCGCUAGUGUGAUAUAAUUUUGGUGACUAAGUGAUUUUUGUGCUAAGUGUUAUUAUUAUACAAGGUGCUAGAGGAUAAUUAGAGAUUUGUUAUAUGAUGUAACCAUUGGAAGCCAAAGGAUUAGAGAAAACAAUAGAAGGGCCAAGUGGUGCAAACCCAUUGGAGGUUGGAUUUUGACCUCAUUUUCAUCUUUACUAAAAACCAAAUUUUGACCCAAAAUAUCUUCACUUUUCUUGCUUCUUGGCCGACUCUCUUGAGGGGAGAAACAAGAGAGAGCUCUUCAAUUUCUUGCUUCCAAACUUGUUCAAAUCUUGUGUUUUAGCCAAUCAAAUUUGAAACUACACCAUACAAGUGCUCAACUAGGAAGUUUGAUGGUUUUGGUGGAGUUGUUUUGGAGGAGGAAAGACUAAACCACUAUCUUCUUGUGGUUUUAAUGUAUCUUGCCAAGAAAUCUCUCUUUACUUUUAAUACUAGAUUUGUUGCUAGCUUAUUUGUGGUUCAAGGGUGCUCGUAAUGCUUAUAUCAAGAGAUUUUGGAUGAUUGGAGUGAUGCAUUUGAGUUAGGGUUUGAAUUAUUCCCCUCUCAUACUUGUUGUAUGGAUGGUUUAUGAUGUAUGUAAGCUUGUAUAAGAGGUUGUGGUAGUAAUUUAAGCAAGAAAUGAAGAGAUUUCCCUUUUAAACCCCAAAUUCCAGAUUUCAGGAAAUCUUGUUUUCAGUUCUGUCCGUUUCUGUUUGCCUAUGAUAGAGGCCGAAUUAGGCUUACCAUAAAACAUAAAAGUUGUAGUAUUAUGUCUUAGCUUUCCAACGCCACUGAAAACGCCUCAAUCGCACUUCGGUAGCCUGAGUUACUGUCAUUUACGCAUAGUGUGGUUAACUGACCUGUUUGUGAGAUUCUGGUUCUGUAAUUCAAAAUUUUGACCUAGAUACACUACGAACUGGACUAAGUGGUCUUCAUCAAAGUUGUAGCUCUCUGUCUUAACUUAAAAACGGUAUAAAUUGCACCUCAAUCCGAUAAGCGUAGCCUCGGUUGUGUCCGUUACGCAAAAUAACGUCAAAUCUGUCUUUUGUUUCUUGACUCAACCUUCAUUUCCGCACAUGUUCCUAGCUUGAUUUUGUACUUGUAUGACUUGGAGCCUAUGGAAUGGCUAUUGAAAUGAAAUGAUUUUGUGUGUGAAUUUGGGAUUGAUUGAGGACAAUAAUGAAGCCAUAAAUGGCUGGAAAACAGGUAAAUACAAAGGGCGUGCUGCCCAAAUUUACGCUCGAGAACUAGGUCGAUGUACUUGCGACUUGAGUAAGGCUUGAAAGCAAAUACCACGUGAACCAUCUAGGGUAUUUACGUCUUCUUUUAUUGAGAUAUAUAAGUUCGAAUUUAGCCGAAACUUGUACCCUUGGAAAAAAUGAAAUUUACGACUAAUAGAAAUACGUUUGCUUUGUCACUUCGACUCAAUUGGAGAUUUUAAAGUUUUACGAGUGAGCAUAAGUUUUACAAAUAUUUUACUUAUGUUCUUUGGUUUCAAUGUACUCUUUUCACUAUCAAAACCAUAUUUAUAUUUCAUACUAGUACGUAUUCGAAUUUUCUUUGAAUCACUUAAAUCUUUGAUGGUUGAAACAUAAUGUGUUCUUUUGAUUAUAUUAGGGUUCAUCGGUGACUGACGGUAUUAUCCGGCAGGAUAUUUUGGAUAUUAUUUUGCGUAAAUAGGUGAGUGUUCCUUGUUUGUUUUAUUUUCAUUGACUAUGUGGCUUGUUCUUGAUUAUAUGACUUGUUAUGAAUGAAUGAUAACAUGUUAAAUGUUUUCAAUGAUUACUUAAAAUGAGUUUUCUAGGCGAGUGUGUAUUUUAUCGCACUUGACCUAAAUGAAUGUGAAAUUUUCAAUGAUUGAAUGAUUAUAUGUGCAUGAAUGUAAGCCUCUCGGCUGAACUGAGCCCUGCCCUUCGUUACUGAUUGACUCGAGCCAGAAGCGGACUCGGUCGGGCGAUUUAGUGACCCUGGGUGAACGUUUGGUAUACUCGAGUAUUACCUUGUAAUCUGGUGGAGCCUGGCCAACGUCCAGGAGGGGGUGAAAUGAAAUGAAUGAACGAAUAUCAAUGUAAAUGAAGGGUUUUACUUAUCAAAAUGCAUUUUCAAACGAUAGGAGGAAUAAGGAAAUGAAAGGAGAAUGAAUGAAUGGCUCCAUGUGAGCAUUUAUCCUUUUAAUGAAUGUUAUUAUUGAUUUAUAUUGUCAUGUUUCUUGAAUUACUUGCUAUCUAUGGUUAAUGUAUUGAACUCAUUGUUUGUUUAUGUGUUUGGAACUUCACUGAGCUUUUAGCUCAUUCCGUUAGUUUUGUUUUCCUUAACAGGGGAUGUGAGCAAGGACGAGAACUCUGUAUAGACUAGCUUAGUCUAGUUCUUUGGAUUCUUUUGUAACGGUUCUCGCCCUAGCACUUGGCAAGGGUGGAUGUAUGAGGAAUUGGGAACCUUUGUAUAUUUGAAGUUUGUAAUUCCUUUGGAGAUAGGAAUGUAUAUAAGUUUAUGUUUUAAGUUUGGGAUUGUUAUUCGCUUGUUUUGUAAAUUUUAUCUUCAAUUCCUUGAGGUGAAUGAUUGAGUCCCGGCGAGAGUUGGGCAGACGGUCCGCUGAACCCUUUGGUUCGCCUUAGGGUAAGGUAGGGCUGUCACAUAUCACAUCUAGUGAUAAGUGAAUAGUUUAUCAUUUAGUUUUGAGAGCAAAUUUUACCUAAAAAAUUCAAUGCUACUUAAUUUAUUCAGAUGUUUAAUAUUUUGUUAUCAAACGAUCUAAAUAUGUUAACAUCUGAUUACAUUAAAUUUAAGUGCUAAAUGAAAUUAUCAAACAGGAUCUAAAUAAGAAAGUAUAAGGAACUAAGUACUAUAUGGGACUAAACCCCACAUUAGACGGUCGCCUUUAGAAUUCGUACGAGUUACCACUAGAAUCUGCAUAUGACUAAAUAAUCAGUGGGAUUGCAACGGAUUUUUCUUAACAAUCUAGAAUCCGCUCACGAUUAAAUGAUCAGUUGAAUUGCAACGGGGUUUCUUAACAAUAAGUCAAGUCAUUUGUGGAAAAUAAAUGGGACGCCAUAAACUGCACUAACCACAAACUGCACUAUCCACAAAUUAGAAAUAUGAAAGAGAUGGAGUCAGCCAAAGUGAGGCUCAUGAAGCUUAGGAUUCUGAUGCUUAUGGGAUGAUGUAAGCUGCUUGCCCAUUGGGCUGUCACACUCUUUGCAAGAUUUCGUAGUUGGUCAACAUUGUGACCUCCUUGAACCGUUAGAUGAUAGGCCUAUAACCGCAGGGAUAGAGCAGGAAAACAUUACGGUACGUGAAGUGUCAGCUUUGGAAACAAGGGUCUAGCGUAACCCUUCCCAAAACACUUACAGACACGGCUAAAAUAAUGUCAACACAAAAAAACACAUGGAAGUAAUAUUAAAAUAUUACACAAGAUCGACGAAAGCACGGGGAUUAUUCAAUCAAUCUAUUAAUUUUCCUCUCUCACAACUCAACUCACUCAACAAAUUCUUUGACUCAACUUAACAAGGCUCAACUCAACUCUCUAAUUGAAUAUGAAACAGGCAUCACAUAUAUGUAGGCAAUAGCUUACCAUAUAACUAAAGACUCGAGUGACUUCCACCGACUUGGACUAAGAAACCAAUUACACUUAGAAAACCAACUAAUCAAGGAUUCGGACUUGACUAUUCACCGACCAAAAUUUAAGGAAACUAACAAGUUGACAGCAGAUUAAAACGUUACCAUGUAAUUGGUUAUAGUAACAACUUUAAUCUAAUAAUCUAAACAAAUAAAUGACGUCAGCUUGAUUUAAUUUCCUUCAAAUAACACACGGGAAACACCUAGAACACCCAAAACAAUCCAUCAACCACUAACCCUCUCCUUCCUCCCCCACCCAAGCCCCCUGCGCCAACCCUCUGCCGCCUCCUCCACCUCCCCUGCCUGCCACCAGCUCCCCAAUCACUUCUCCUACUCUCAUGCUCGCCAAAAAUUGGGGUCUUUUUAUGUGGUUACGAGUAAUAUAUAAUGGUAUGCUCAUUGAAGUAGUACACCAUCACUCAGUUAAAGCAAACCAUUACAACUAAUAAUUCAUUGGCACCAAUUAAAGGGCAGUCAGCUUGGACACUCAUCAAGACACAUCCAAGUGCACAUAGUUAGACAUUUUCACAAACUAGUAAUAAAGCACGUGCUUGCACGUGAACAUGAUGCUUUUAGAUUUUUUUUCCUUUAAAAUUUUUAGAAAAUCAAUUAUUUUAAAGGAAUAAAUGUAAUUGAGACAAAAAAUAUGAUAUUUCAUAUUUAUAUUAUUUUAUAUUUUUCUGAACUUAGUUUUCCCUAACCAAACAUAAAUGCACAAGUAAUAAACCACUCUUUGUUUUAAGAGCACUUUUAUUUUGUAACAGUAUCAAUAUUUUUGUCUUUUGGUUAAAUUUAGAUGACCUAAAUGUUUUUUUUAUGCCAUUUGAGUUUAAAUUUUCAAUUUUUCGAAUAAUUUGUUGCUCCCUUUAAGUUAUUCUAUGAAUUGUUUAUUUGUUUUAGUGAGAUUUUCUAAUUAUUAUUAUUUCUUGCUAAUUGUGGAUUGUAAAAUGAUCUAUAUUGCUACUGUAAUUAUAAUAGUAUCAAAAUAUAUUGAAAUUCCAUUGUUCGAAUUUAAAUAGCUUAACUUUAGAGAGAAAUGUUUUGAUUUGGUAAAACUUAUUUGUAUUUCUCACUGAUGACAUGCUUUAUGAAUAUAGAGUUUCUAUGAUUAAAUAUUGUAAGAUGUUAAGAUUAUUUAUUAGAUAAUAGUUAAACUAAACUUGGAUAUAUUUUUAUUCACCUUUGAAAUACUCCUUGAAAUUGAUAUUUUAUAAAAAAUAUAUUUUUUUUCUUAAUUCACCAUAACUCAAAGGGAUGUUUUGACUUUGUAAUUAUUAUUAUGAUUAGCAUUGAUGAAUAUAAUAUUCAUUAAUUGCAGUUUAAUACUAUUAGUUGUUACAAGAAUAUGAUUAAUAAAGUCCAUUAAAUUUAAUCUUUAUUGCAAUUUAAAUAAAUAAAUUCCUAACACAAAACUCUUUGCCUACCUUGGUACUCCAUUUCCUAUUUUAUUUUUUAUUAAAUUUUUUUUACUCAAUAGUAAUAUAUGCAUAUUAAAAAGAUGCUCUUAAGACUUAAUUUAUUUGUAUCCAAAAAAUAAAAAAACUCGUGGUACUUUUUAAGAGACUCAUAUUACCAAUUUAUGUUUUAAGAGACUUAGAUUUUGUAAAUAAAAUUCGUUCUUCUUUCUUUUAGUAAAUAAAAAGUAAGGAAUCUUUCAUAUUCGUAACUACUAGCCUAUUUGAUAUUAUUUAUUAAUGAUGAAAUAAAAUGAAAUUUAUCCAUUUAUUAGAGAGGAAUGUAAUUUUGGUAUCAAAAAAAUUAAUAUCAUUUUUGUUACAUUAUUAACCACUAAGAUUCACCAUAUUUUUUAAAUUUAUAAAUAAAAUUUAUUCUUCUUUUUUAUUUAAUUCACUAUAACUCAAAUUCUAAUUGUUCAAAUUAUUUGCUAAUGCUUCAGUUUUUAUUCUAAUUACUCAUAUUAUUGAAGCAAUUGGUAACAUCUUAUUCAUUUCAUUAAUAUCAUAACCGAAAUAAAAUGACUGUAAUUAUUAGACCAAAGGGUACUUUGGUCAUAGCAAAAACUAAGGCCCAAAAAAAAAUGCUUACACUUCAAAUUGUUUACACUCUAUUUGCCUAAACUAUCCGUUCUUUUAUUGGGAUCAUAGAUACAGAUAGAUAGAUUAGUUUGCUCGUUUGUCAUGGUAUUAGAAGGCAUCAAUAGCACCUAUAGCAACAGAUUUAUGUCAUAUAUUGGACAAGGUAUUGAGCUUUGCACGCCAUUAAUGGUUUGACCAAGUGUAUCUCCAUGUUUCAAAUAUUAUUUGGUUAGUUAUUAGAAUGAUGCAUCCCAAACUUCUUUUGCAACUAAUGUUGAUAGCCAAAACCAAAAUGGGGCCUUUGGUGUCUGCCAAACUAUCAAAAAUAAAAUUUAUAUUAAUACCUACUCUCUAAACUAAAUGAGUAUAGUGGUGAGUAGGGUUGUCUUCUCAGGGAAGUGGUAAAUUUAUCACACACAGAGAAUUUGGGGGAUUUUAGAAUGGAAGACAAAAAGGACAAAUUAAAGAUGUAAAGGUACUGAAUUUUCAAUCGCAAGAAAGCACAGUAGCUAAAGAAUAUAAAAAACAAUUAAUUGACACAACCUAGUCAAGGAGAUAAUCUCGGUACCGGUUCACACAAUUGAUCAUAGAUACCUGAAUUAAUUCACAUGUUCGCAAAUAAAUUGGUUAAAGCAAUUCAACAACACCACCAAUCUCUCCUUAAUUAUAUGGUAGUCCAGAGACGCUCUUAAACUACCCUCUUGUAAAUUAGAUAACCCCAAAGACGCUCGAAAGAUUUGAUCUAUUCACAGCUUUAGAAAUUAGAGAAACCCAAUUCUAGUUAACAAACACACAUGCGGGUUCAUUUAAACUAGAUUAAUUAUUCCUACGGCACCGAUUAGACUGCUUGCAAGGCAAUGAAAUUGUCCCGUUCGCCACUAAUUUAAGACAAUCAAGUGAUACGCACCCCUGUCCUAAUUGGCAGUAUACUAUUCAGACAAUUGAAUAACUGACCACAUUAAUCCAAUAGAUCUAAACAAUAAUAGGCUAUUCAAAUAAGGAAUAAUUAAAUACUCACAAACGCUGAAUUUAGAACAAUCAAAAUGAUCUUACAAUUAUUCGUGCACCGGACCUUGAUUAUUCCUCAACUAGAUAAAAGAACCUAGCCUGAUCUCAUGCCGUUGAUGCAAUUCCACGUUUUUAUGGAGUUUAGUGAUUGAAAAAGUAGUAAAAAGGAUGCAGCCGCUAACUUGCGUUUAGGAGAAAAAAACCAAAGAUAAAUGUCAACAAGAUCCAAAGAUCCCCUCCUAGUCUAUUGCAGUCUUGCUUUUAAAGUCUUUCUGUCGCCUCCUUGCUUGCCACAUCAGAGUUUGUUUCUGAAAAAGAUUGGUUCCUUAUUUUCCACCUUGAAUUGCUGUCAAAAGUCUUCUCUGACUCUAUUUCCUAAUCCCACACAGGUUCAAAAUGUGUCUCCAAAGAAUAGCAAUAGCUCUAGGGAUAGGACCCGCGAUCCAUCUUUUUAACGCAGCUCUGCAGUCUCUGGCGUGGGCACGCUCUGAAAGGACUGGUCUUCUGGAAAUUUACUUCUUUUUGCCACUUUUGACCUUAGUUGCCUGUGGGUAACACAAAUACCCAAUAUGAGUAUAAACCCAUUACUCUGCAUAAUAAUUGGCCAAAUUUAGGACUAAACAUCAAUGUAAUAAACACUCAACUAUCGCCCUAUCAGCCUUAUCGGGGGCUGCAGUGGCUAAAGAAAAUAAUUUGUUGAUAAGUACUUUUUCCAUCCUAAUGUUGCUGCAGACAUUGCGAACGCAAUAGUACUGUCCUCUAAACCUUUAUCAACAAUUAAAAUCCACACAAUUUGUCUGAUCAAAAUUGUAUAUUUGUAAAAAUCAUAGCACUCCAAGAAACGAUAUUCUCGUUGGACAUAUCCCCGAACAAUCAGAUUGCUUAAAGAGUCAAUAUGAGAAACAAUCAGAAUUGACCUAAAUUCUGCAAUAAUUAUAAAUUGAAAUACCUUAGCUUCAACAACAAUUUUUAAGUAAACUCAUGGUACAAGUAUUUUUUUUUUUUUUAUGAUGAUGAAACGGGGUCUAAUUGAUAAAAUGCUUUACUGUAUCCAACAGGUCAUGAGUACAAUGCAUUUCUUUUUUCUAUUUUUUUUUAAGUUGAUUGGAUUGUCAAUGGCGAAAUCAAAUGAGCAAUUAUUGGACUGCGAAGAUUGAAAAGCUCAGCCCAUCUUGACCAUUGUUUUAUCGCUACAAUGCUAUAAAUGGGCUGACUAAUUAGGUCUCAAACUUUCUAUACUUGGUCAGUUAUUGGAAUGAUACAUCCCAAAUUCUUCAGAACUAUUUUGAAAAGCCAAAACCAAAGUUUGGCCUUAUUUAGGAUUGUAGUGACUUUAGAAAUUAAUUUGUUAUUGGAGCUUGCUGUAUAGGAACUUAAUUAUUGAAAGAAAGUGUUCAAACAUGUAGUAAAGAUAUAAUUUAGUGAACUGGAUAGUGAAUGGAUAGUUGGAUUAGAUAUUAUUCAUAUGUGCAACUAGAGGUUAGUGUUCAGCUUACUAUUUGUGAUUAUUAGUCGCAAUUUUAGCAUUGUGCCUUAAUUACAUUUUGCCCACUUGUAGCUAGCGGCCAAUAGCAGUUUACUCUCUAUAUACAUGAAAUACACAAAAUGCUUACUAAUGACUAAUGCCAAACAUUUUAACAACUAGACUAAAAAAAAAAAAGACUAAUGCCAAACAUUUUAACAACUAGAAAGUGCAGGUGCACUGCACGUGUUUGAUCAUGCCAAAACUUGCCUUACUUUUAUCUAAUAUUGUGAGAGACUCAACUCAGAAGAUUAAUAUUUUUGCUAGAAAAGCCUCUGAUCCAUUGCAUGCCAAACAUGGUAGUUUGGAGAAGCAAGCAAGGCUCAUUAACCAACAAGCAAUGCAAAACCUGUAAUCAUGCUGUAUAAGUGGCUGUAAUUCAGUAGAACAAGGAGAAGUUACUUGAUAUAUCUUAGACAGGAGCUAAAUGCUUCUCCAUUAAUCUUAGAGUUUCAGCCUUUAUUGUUAUUGCAAUUGUAGAAUCUUGAGAGCCCAGGAAGGGUGAAUUCCAAUAUUCCUUUCCAGUUUUUCAUUGGGUUAAUUAAGAUGCAUUCGAAAGAAUGAUGACAAGUCAACCUUUUGAGUGCCCUUGGAAACGAUAAAUAUAUGACAUGCUCCUUGUAAUAUUAUAAAUCAGAAUACCCGUCCCUUUUCUUUUGGUAUCAUCCCUUUCUUAGAGGCCCUUGAUUUGGUUUUUGAGCAUCACUGCUUGUAGGAUUAAAUGUGAAGCUGUAAGUGAGAAGCAGAGUUAGUGUUAGAAAGGCUAUUUUCAUCUAGGCAUUCUAGCUGUAGAAAUAGCAAGCAACACAAACAACCUUCUUAUUACCUAAUGAAUCUCAAUUGGAAGAAAUAUAUUUUGGCCUUAGAUAAGCAUGGCUGGCUUACUAACCAUUUUCUUGCGUGAUUUUACACCUUUAUGUCUCUACCGUGAAAUAAGAAGCAUGGCUUAAAGUAGUAAUUCUUUCAUUUGGUAGAAUUGACUCCAAAACUAUCAAAGACAUUCUUGACUUUCUUUGUAUUUCAUCGAUACGAUGUUGGUUGUAGGGACAAUGUGAAGAUUUGCGCCGAAGAUUUAAUGAUGGUUUACAUAAGAGGCCUAUGACCAUAAGAUUGUUUCUGCACUUUCUUUGUAAUGGUACUGCUAUCCUUCCAUACUGCUGAUGUUUAUAUUCACUAGAAAAAAAAAUUAUCACGUGCACUGCAUGUGUAUAAUUUAUAAAAUAAUUUUAAAAACUGAAUUAAGAAUUUUUGUAAUAUUUAAAGGAGUGUUCUUGUAGGACGAGAAAAUGUUAUAGGACAGAAGUCAUUUGAGUUGGGUAGCUUUUGAUAUGUCUUCUAUUUCUUUCUUUUAGAUAAAAUAGCACAAACAUCCUACACAUUUUGCCAAAGAAUUUUUUUAUCCUCAAAUUUAAAAUGCUAAUAUUAAAUUCCUAACAAAAAUAAACCAGUCCAAUUUGGACCAAACCUCUAACUCCAACCAUCUUUUGUCAUGAAACCAUAUUUCUGUUAGCAAUAAGUUAUCCAGAAGUCCUUUGAAGCCAUUUUGAAAACAUCCAAUUUUACUUUAUUCUCCUUCUGGCUUUAGAAUGAGCAUCUAUUCACUCUCAAACACAAAUGUUCAAAGUUCUUCACCAAAACAUGCUUCAUUAUGUCGGAUUUUGCCAAAAUAAUCAAAUAACCAAUGUCUUCAGAUUACCUUAUUCUUUAUAGGCAAACUGAAAGAGCUUUAAUUAGAGAGGAAUAAGUUUCAGAUUAUUUGGUUGUCAACUCAUGUUCACAUGACAAAUCCUAUAACUUGCAUAAGAAACAAAAAAUCAAGAGGAGUAUUUUGAUUCUUUGGAACAUGAUGAUUUUAAGUUAAUAUAAUUAUUUAUGUGAAUCGACAACUAUCUUAUUAUAAGUUUAGUUGAUACCCCAAUAGAGGUUCUGGAUUUGAAUUCCUCCCGGUCCUUCCUAUUUCUUAAAUCUCAGUUCUCUCCUAAUAAAAAAUUUUAAAAAAAUGUCUCACAGUUAAUUCUGUAGACAAAUCAAAGUCACCACCUUUAAUAUCAAUCCAAAAUAUUCCAAAUUCAUAAAAUGGUAUUUAACUUUUAAUGACCUUCAAUUGAUUGGUUAUGGUUUGGAUAGGUUAAGUAAACUUGCUCAGAUAUAGGGUUAAGGCUAAAUUGUAAAACAAACACAGUUCUUCAAUUUUUUUUUUCUUUUCUAAACAAGGCGCUAAUAUUAUUGAAAGAAAUUAAAAGAGAGUGUGAAAUAAACAAAAAGUAAAAAAAUUGUACCAAUAUAAUUAAAAUCUAAGAUUUGUCUAGCAAUAGCUCAAAGUGUGAUAACAUGUGUACAUCAUUCGAAAACUACUUUUUUUUUGUGAAAGAUGGAUCCUGAAAUAAUAAUAGAAAUUUAUAUUAGAAAAUGAAUGAUAUAUGGAUAGAAAUGAAUGUAAUCGUGAUCUUUAGUUUUUGUGAAUGAUUAUGAGAGUAAGAUACAUUAUAAGAGUAAGAUAUGUAGAAUUGUGGGAGUUGUGGAAAUUAUAAUGCAAACGGGCUCCUAAAUUUUGGAUAUGUAUUUUCCAUAGUACUGAGUUCCUUAAAUUAUGAGUUGCUUAUAACUAUGAGUCGUGUGCUAAGUGUUAGACGUGGUUUACAAUUUGCAGAUGCAAUUUUGCAGGGGUGGUUAAUAAAUGUUAGUUAAAAUUAUGGAGUUAUGAUUUUAUAGGUUAGUGAGUCACGUAAAUGGGAAAAAUGAAAAGAGAUGCGGAGAAGGAAUAAUGAAUUAAAAUAAAUCUAAAAUUGUAGAGGGUUCUCGUUAAAAACCUGCCCUCUAAUACAUAUAGAUAUAGAUAUGGAUUUUCGGCUAAAAAUUCUAUGGAUUGAGCUAAUUCUAAUAUGGGCAGGUUUAUGAUUAUCAUAUAGUUAACUUAGCAUUGUGGAGAUAAAACCGACCAUAUAAAGACGGAUAACAAAGCAAAUAAGAGACACAGAAGAUUUACGUGGUUCGGUCAAAUUGACCUACGUCCACGGGCGAGGGAGGAGCAAUAUUUCUACUAUGAAGAAGAAAUACAAAAGCCGUAGGAAAGUGGUUCCUAGGCCAAUAAGGCACUUACAAAAGAGUUUAGAAAAUAUUCCUAAACUCAAAAUAAGAGAGCCUAAAAUAUUUGACUGAAUGGGCUAAAUGACUUAAGAAGCUAAUAGCCCAUAUAACUCUCUUAAGUGGUGCAAUCAAUUCCUUCAUAAGGCUCCCUUAUUUAUAGGAAACCAAAGGAAGAAUUCCUUUGGCUUCUACCGAUGUGGGACGAAGCACCAAAAGCAUUUGUUCAACAAAUGUGGCUUCACAAAAAUAUCAAUUUUUAAAAAAGGUAUGUGUAAUAUUGGUAUCAAUAACACUUCUUUUGCACUUCUUCUAUUCCCUUUCGUUCUUUUUCUGUACCUAAGACCAUUGGAAGUAUGGUCAGGAAGUUGGUAAAAAUCUGAUAUUUUUAUAGAUGCGGUAUGUAAAGAGCCUUCGUGUAUCCAUUGCCUUUUGCUUAUGUGACGUUCUCUUUUAUGUUGUAUAUGAAUUAGAUUUUCAGUUUUUUGAUUAAUUCGUGGUUUACCUUCAUGUGAUUUUAAGAUUGUAUUUUUCAGUUUUAGUGGGUUUUUUCAGUUUUUACUCUUUGGGUGUUAAUGAUUGGUCGAAAUGAUUUUUGGUUGUUAAUGUUUGGUGUAAAUGAUUGAUAGAUAGUGCUCUUCCAAUUGGUGUCAAUGCUAAAUAAUGGUAUUUCAAUUUAAAACUUUUUUGGUAAUGUGGGCCUUAAGUUUUGUACUAGCUUUAUGAUUUUAGAGCUUGUGUGAUUAAUAGUGAAAGUAAUAACGAAAUUGGCUACAUUUUUAUUGAUGUUUGAUAUAUUCUUUAAACUUGGAUAUUGUAUAAAUGUAGAUGUCAUCAUGGAGAUGGACAUCAUCAUCUUCAAAUUUUUGUUCUUGUUGUUUCUGGAAGAACACCGUGAAAAGCUUUAAGGGUCAAAAGAAGUUGUUGAGUCUAGAGUAUUAUAAUUCUCAUAGACAUCAAUUGUUAGUUGUCAGUUUUGCUUGGCUUCCUCUCAUUAGUUGCCUGUGUAAUGAGUGAUUGGAAUAUUAGAAAAUGUAUUUCUAAAGCUUAGGAGAAAAAAAAGAAAAUAUUCUUUAUUGACUACAUGAAAGAAGACAUUUGAAAUUAUUUUAUAAGAAGUUCCGUGUAAUAAAAAAAAAUGACUACCAUGUUCUUAAUUAUCAAACAAUGAAUGCCCACUUAUACUUUUGCACCGACUGCAAAAGUAUGCUUCUAAUUACUCAAAUCAUUUGGUAGUGUUUUAUUCUAAUUACUCAUAUUAUUGAAUCAAUUGGUAACAUUUUAUUCAUAUCAUUACUGUCAUAACCGAAAUAAAAUGACUCUAAUUAUUAGAAAAAAGAGUACUUUGAUCACAGCAAAAACUAAGACAAAAAAAAAAUACUUACACUUCAAAAUUGCUUACAUUCCACUUGUCUAAACUAUCAAUUGUACAGACAGAUAGAUAGAUAGAUUAGGCAUCAACAGAACCUAUAGCAACAGAUUUAUCUCAUAUAUUGGACAAGGUAUUAAUGAUUUGACUAAUUGUAUCUCACAUAUUAUUUGGUUGGUUAUUCUUAUUAGAAUGAUAGAUCCCAAACUUCCUUUGCAGCUAAUGCUGAUAGCCAAAACCAAAAUGGGGCCUGCAGUCAUUAAAGAAUAUAAUUUGUCGAUAACUACUUUUUCAUCCUAAUGUCGUUGCGGACACAAUAAAUUCAAAUGACCAAUUAUUGGUCUGCGAAGAUUGAAAAGCUCAGCCCAUCAAAUGAGCAAUUAUUGGUUUCUAAUUUCCAAGCCACGUAUAUGCAACGACUUGCAAGUCUUCAGCAAAGAGCAAGAAAAGAGUUAUAACACAGGACCAAACUGGCUAUGAUUAUAUUCAUAUUUUUUUUUUGAGCAAUUUAUUGAUACUUCUAGCGCCAUGGCAAUUCGUGAAAUCUCUCUAUCACAAUGUCGAUUUCAUGUUUGUGAACUGGUACAAGUUCGAGACUUCAUUGCAUGUCCCGAUGUCUUUGGCACCUUCUGAAAGUUUUCAAUAGCGGAUUUAAACUUAACUCAAUCGUUAAAGUGUUAACGAACCAAUUAGAGGCUAGUCAGUUUGACUGAUACAAAUUAGUUUGCCACACAAUUAGACAUUUUCAACCAAUUUGUCAGUUGACAAAAGAGCAUGAGUAGUACUUCUAGCAGUAGGUCUAACUCAUAUACAUUCAACAAAUUAUUGAGCUUUGCAAGCUAUAAAUGGGCUGACUAAUUAGGUGUCAAACUUUCUAUGCUAGGUCAGUUGUUGGAAUGAUACAUCCAAAUUCUUCACAACUAUUUUGAAAAGCCAAAACCAAAAUUUGGCCUUAUUUAGAAUUGUAGUGACUUUAGAAAUUAAUUUGUUAUUGGAGCUUUUUUUUUUGGGGUUCAUUGGAGCUUGAUGUAUAGGAACUUAAUUAUUGAAAGAAAGUGUUCAAACAUGCAGGUAAUGAUAUAAUUUAGUGAACUGGAUAGUGAAUUGAUAGUUGGAUUAGAUAUUAUUCAUAUGUGCAACUAGAUGUUAGUGUUCAGCUUACUAUUUGUGAUUAUUAGUUGCAAUUUUAGCGAAUCAUAAUGCCUCAAUUACAUAUUGCCCACUUGUAGUUAGCAGUCAAUAGCAGUUUACUCUCCAUAUACAUGAAAUACACAAAAUGCUUACUAAUGACCAAACAUUUUAACAACUAGGAAAAUGCAGCUCCAUUGCACGUGUUUGAUCAUAUCAAAACUCGCCUUUACUUUUUAUCUAUAUUGUGAGAAACUCAACUCAGAAGAUUAAUGUUUUUACUAGAAAAGCCUUUGAUCCAUCGCAUGCCGAAGCAGCAAGCAAGGCUCAUUAACCAACAAGCAAUGCAAAACCUUUAAUCAUGCUGUAUGAGUGGCUGUAAUUCAGUAGAACAAGGAGAAGUUACUUGAUAUAUCUUAGACAGGAGCUAAAUGCUUCUCCAUUAAUCUUAGAGUUUCAGCCUUUAUUGUUAUUGCUAUUGUAGAAUCUUGAGAGCCCAGGAGGGGUGAGUUCCAAUAUUCCUAACCAUUUUUUCAUUGGGUUAAUUAAGAUGCAUUCGAAAGAAUGAUGACAAGUCAACCUUUCGAGUGCCUUUGAAAACGAUAAAUAUAUGACAUGCUCCUUGUAAUAUUAUAAAUCAGCAAUACCUGUCCCUUUUCUUUUGGUAUCAUCCCUUUCUUAGAGGCCCUUGAUUUGGUUUUUGAGCAUCACUGCUUGUAGGGUUAAAUGUGAAGCUGUAAGUGAGAAGCAGAGUUAGUGUUAGAAAGGCUAUUUUCAUCUAGGCAUUCCAGCUGUAGAAAUGGCAAGCAAUACAAAUAACCUUCUUAUUACCCAAUGAAUCUCAAUUGGAAGAAAUAUAUUUUGGCCUUAGAUAAGCAUGGCUGGCUUACUAACCAUUUUCUUGCGUGAUUUUACACCUUUAUGUCUCUACCGUGAAAUAAGAAGCAUGGCUUAAAGUACUGAACUGUGUCCAAUAGUAAUUCUUUCAUUUGGUAGAACUGACUCCAAAACUAUCAGAGGCAUUCUUGACUUUCUUUGUAUUUCAUCGAUACGAUGUUGGUUGUAGGGACAAUGUGAAGAUUUGCGCCGAAGAUUUAAUGAUGGUUUACAUAAGAGGCCUAUGACCAUAAGAUUGUUUCUGCACUUUCUUUGUAAUGGUACUGCUAUCCUUCCAUACUACUGAUGUUUAUAUUCACUAGAAAAAAAAAAUAAAAAUCACGUGCACUGCAUGUGUAUAAUUUAUAAAAUAAUUUUAAAAACUGAAUUAAGAAUUUUUGUAGUAUUUAAAGAAGUGUUCUUGUAGGACGAGAAAAUGUUAUAGGACAGAAGUUAUUUGAGUUGGGUAGCUUUUGAUAUGUCUUCUAUUUCUUUCUUUUAGAUAAAAUAGCACAAACAUCCUACACAUUUUGCCAAAGAAUUUUUUGUCCUCAAAUUUAAAAUGCUAAUAUUAAAUUCCUAACAAAAAUAAAUCCAAUUUGGACCAAACCUCUAACUCCAACCAUCUUUUGUCAUAAAACCACACUUCUGUUAGCAAUAAGUUAUCCAGAAGUCCUUUGAAACCAUUUUGAAAACAUCCAAUUUUACUUUAUUCUCCUUCUGGCUUUAGAAUGAGUAUCUAUUCACUCUAAAACACAAAGGUUCAAAGUUCUUCACCAAAACAUGCUUCAUUUAUGCCGGAUUUUGCCAAAAUAAUCAAAUAACCAAUGUCCUCAGAUUACCUUAUUCCUUAUAGGCAAACUGAAAGAGCUUUAAUUAGAGAGGAAUAAGUUUCGGAUUAUUUGGUUAACUCAUGUUCACAUGACAAAUCCUAUAACUUGCAUAAGAAACAAAAAAUCAAGAGGAGUAUUUUGACUCUUUGGAACAUGAUGAUUUUAAGUUAAUAUAAUUAUUUAUGUGAAUCGACAACUAUCUUAUUAUAAGUUUAGUUGAUACCCCAAUAGAGGUUCUGGAUUUGAAUUCCUCCUCCUCCUUCCUAUUUCUUAAAUCUCAGUUCUCUCCUAAUAAAAAAUUUUUAAAAAAUGUCUCACAGUUAAUUCUGUAGACAAAUCAAAGUCACCACCUUUAAUAUCAAUCCAAAAUAUUCCAAAUUCAUAAAAUGGUAUUUAACUUUUAAUGACCUUCAAUUGAUUGGUUAUGAUUUGGAUAGGUUAAGUAAACUUGCUCAGAUAUAGGGUUAAGGCUAAAUUGUAAAACAAACACACUUCUUCAAUUUUUUUUUUCUUUUCUAAGCAAGGCACUAAUAUUAUUGAAAGAAAUUAAAAGAGAGUGUGAAUUAAACAAAAAGUAAAAAAAUUGUACCGAUAUAAUUAAAAUCUAAGAUUUGUCUAGCAAUAGCUCAAAGUGUGAUAAAAUGUGUACAUCAUUCGAAAACUACUUUUUUUUUGUGAAAGAUGGAUCCUGAAAUAAUAAUAGAAAUUUAUAUUAAAAAAUGAAUGAUAUAUGGAUAGAAAUGAAUGUAAUCGUGAUCUUUAGUUUUUGUGAAUGAUUAUGAGAGUAAGAUUCGUUAUAAGAGUAAGAUAUGUAGAAUUGUGGGAGUUGUAUGGAAAUUAUAAUGCAAACGGGCUCCUAAAUUUUGGAUAUGUAUUUUCCAUAGUACUGAGUUCCUUAAAUUAUGAGUUGGUUAUAACUAUGAGUCGUGUGCUAAGUGUUAGACGUGGUUUACAAUUUGCAGAUGCAAUUUUGCAGGGGUGGUUAAUAAAUGUUAGUUAAAAUUAUGGAGUUAUGAUUUUGUAGGUUAGUGAGUCACGUAAAUGGGAAAAAUGAAAAGAGAUGCGGAGAAGGAAUAAUGAAUUAAAAUAAAUCUAAAAUUGUAGAGGGUUCUCGUUAAAAACCUGCCCUCUAAUACAUAUAGAUAUAGAUAUGGAUUUUCGGCUAAAAAUUCUCAGGAUUGAGCUAAUUCUAAUGUGGGCUGGUUUAUGAUUAUCAUAUCGUUAACUUAGCAUUGUAGAGAUAAAAAUCAUCUACCUUAAACAAUCCCCGUAGAAAUCAUAAAUUUUCGAAAUCAAAAUAAAUUCUUUUUCUAGGUAUACCUUUUAAGUGUCAGGCUUUGUAUAAUCUCAUUAUUAUGUCAAAGCAAGUGUAUGAAGAAGGAAGAAAAACAGAGUCCAAUUCUCAAAUCAAAAGGUUCAAAAUUCAUAAACAAGUAAUACGCAUUUAACCAAGGUGCCAAUCAAACUAUUCAGUCAUGAAUAUAAUCAAUAGAUUAAAAUACAACAUUAAAGUAUUCAAGGAACAACAGUAGAGAGGUUUUGAAUCAUACAAGUUUUCACUCUAGAUAUAAUUGUGGUAUUCUGACCAAUCCAUCAGUGAUGAGUCUUCAUCCAGCAUUGCAGCCAGAUUUUUUUUUUUUAAGUUCUCUAUUUCAAUGAUGUUUGCUCGGAUCUUAAUAGACUCCAAACUCUCUAAGUAAUUUGACUUCUAGUUUAAAUAAUCUAUGUUAUAAAAUGAUUCCUUGUCUGACUUAAUAGAGUCAAAGUUUAGUUCACUAUUUGAUAUAUUGACAUUUUUAAAGUUCCCUUUUUCAAUACUGGGAUCGUAAUGGACUUCAAACUGCCUAUGUAAUUUGACUUCUAGUUUCAAUCACCUAUGUUUUAAAACAAUAGCUUGUCUUCCAAAUUUAGUUCAACUCCUUCUCAUGAUGCAAUUAGUGAGUGGAAAGAUUCGGCCAUUAUUUGAUACGUUAACAUUUAUAAUUAAAAAUUUUUGGUUUGACAGGAGACGGGAACUAAAAGUGUAGGAGUCCUUUAAUUCACCCAUGUUUAUUGAAUAUAAUUUAUAUAGACUGUUAUAGAUAUUGAGUAAGGACUAAAAGGUAAAUCACCCAAGAGACUGUUAUGUGUGUGUACUCUAUAACUUAUAGAGUACACACACAUAUAUAUAUAGAUUGGUCAAUGGUCACAAAUCUGCCGCUGCAAUCGUAUGAGCUUGUGUUUGGAAUGGAGAGGAGAUCAACGAAAGAGGCAUAAAAGGGGACAAGAAUUCAACAUCCUUUCGGCUAUAACCACGUAAGACUAUGAACUUUUGUUAAGAAUAUUUCUACGAUAUUAGCUUUUCAGGUUUUAAUUUUUUCCUUAGAAGCCCUAUGUCUAGAUCUGGCGCAUGGGUGUAGAUUUUGUAUCUCUAAAUAUUCGUUUCGACUUAAUUGAUAAUUUCCUUUAGGACUUUAUAAUUUCUAGAAUUAUUUGUCUGGAGAAAUGGAAUUUCAUGGCACGCAAUUUCACUUGGAGCCAGGCCAUUUGUACAAAAUUAAAAGACAAAUAUUUAACAGUUGUGUUUAGUCAUCCGACUUAUGAGUUGGGAAAUAAGUUGAAGCUGCGCCACUGCUGGUGAAUCAAAAUUUGGGUAAAUCCGAUUUCAAAAAAAUUCAGUGAUUUAAAUUGUGUCAUACCUAGGGGUGUGCAACGAAUUCGAAUUCGGUAAUUUGGAAGUUUGAAUUCGGCAUUUUUCGAAAUUUUGGCAUAGGAAUUACCGACCGAUUUUGAUUUCAAAUUAACUAGUUCCAAUUUCGAUUUCGAUUCCGAAUUAAAUUCGGAAUUCAGAAACCUUUUUUCCCUUUUUUUUCUUUUUUGUUAGAUGUAUUGCUAUAUAAUAUAAAUUUUAUAUUACAUAUAUUAUAAAAAUAUUAUUAUAUAGAAAAAUAUUAUUAUAUAUAUAAAUAUGUAUUAAUAUACAUAUUAUAAAACGGAAUUGAAAUAAAAAUAUAUAGUAUUAUAUAAAUAAAUAAAUAAAUAUUAAUAUAUAUAUUAUAAAAUGAAAUUGAAAUAAAAAAUUCUGAUUUUGAUUUCCGAUUUCAAAAGCUCCAUUACCAAAUUUGAACCAAAUUCGCAUAAUUCGAAAUCGAAAAUUCAGAUUUCAAUGCCGAAUUUCGAAUUACCGAUUUCAAAAAUUCUGAAUUCAAUUCGAAUUCAGUAGGUAAAUCGAAAUUUUUCGAUUUUGCACACCCCUAGCCAUACCACUUGAUGAGAUGGUAUGAUACAAUUUUAAGCAUUAAAUUUUUAAAAACCAAAUCUAUCCAGUAUAACCUUCGGGGUAAUGAUGAUAAUGACCUGAUCAAGACCAAAUUCAGUUGUUGUCUUGUUGAUGCUGCUGUGGCCCUUGUGGUUUCAAUUAAUUGGAUCAUUUAAUUAGUUAAUUGGGCUGAGGGACUCUAGCAAACUCUUGGGUUGUUUUUGUUGGACUGGUCCAAGUUCUAGUGGCCUUUUAGAAUUGUUUUUUGUUUUUGGGAUCCAAUAUCAUUUGGGCCAUCUGAAAAGGGCCAUCUGAAAUUCUUUUGGGAUUAUUAUUUUGGGGCUAAUGUAACUAGUGGGGCGAAUGGGGUGGUUAAUGGAAAAAAGAAACUUUCUGGGCCCAUGCAUGUAGGCUUAUGUUCAAACAGUGGACAUUUUGUUUCUUCUGUAAUUGAACUUAUGGAUCAGAAAGCCCAAUUUAAAAAUUCCCAACUCGUCAAAUAAGUUUAGAAGCCAACAUAUAUAGCAAAUAUUUAAAAGCUCAAUUUUAUUAUAAUAACCCAAAUUUUAAUAACAAAGAGGAAAAGAAAGAAAGAAACCUGUUGUUAAUUAAUGAUUGUAUAUAUACAUAUACAUACAUAUGUGUGUACAUGUAUAUAUAUGUAUAUAUAUACACACACAUAUGUAAACCUGUUGCAAAAACUAAAAAGAAAAAUAUAUACAUAGACACGUAUAUACCCGCUGUAGAUCACUGCCUAUUCCCACACAGGGAAUGUCUUCAAUCACGCGCCAGUAGUCUCUAUCCAUCAAACACCUUUUCUCGAGAAGUGGGCAUGUAUCAAUUCUGAGAAGUUUAAGCUGAUUACGCAGCGAUUCCUUUGGUAGGGAUCCAAGCUUGGGGCAGCCAAAGAUACGCAGACCUUUAAGAGCUGUAAGACCUCGCAAGAGCGUGGAGAGCGAUUUCAGAUUUGGUAAGUCACCAAUGUCGACGGACCUGAGAGUUGGAGGAAGCAAAGCGAAUCCAUCAUCACCGCUACCAGAAAAUGAUUCCAGCUCUGGAUAUCCACCGCGGAUGCGGAACCUUUCAAGAGACGUGAGUCUGUUGAGUCCCCAUUCUGACAGUGGCUUCAGCUGUAAGUUUUCUCCUCCCUCUAUGUAAAGACCCUCCAGACUGGGAGGAAAAUCUCCCUGUGGAAAUAACAAAGGACUUGAACAAAAAGACAACUGCAGAGAUCUUAGUCUUCCCAACCCACUGGGCAAGUAACUAACAUUUUUGCAUCUGCACAAGUAAAGACGUUCCAAAUUUGGAGUGGGCAAUUGAUCCAGAUGAUAAUCACAAUCCCUAAUAUCCAAAGACCGGAGACUUGCAAAACUGUAGACUGAACCAAGCAUUGUUCUCAAAUUCAGACAUGGGCAGCCAAAGAUUUGCAGUCCCUCAAUCGAUGUGCUGGUGUCCUCUAUGACAAUCUCCGGAGUAAGGUUCAGUUUAUGGCAAUCAAAGAUCUCAAGAUGCCUAAGCUGAGGGAGGAGCAACUUGUCCAUUGGCAAGCAACUGAGGGCAGAGCAAAAGCUUAUUCGCAAUCUGUUAAGACCAGAUAAUGUAGGCAAAGACUGGAGAGCACUGCAACUUUCUAUCGUAAGAUAUUUAAGCAUAGGUAAGACACGUGUAGUACUUGAGCCCCACAAAUUCUUCAGUUGAUGGCAGCUGCGUAAUGCGAUAUCUUCAAGGCCUGAUGGAAACUGCAUGAACACAUCCUCGAGGGAUGCAAGGCCUAUAAUCUGCCAAAACUCCAAUUUGUUUAAUGAGGUCAAAUUGUAAAAACAUUUUGCAAUUCCCACCGAGCACUCAUCUAACUUUAGUUCAGAAAGUGAAGGAAGAUGCAAAACAGGAAUGCUUUUCAACUUUGGGCAUCUACUUAUACAGAGCUUUCGGAGCAGAGGGAAGUGGCAUUCGUUCUCUCCUGCUGAACUUAAGCAAGUCCAUUCCUCCCAUUCUGGCAUGUCAUCAAAUGUUAGACUUUCGAGCGAUGGAAAGGAAAAUUCCCAAGAGCAAUCUUUGCCACAUAACUCGGUACCUACUGCCUUCACCUCAAGCAUGCUUUGAAUGCUCAAAUCCUUGAGCGCAGGCAAUUGCCCGAGUGAUGGUAAACACUUGCAGUGUGUACAACCUCUAAGGCUUACUUUUACUAAUUUAGUAAAUGAAUAAUCCCCCACCCAGGAGGAGAAUUUGUCUCCCUUAUAGAACUCAAUUUCAAGACUCGUUAGGUUUGUGUGUGGUCGUAGCGCCUCAAGCAAAUCUUGUUGAAGAACUUUACUCAGAGAAUCAUCAUAUUCACUAUUCCAUGCCAAUACUAUUUUAUCAAGGUCCCUCUUGUCCUUCAAAUUGGCAUCCCGUGCUUCUUGAACAUUCGUAACAUUUUGCAACUCCAAAAUGGCGAGUGACCCUGCCAGUAAGGACAAGUUCCCCAAGUCUUUCAGCCUGAACGCACCAUGUUUGCUCACAACCACUUUGGAUAGUGUCUGCAAGCUCGUCAACUGAUCAAUCCCUGAAGGCAUCUCAUGCAAUUGACUAGUAUUGGAAUUUUCAAGAUGGCGCAGGUUAAUUAAUUUUCUAAUACCUACUGGUAAGUUAAUCAGCUCCCUGCAGUUGCCCAAACGUAGUGUUUGUAAAUUGCAAAGAUUACUCAUUGAUUCAGGCAACAAUUUCAACCGAGUACCAGACAAAUUCAGGUACCUUAGAUGUAUUAAUUCACUGAUGGAAUCUGGAAGUUCAGAGAUAGCAUAGCCACCGAAUGAUAGCACCCUUGAGUAUCGCAAUUCCGGCAAAAGUUCUGCUAUGACCUUUUUAGCGAUGUAAAACUCGUCGCUGCCAUCCUCGGCAAAAAUGGGCAAUGGUAGGAAACUCCGCAAAUGUUUUGCUUUCUGAAGAGUUUUAAACUUUUGUGAAGCUUCAUACCAUGAACUUGUGAAUGAUGCGUACCUAACCUUGUCAAGGAUCGUGCAUUUGAUGUUCUCUUCCAAGUCGUCUGUCAGUCUUGAACAAAAAUCUCCGGCAACAUAUCUGGCUAGAUCGUUAAUAAGGUCAUGCAUCACAAAACGUGAACUAUUGGAACUUGACUGCUGGAAGAAGGACCUCAUUAGUAGCUCCUUAAAAUAAUUGUCCCCUAUGUCCUCCAUAAGAUCACUUGCUUUUGAUUCCUCGAGAAAACCCUCUGCCAUCCAGAGCAAUACUAGCUCAUAUUUGUCAAACUCAUAGUCCUUGGGAAAUAUGGAGCAGUAAGCAAAGCACGGUUUUAGAUGGGCAGGAAGAUGAUAAUAGCUUAAUCUCAGUGCUGGAAGAAUAUCACUUUGAUCCUCUUUUAUUUCCCAUAUCUCACUGUUCAGUAUAUCCGUCCAUUCAUCUGGGGUCGAUCUAGCACGCAACAGCCCUCCAAGAGUCUUCACGGCCAGGGGCAAGUUCUUACAUUUCCUUACAAUACUCCUACCAAUGCCUUCUAGAUUGGGGUACCUGUCAAAAUUUGUCCUUCCCAGUGCAUGUCUUGCCAGUAAGCAUAAGCUUUCAUCAUCUGUCAACUCCUUCAGACUAUAUCCAGCAGUGGAAGACAUUACUGAUGCCACCCUAUGAUGCCGAGUGGUGACAAUUAUCUUGCUCCCAGAUGAACCAACUAGAAAUGGGCGGCGCAGGAUGUCCCAGUCCUCAUAUUUUUCAUUCCAAACAUCAUCUAAAACAAUUAGAAACCUCUUCCUGGUCAAGGCCUCACUCAGUUUCACUUGAACCAUAUUCAGAUCCUCAUAAUCACAGCCACCUGAUGUGAUUGCUCUGAGGAUUGUCUUUGUUACCCCAAAAAUGUCAAAAUCAUCUGAAACACAAGCCCAAGCCUUGGAAUCGAAAAAUUCGUUGACUCUGUCAUCAUUGUACACCAUUUGAGCAAGAGUUGUUUUACCAACCCCUCCCAUGCCAACAAUUGGUAUCACAACCACUUGAUCAUCGCUCGAUUCAUUUGAAAGGAGCAAUUUCAGCAGCUCUUCUUUGUCAUUCUCUCGACCAUAAACAUAAGACUCCACUAAGGAAGUUGAUGGCAAUCUAUCCCUAGUUUUGUUCGGCCUCUUUGCUACAGUCUCUACCAAAUGGAGGAUUUUGAUUUGUUCUUUCAGGCUCUCCAAUCUUCUAGUUAUUUCAUCCACCUUGGGAGUCAUUUUUCUGUUGAACUUAUAAUCUUUAACAGAAAAACUUGUACAACAGGAAGGGAUUUUAACCUUUCUUACCUUGCUAGUAGAGCCUUGAGCUUCCAUCAACUUUCUUCGACAAGCUUCUGUGGAGAAUUCGUCGAUCACAUCAUCCAUAUCAUAUGCCAAAUCCUGAUGAUCAUCUAGCCAGUGCUUCACAGCAAUCCUCAUAUUCUGCUUGUCCUCUGCAUCAUCAAGCACUGCCUGAAUCAGGGAUAGCACUUGGAUCCAUCGUUUCAGCUGAGUAUCUAAGCCUUCUGAGCGUGCAAAUUUCUUCAAAUCGACAGAAGCAAGCUUGUCAAAUACCACCUUGAUGAUUGCACCAAGAAAGACUUCUAUCAGUGCCAUUUUUCACUCUUCUUUUUUUUUUUUUCUCCGGAUUAUAUUGUGUAGGUAAGCAACGAGCAAAAAGUCUGAAAACUUGAAAGGGGAGAUAAGACUGAAAGAUGGGAAACUACAGAUUCUUCACGGGAAAAUUGAUCAGCACCAAAAUAUUUCAACUGGCAAGAAAAAAGUUUCCAAAGCACGCGUCUUCAUUUCUUAUGUAGUACUAGUAGAUUUAUUUUUCUUUUCUGUAGCACUAUAUUAUAUCAUCAAUCAUUAAAGUUUACGGGAGGGAGGUACUUUUGACAUAGAAUGAUUGGUGCUCUUACGUGUAGUUGUUGUACUUCAUUUACAACAUAGUGUACAUUUACAAAUGCACUUGUAUUUAUGCAUAACACGAAUAAAAUUUUAAGUACCACAAAAUUGUAUAAGAGUACACUAUAUUAUGUAAAAAGUAUAAUAACUAGACAAUUGCAACAAAAUUCAAUUGUACCUGGUCUAAAUUUGACCAUUUUCCUUAGUUGUUUAACGUUAAUUAGUGUAAUUUGGUUGUAUUUUAUGGCACAAAAUCAAUUAAAUAACUAUAACAUCAAACCACAUAAGUAGCUGGUAUAUGUUGUUUCCAUAAUUAUAAUUUUUUAAAAAAAAAUUAUUCAAAACGCCGUUCACAUUUUGUACAAUACUUUUUUUCGCCCUUCACUUUCAAAAUAUUAACUUUAUGUACCUUAUAAAUUCAGGUCAGCAAAAUUUGGUCCCAACCAAAGUUUCUAACUACUUUUUAGUCUAAAAUCACUACGUGGCUCAUAUAUAGUUAUUUUUUAUGUAUAAAAAAAAUUAGAUUUCAUUUUUUUAUUGAUAAUAUAUAUUAUGUCACAUCUCACUUUUUUGAAAAAAUUGAAUAUAUUUUAGAUCAAAUCCUAUUUUUAAAGAAAAACUGAAUAUAGAUCUGGUCAUUUGUUUAACUAUAAAUGGGAUUUAACAUUUUUGCCCUUAAAAAAAUGAACCCAAAUCUCUUAAUUACAUUCCCUCUUCUCAAACCACUCAACCCAUCCCUCUUCCUUCUUUCUCCCCUCUCCCCAACCAUAUGUGGGCUAUGCGAGGAAUGAAAAAAUUCAUUUAGCGAGAUGUGAAAAACGUUUUAAACGAUUUCCUCCUUGUUAUUUUAUAUGCCAAAGGGCAAUAUCCUACAAUUACUCCAAUAGUAUACGUCCAAUGGGGCCAUUAUUUGAGCUGUCGAAAUUCAGAGGAGACUAUCACCUCUGAAGUCUGAACUAAACGGGUGCAAUUGCACCCGUUAGAAGAAGUUUCCUAGAAAUCCUGGACUUCAAGAGCAGGCGAGGGUUUCAAAUCUCCCACCUAUACAAAAGGACGGAUAUAUUUAUAAAGUUUGUGAUAUAUUUAUAAAGAAAGAAAUUUAGAAACAUUGUGAAAGUCCCAUCUGAAUUAGCAAAAUUAAUAUUCUCUCCAUCUCAUUUUAUUAGUUACAGUUUCUCCUUUUGCUACUUCCAAAAUGUUUUUUUCAUCAAUUUGGACAAAAAUAUAUCUUAACGUCUUAAAAUUUUUUGAAGUAAGGAUGUGAAGUAACCAUUGAUUAGUAAACAGGAAAGGUGAUUAAUUAAGGAUGUGAAGUUUGCAUUUUCUUUAAUUGAAUGCAUUUGUCUAUUCCUUUUACCAAUGAAUUGUAAAAUAAGAUAAAUUAAAUAAAAGGAUAAAGCUUCUAACCAAAACCCUUCUUUUGGACCCAAACAAAAAAAGGAUAACUAUUCUUCUCAGAGAAAUAUCAAAUUAUAUACCUAUUCUUCUCAAAAAAAAAAAAAAAAAAAAACCAAAGUGUAUAGGAAGUUGACUUGACUUGACUAAGAGCUUAAAUCUUAAUCCUAAAAGGUAAGCAAGGGUCAUAAUAUUAUCAAUCGAAAUUAGCGUGUUAAUUUGUUUGAAUACAUCUUUUGGUUGGGUCUUCUGAGACUUGUUGAACAAAUGAAGAAACAGCCUUAAGAAAUGGGUAAAUUACUAAUAACUUCUAUGAUAAUUACUAAUAACUACUCAUGUAUAUAACUCUUGAAUGAUUAUGUGGAUAAAUGUAAAAUAUUACAAGGAGAAAAUCACAAUUAGGUUAUAAGUAAUUUAUGCUAAGAAAAUUGAAGUUACCUGCAGAGUUGGGGUGGGUUUUGGUGUGUGUGUGGUUGUGUGUGUGUGUUUCCGGGGGGGCGGUUGGGGGUGGGGAGGCAGAGGAAAACUAAUCAAACCACGCUUCUGAACAUUGACAAUAUAUGCCAUGUACAAAAUAUGGAUUUAAAAUGAAAGGAUGUAGAUUUAACUUGAGGAAUACAUAAUUUUGGGUUUUUAGGAGCCUUAUGCAUACAAAUGAGACUUCUAACACAGCAGCCCCUCAAAGAACCCAUUGGAUAAUCUUUGCAGUCCCAAUCGGCCAAUUCUUGCCCAGCCAAACCGCGCUUCCAAUAUCAAAUUAUAUUGGAAGUUGACUUGACUUUGCUGAGAGCCAAACCCUAUAAGUCAAGCAAGGGCCAUACAUUAACGCGUUAAUUUGUUUUGGUACAUGGAGUGGGUAGGGAUGGCAACGGGGACCCCUCCCCCGCCCCCGCCCCGUUGCCUAUUAAUUCCCCCCGUCCCCCGCCCCGCCGCCCACUCCCCCGUCCCGCCGCCCCCCCGCCUCCCACUCCCCCCGCCCCGCCCCGCUUCCCCCGCGGGUGCCCCCGUGGGGUUAAUAAAAUUUUUCCUGCGGGAUUAAUAAAAUUUUAUUAUAGUUAAAUUUUAAUAAAUAAUCAAGUACUAAAAUAUCAACACUUCAUCAAGUUAUUAUUCAUUGUAAUUUUACAAUUGAAACUCAUAAAAACAAUCAAACAAAAGUUAUUUGAAUACAAUCCAAUAUGAUGAAAUAAAUACAACUAAAAUAGUCAAGUUUUCACUUUUGGUACAAAUACAAUCACUAAUUCAUUAUUGUGUUUGUGCUUUUUUUUUGAGAAAAAAGUGUUAUUCUAUUAAGUGUAAUUAGAAAUUUAGUAUAAAUGUAUUAGUAAAUUUAGUAUAACUAAUUAAUAAAUUCUAUUAGUAGACAUUAGAGGUGGCAAUUUGUCCCAAGUCCCAAUUGGUUACCCAUGCCCAUUGAGACUUUGGGCGGGAUGGGUAUUGGAAUUUGAUAUUGGGUUUAAAAUGGGACAAAUCCCAAUUGUACCCAUUAAUUGAUGGGAAAUUUUGGAAAAUGCUUGGGUACCCAUUGGGCUCAAAUAGCAAGGGCUCCGUUUGGAUUAACUAUUUUUGGGGGGUGUUUUUGAAAUAUUUUAUUGUAGUAGUGUAUAUGAAAAAUUUUACUAUAAACUUUUUUUGAAAUAUUUGAUAUACUAAUAUGGAUGGGAUGUUUUUUUAGUUAUUGUAUAUUACUGUAACAUUGUAUUUGAAAAACUUAUUUUUUGAAAAAAUAACCAAUCCAAACGGAGUUUUAGAUUCAAAAAUUAUCUUUAACAAUUUUUAUAGUCAUGAUUGUAUAUCUAUCUUUUCCUUUAUUUGUUAAUCCAAUUUUUGGUGAUAAUCCUGAGUAUAAAGCACUUGCAUGUUUAUUUAAUAAAACUAAAAGAAAUUUAAUAAAUCAAAAAUAUUAAAAUUAUAUAAAAAAUAAAAAUAAAUUAAAGGAAAAAAAUAUGUAUAAAAUAGAUUUGGGUAUUGGGCGAGAUCAAUCUAAACCCAUCCCAAAGUGAUCCCGCCCAAGUUAGUCCCAAAACAUAUAUGGGUAAGGUUGGGCCCAAACCCAUAUGACUCGGUUCCAUCUUAAACCCAAGCAAAUCCCGCCCAUCCCGCCCAUUUUGCCACCUCUAGUAGACAUGUCUAAUUAUUCGUAUCAUUGAUAAUAUCAAUUAUAUUACAUACACUAAUAUACAUUAUAUAAUACAUCUAACUAAUAGUAUUAUUAUCAUAAGUUUAUAACUAAUUAAAUUAUAUAUUAUAUAUAUUUAUAUAUAUACACUUUUUCUUUUGCGGGGGGCGGGGCGGGGGAUGGGGCGGGGGUAUACUCCCCCGUCCCCCGCCCCGUUACUAAACGGGGGGAAAAAAUUCCCCCCCGCCCCCGCCCCAACCCCCGCCCCAAGAGUCCCCCGCGGGGCGGGCACCCGCGGGCACCCGCCCCCAUUGCCAUCCCUAGGAGUGGGGCUUCUUCUGAAGUUUUUGCAUAUAAUCCCCUGUAAAUUAUGUAGAUAAAUGUAAAAACUACGAAAGAGUAAAAUAUAUAUUUCACUAAAUCAUAUGAAAGGUAAACAAAUAUUAUGAUUUUAUCACACGUAUUUUUACAGCAUGUCUAACAUUAUUCGAUAGCAUUUUCAUUUAUUUUUUACUCUACAUAAAAUUACAGAGGAAUAUUAUGAAAUUAUGAAUAUGUUAAAACCUUAGGAGAGUCAUGUAACAAUAUAUUGAACCACAAUAGGCUUAUUAGUAAUUUACACUAAGAAAGAUGAAGUUGCGGGGAAGAGAGGGACUAAAUGAAACCCCCCCCCUUUUGAACAUUGAUAAAAUAUGCCAUAUAUAAAGUAUGGAUUUAAAAUGAAAGGAUGUAGAUUUAACUUUAGGGAUACAUAAUUUUGGCUUUUUUAACUUUAAAAAUACUAAAUUUUGGCUUUUUGGGAAGCUUCUCUUGCAGAAGAUGCUAGUAAGAGUCUUUUGAACUACUUAAAACAAAUUAUAAAUAUCUUUGUGAAAGUAAAACUAUUAUUUUUUAUUGUUUCUCAAAACAGCUUUUAACUUCUCAAAACAUUGAAAACAAGGAUGAUUUUUCAUUGUUUCAAACAAAGUUUUGAAAUUAUUUCAUAUUUGAAUUCCAAAACUACUCAAACGUAGUUGAGAAUAAGCUCCAAGUAAAUGUUAAAGUUGCAAAUAAGGAAAAAUGGCAAUUGUACGUAGUAUAUUUAGAAGGUUGGCUAUACCAGUUGGGGAAUAUCUUGAUCUAGUGAUUAAGAUCAAGAUCCCAAAAUUAGAGGUCAUGAGCUCCAAUCCUCUUACGCCCUCCCUCCUAUUAAGUCCCACUCUCAUAUUUAUUAGAGGUGGCAAUUUAUCCCAAAUCCCAUUGGGUUACCCAUGUCCAUGGGGACUUUGGACGGGAUGGGUACUGGAAUUUGAUAUUGGGUUUAAAAUGGAACAAAUUUCAAUUGUACCCAUUAAUUGAUGGAAAAUUUUGGGAAAUACUUGGGUACCCAUUGGGCUUAAAUAGCAAGGGCUCCAUUUGGAUUAGCUGUUUUUGGAGGUAUUUUCGAAAUAUUUUAUUGUAGCAGUGUAUAUGAAAAAAUUUUACUAUAAAAUUUUUUUGAAAUAUUUGAUAUACUAAUAUGGAUGGGAUGUUUUUUAAGUUAUUGUAUAUUACUGUAACAUUGUAUUUGAAAAACUUAUUUUUUGAAAAAAUAGCCAAUCCAAAUAGAGUCUUAGAUUCAAAAAUUAUCUUUAACAAUUUUUAUAGUCAUACCAGCGAAUAUAAUCUAGCAGUCUUCCUAGUCAUUAUCCACAAGAAUUUCCAGCAUUUCAGUCAGUUUAGACCAGUCAUCCUUGGACAAUGAUGAGGAUAAAUAUUCAACACCCUAAGUGCCUUGGCCAUCUUGAUAUAUGUUGGAAUAUGGUUGUAUAUCUAUCUGUUCCUUUAUUUGUUAAUCCAAUUUUUGGUGGGAAUCCUGAGUAUAAAGCACUUGCAUGUUUAUUUAAUAAAACUAAAAGAAAUUUAAUAAAUCAAAAAUAUUAAAGUUAUAUAAAAAAUAAAAAAUGAAUUAAAGGAAAAAAAUAUAUGUAGAAAAUAGAUUUGGGUAUUGAGCGGGAUCAAUCUAAAUCCAUCCCAAAGUAAUCUCGCCCAAGUUAGUUCCAAAACACAUAUGGGUAAGUUAGUCUAAAUAAUAUUUAUCAUAAAUGAUUGAUCAACUAUUUUACUUUUACCUCCGUAGAGUUAUCAGCUAUUUUUACUUUUCUCCUUUGAGUCAUGAUUUUUAAUUUUUUGCAUCCUGAAGUUACACAUCUAUUAAACAUUGUAUUACGUACACAGAUAUGGACAGAAAACGACAGAAUUUUCCUUGUGAAAGGUGACAUUCGAUCUUGUAGGUUUUCCGUAAUUGUGUAAGUAUUUGAGGUAAGUAUUUUAGCAAGUUUUGAUAACCAAAUGAUCGAAACAGAGAAUUUAUGAACUAAUUAACCAUACUAAGGAAGAAGACAAGAUUCACUUGUUCUAAACCUUAUAUCUUAAUGCAACAAGUCGGUUAGGCGCUUGACUAAACCUUCAAUCUUUUAAAUAAACGCCCUCCUCAUGUAAUUUCUCAAAUGUUGAGUCAUGACAAGGUGAAGAUAGAAAUUAAAUUAAAGAUUCUAAAAAUUUUUAAAGAUUCUUCUAAAUUAGAAUAGUUUACAACAUAUAGAACUUUGAACUCCAAAUUUCAAAUGAUUCUGACUACGUCUAUUCUAAAAAGAGUAACAACCUUUUGUAAAGUGGCAAAUAUUAAAGAUGUUAGUCACAAUUCAAUUAUGUUAAUCAAAUCCGUCCAAACCCAUCUCUACAAAUCAGAAUAAGGCCCAACAAAGAGACUUACAAUAUCAUCAAGGCAGGAACGGUAGGGACUUAGCAAAAUACAAUCUGCAUUCUAGGCGCAUAGGCUUGCCGAGCGAGUUGAGCCUACGUCAACGUGCCAACAAAUAUUUUACCUGAACAAGAAAAAUAAACCCAAGUUCAGGUACAGGUACAGGAUUCGAACUAUAAACUAAGUGCCCUCCCAAUAAACUAAUGCAAUAAAAAAAAAUAAACUAAUGCAAUAAAAAUAUCAACUUGAUAAGCUAAUGCAAAGAAAUCAUGGAACACGAAUAUAUUACCUUACCAUCUUAAGUGAAAAGAGUGCACACAGCUUAAUCAGAAUGAUAAGAAAAAAAGUGCAUCGAACCCGAUCUGCAUAAAAAGACACAGGCUGAAAGGUCAAAGAAUCAAUUUAACAUGGUAAGCAAAGCACGAUUGACAUCUGAGUUUCUUCUCAAGCUAGUUAAAAGUGAGAAAAAUUAUUUACUGGGCUUUAAAGGAGGAAAUUACUAAUAUAAAUUUCACAUGACACAUAAAAGUAAUAUGAUUCCUCUAUUUGAAUUUCGACACUUCUUUUCCAUUCAAGAAAUUUGUUGGAGUCAACAAAAAAAAUUUUGGACAAUAAUUUUAAGUGAAAAUCAGUAAGAAAUCUAAAUCUCUGCUUACUUGAUGCCAUCACUGCGUAUUUCCACACAGGGAAUGUCUUCAAUCAUGGGCCAGUAGUCUCCUCUAUCCAUCAAACACCUUUUCUCAAGAAGUGGGCAUUUAUUAAUUACUAGAGUUUGAAGCGGAUUACGCAGCGAUUCCUUUGGUAGGGAUCCAAGCUCGGGGCAGUUAAAGAUAUGCAGAUAUCGAAGAGCUGUAAGACCUCGCAAGAACGUGGAGAGCGAUUUCAGAUUUCGCAAGUCACCAAUGGCGACGGACCUAAGAGUCGGAGGAAGCAAAGCCAAUCCAUCAUCACCACUACCAGAAAAUGAUUCCAGCCCUGGAUAUCCACCACGGAUGUAGAACCUUUCAAGAAACGUGAGUCUGUUGAGUCCCCAUUCUGACAGGGGCUUCAGCUGUAAGUUUUCUCCUGCCUCUAUGUCAAGAAACUUCAGAGUGGGAGGAAAAUCUCCUUGUGGAAAUAACAAAGGACUUGAACAAGAAUACAACAACAGAGAUCUUAGUCGUCCCAAACCACUGGGCAAGUAACUAACAUUUUUGCAUCUGCACAAGGAAAGACGUUCCAAACUUGGAGUGGGCAAUUGAUCCAGAUCAUAAUCACAAUCCCUAAUAUCCAAAAACCGGAGACUUGCAAAACUGUAGACUGAACCAAGCAUUGUUCUCAAAUUCAGACAUGGGCAGCCAACGAUUUCCAGACUCUCAAUCGAUGUGCUAGUGUCCUCUAUGACAAUCUCCGGAGUAAGGUUCAGUUUCUGGCAAUGUCUGAUCCCAAGAUUCCUAAGCUGAGGGAGGAGCAACUUGUCCAUUGGCAAGCAACUGAGGGCUGAGCAACUGCUUAUUUCCAAUGUGUUAAGACCAGAUAAUGUAGGCAAAGACAGGAGAGCACUGCAACUUUCUAUCUUAAGAUAUUUAAGCAUGGGUAAAACAGCAAGCUCCUCCAAGGAUGAAAGCUGUGAACAUUCUGAAACAACUAAAGAUUUUAGCUGCACAAGGUUUACAGUAUUACUUGAGCCCCACAAAUUCUUCAGUUGAUGGCACUCACGUAAUGUGAUAUCUUCAAGGCCUGAUGGGAACUGCAUGAACGCAUCCUCGAGGGAUGCAAGCCCUAUAAUCUGCCGAAAAUCCAAAUUGUUUAAUGAGGUCAAAUUGUAUAAACAUUUUGCAAUUCCCACCGAGCACUUUUGCAACUUUAGUUCAGAGAGUGAAGGAAGCUGCAAAACAGGAAUGCUUUUCAACUUUGGGCAUCUACUUAUACAGAGCUUUUGGAGCAGAGGGAAGUGGCAUUCGUUCUCUCCUGCUGAACUUAAGCAAGUCCAUUCCUCCCAUUCUGGCAUGUCAUCAAAUGUUAGACUUUCAAGCAAUGGAAAGGAAAAUUCCCGAGAGCAAUCUUUGCCACAUAGCUCCGUACCUACUGCCUUCACCUCAAGCAUGGUUUGAAUGCUCAAAUCCUUGAGCGCAGGCAAUUGCCCGAGUGAUGGUAAACACUUGCAGUGUGUACAACCUCUAAGGCUUACUUCUUCUAAUUUAGUAAAUGAAGAAUCCCCCACCCAGGAAGAGAAUUUGUCUCCCUUAUAGAACUCAAUUUCAAGACUCGUUAGGUUUGUGUGUGGUCGUAGUGCCUCGAGCAAAUCUUGUUGAAGAACUUUACUCAGAGAACCAUCAUAUUCACUAUUCCAUGCCAAUACUAUGUUAUCAAGGUCCCUCUUGUUCUUCAAAUUGGCAUCCCGUGCUUCUUGAACAUUCGUAACAUUUUGCAACUCCAAAAUGGCGAGUGACCCUGCCAGUAAGGACAAGUUCCCCAAGUCAUUCAGCCUGAACCCACCAUUUUUGCUCACAACCACUUUGGAUAGUGUCUGCAAGCUCGUCAACUGAUCAAUCCCUGAAGGCAUCUCAUGCAAUUGACUAGUAUUGAAAUUUUCAAGAUGGCGCAGGUUAAUUAAUUUUCUAAUACCCACCGGUAAGUUAAUCAGCCCCCAGCAGUCGCGCAAACGUAGUGUUUGUAAAUUGCAAAGGUUACUCAAUGAUUCAGGCAACACUUUCAACGAAGUACCAGACAAAUUCAGGUACCUUAGAUGUAUUAAUUCACCAAUGGAAUUUGGUAGAUCAGAGAUAGAAUAUCCACUGAAUGAUAGCACCCUUGGGUAUCGCAAUUCCAGCAAAAGUUCUGUUAUGACCUUUUUAGCGAUGUAAAAGUCGCCGUCAUACUUGCCAGAAACGGGUAGGAAACUCCGCAAAUGUUUUGCUUUCUGAAGUGUUUUAAACUUUUGUGAAGCUCCAUACAUUGAACUUGUGAAUGAUGUGUACCUAACCUUGUCAAGAAUCGUGCAUUUGAUGUUCUCUUCCAAGUCGUCUGUCAGUCUGGAACAAAAAUCUCCACCAACAUAUCUAGCUAGAUCGUUAAUAAGGUCAUGCAUCACAAAACGUGAACUAGCGGAACUUGACUGCUGGAAGAAGGACCUCAUUAGUAGCUCCUUAAAAUAAUUGUCCCCUGUGUCCUCCAUAAGAUCACUUGCUUUUGAUUCCUCG